AAAGAUUUGGCUGUGGAAUGCAAUGCUUGCAAGCUACCAAUCUUGGGUCCAGGUUAUACAUGUCUUGAUUGUUUCAAUAUCAAAAUUCAUGAAUCUUGUCUUGCACUUAUGCGGGAGAUGCAGCUCAACUUUCAUCCAUUACACCUCCUUCAUCCACAAAUUGGCGAUUGGGAAAAUUGUUUUGCCUGUAGAUUUAAAAUCAUUGAAAGUAUCGAUUAUAGUUGUCGACAGUGUGAUUUUCACCUUCAUCUUCAUUGUGCUAAUUCCCUGAAGCUGGCCUUAAAAAUUAAGUCUCACGUGCAUAAUCUCUAUUAUUUUGGACCAGAUUAUGAGAAAUCCUACCAAUUAUGUAACAAAUGCAAAAGUUACAUUGGUAAGGAACCUUUCUAUUAUUGCGUGGAGUGCAAUAUGAAUUUGCACUUAAAAUGUGUUCCCAUACCAUGUUCAGUUAAAUCCAAAUGUCACAUGCAUCGUUUGACUCUUAAAGAUCAUUUUGUGGAAGAUGAUUCUGGAGAAUACUAUUGUGACAUUUGCGAAGAAGAAAGGAACUCAAAAAAUCAUUGCUAUUAUUGUGAAGAGUGUGCUGGACAAUUUGUUGCUCAUAUCGAGUGCGCGCUUCUUACAGUAAGUUUAUCACUAUCAUUUUCUCUGUAGAAGUUUUUUAUACCAUAUUUUGAAUUUUUAAAGGAAAAUAAAAAUCUAAGUUACACAUCACAUGAUCGUAUCCACCACUUCUUUGAUUGAUUGGACUUUAUUAAUGGUUAAAGUAACUCAUAAGUUCAUAUAUUAUAGAUUUUUCAUUAAUUUAAACUUUUUACCCAAAAGUGGUUAAUUUAGUCUUUAUACUUUCAGAUUUUAUGUAAUGGACUAAGUUUGCUUAGCUUUAUCUAAAGUAACCAUUAGUGGUACUAGUGUUACAUUGACAUGUAAGAUAAAAAAAAGGAAAUUGGCCAUGUGGUAUUUUUUUCUUUCCUUUUUUUUCUUCACUUAUUUGUUCAAAACUACAUUGUUUUAGAGUAUUAUUUAAAAGCACCUUUAGUUUUUAUUUUUCAUUUUCAUUCUUUCCUUCUCUCUAGCUCUUUUCUCUCCCUUUGAAUGCAAAUUCUGGCUGUCAAUCACUAGUGGUAUGAAAAUUUAAUAAAAAAAUAAAAAAUUCAUAUUUUUUUGCCUUAUUUCCCAUAAUAAAAAUAGCUUUUUCAAAAUCUAUUUUGAUUUUCCUAGAUUUAAAAUCAUAAACUUGUAAAAAAUAAACUUGUUUCUUUCCACUGCUAUGUUCUUGACUUGAUGUUAAUGAUCAAUGAUUGUGUUUUUAUGUUGUAGGAUUUUGAAUUUACAGAUGAAAAUUUUCAUGAAUUUUUCAACUUGAAAGAUGUUGACUCACCUAUUGAGAGUUCCUCUACGGAUGAGUUGCUUUCCCAACCCCAUGCUGAAGUUUACUUGAACCAAAACAGAAUGGUAGUUAAGUCUUAUUUAAGUUCAUUUUAAAGAUUUCAUCUUUUAUGCGAAAAUGAAUUUUAUUUUAAGAAUAGUUAAAUGAAAGAAAAGUUUCAAAAUUUUGUGGGUGCCAUUGUUGUUGCAGAAGUACUGGGUGGAUAAGAAAUUAAACAAAUACUGCUUCAUGUUGUUUGCAAGAGAUCUUUCAAUCACUUGGGCAGAAAACCACCGUUACUGGCGUUGGUCAUACCAAAGAGAAACAAACAGGUUAGCAUAGAUUUAUUAUCCAUUUAGAAUCUUUACUUCAUAGAUCUAGCUUGACAACUUUUCUAAUCCACAAACUUUUGAUUUUGCAGCGAUGUGUUGAUUGAUGUUGCCGAACUUCUAGAUGUGUGUUGGCUAGAAAUGAAUGUGAAAUUCAACGUAAAAAAGCUCUCACCGAAAACAUUGUAUGGACUUGUGUUCGUGCUUAUGUUGACAAAAGAAGCACGUGGAUGGGAAACUCCAGUGAACUUCGGAUUCACUCUUCCAAAUGGGUACAAGGUUGAACGCAAGGAAACUUUGAAGUCCAAGCCGAGAGGAGUAUGGAUAGAAAUCCCCGUUGGAGAAUUUACAACUUCAUCUGAAAUUGUUGGAGAAUUUGAUAUUUACUGUCACGAAUAUGCUACAGGGAAUUGGAAGAGAGGACUUAUUGUUAAAGGAGUUACUAUUCUGCCAAAGAAUUAAACAACAAAUUAGUAUUUUCUCACAAUAAAUCUGAAAGUACUGUAGUUUUUCUAUUUGUUCAUAAUCUUGCAAAUUCGAAAAUGACAUGAACCUAAAAGGAACAAACUCAUCCAAUUAUCACUUCAACAACCAGUUCUUUGGUCCUCAUUUUAAUGUAUAGGUUCCAUGCUAAAUGCAACAAACAAGGCCAUUGAUUUUUUUGGUAUUUUUUAUAAGAUUUUAUGACCACUAGUGGCUAGUGGUUGGCUGUUGAAAUCUGGGUUUGGGGAUCAAAGUCUAAAACAGAAUGAUUAGAUAGAGAGCAAGAGAGAGAAGGAAAGAAGGAAAAAUGAAAAAAGAGAAAAAUAAAUGUCCUUUAAAUUGUAGGUUUACAAUGAUUGGUUUUGGACAAAAGAGAGAAAAAAGAAAAAGAUAAGCCAUGUGACCAAUUUCUUCUUUUAGUCUAACAUGUCAACAUUAGCAUUUUUUUUUAUAUCAAUUUAACUUUAGUAUCACUAAUAGUUAAUUUGGAUGGAGUUAGACAAAGAGACUCAAUGGUACAAAUUCUGGGUAUACAAGGACUAAAUUAAUCAGUUUUGGAUAAAUGGACUAAAUUGACAAAAAAAAAUCUUUAAUAUAGGGAUCUAUGAGGUACUUUGACCAUUAAUAAAUUUCAAUCAAUCAAAGAGGUGAUGGCUAUGAUCAUGUAAUGUGUAUGUGUAAUUGAGAUUUUUAUUUUCCUUCAAAAAAAUUCAAUAAUGUGGUAUAAAAGAAAUCUAUAAAGAGAAAAAAUAAUUGUUGUCUCCUCAGCAUUUUUUGAAACCUUUUCAGCACUUUGAAGCUUUGUCCAUUAAUUAAUCAGCUUGUUUUAGGCAUGUUCAUAUAGUAACACAAGUCUUUACGUUGUAUAGAACCUUUUGUUCCUUUUUGAACUCCUAUAAUCUUGCGCAAGUUGUGUAUAUAGGGAGAUACAUGCCUAAGCUGCAGGGAUGGUUUUUGUUCACCUGCUUUUUUGUAUAUUGAUUUUGCUUAAGGUAUAAAGAUAUAGAAUUUUAAAAAAAAGAUACAAAAUUGUGGGAUUAGCAAAUUGAUAGCCACAUUUGGAAUAAAAAAGUAGCAAUUAAAAGAAGCAUUUUAUCUUUAAUGAUGAGUAAGCUGUCUUUAGCUUUUUUCUUUUUUAUAUUCUCUCAAUAAUUUCCUACUUUAAAUAGAGAAAAAAAACCACCGUUGACAGGGCAUGAAACACAUGCCACUUUCUUGUUUUUGGUAUAAAGGCUUGAGGGAAUCUUUGUUUAGGUUUUAUAUUUAAAUACACUCUCUCAUUAAGAGGCUAGUAGUUGAUCAUCUUUCUCUUCAUCUACCUAAAUUUCUUUCUUUGUUUGUUUCAGAAAACAAGAUAGAGAUUGUUCUGCUAUGAGGAUAUUCUGUACUUGUUUUUGACAGAAAUUUAGUACCUCCUUAAGUCCUCAACCGUCUUGGUGUUGCAAAAAGGGGGUUGUAGCUAGAAAUUAACAACAAAAAAUAUGCAAGCAAGGCUGUUGAUGUGAAUGAUUUAGCUUAGUUUGGGUUAUACAAGGCACAACAAUUCUUUGAACGUCAAAUACACUUUCCUAUAUUUAAGCUUUUUCUUCAUAAUGUGUAGGAUUGCAGGGCAUUUUAUUCAACUAUAUUUUGGUUAGAUUGUAGGGAAAAAGACAUAAAGGAGAGAAACAUUUUUAGAUAAUGAUUCAAAAUUUAAUUUCAUUAAUAAGUUAAAAAAUUAUAGCAAAUUGUCAAAAAGGUUCAAAAAAAAUUUUUCUGCUCCUUUUAUUCUCUCUUAGCCAGAAGCGAUGUGCAUUCUCGAACUAGUGAGUUGCAAAUAAGUGGCUGCUUUCCUGCAUAUCUUUGAGUUGAAUGACCAUAUACUUAUUUAUUUCGUAUAUUUCGAUAAAUUUAUGUUAAUAUUCAAGUUUUUAAUAUUUAAAUGAAUUUAUAUUUGAUGCAUUAACAAUGUAUAUAAGAUAUAUGUCAGUAUAUCAAAUAUGAAUCCUAUUUAAAUAGAUUAAGAGUACAUAGUUAAGAAUUACAGGGAGUUUAAUUUGAGAUAGUAGCUUUUUGUAUGAAAGAACAAAAAUAAGAUUUUAUUACUUUUUUUAUUUGUUUUUGUUAAUUUUAUUGUGUCAGCUUGAUUUUAUGUCAAUAGACCUAUUAAUUCAUCAUGGUUAGUAAUCAACUGCUUCAAUAACGAUGCUUCCCAAGUUUAAAAGGGAAAAUAGGAGAUUCCAAACUUAAAACCUUCAUGUCCUUGAUGCUUUUCUUAUUUCUCUGUCCCUUUUUAUUUGUUGUUUUAGUUACAAAAUUGUGGAAGUAGAAUCUUGAUUGUUGCAUUUUCAAUAAAAAGUACCAAUUUACAGAAGCAUUUUAUCUUUAAUGAUGAGUAAGUUUUCUUUGGCCUUUUUCCUUUUUUUGAAAGACAAAGAGAAUAGUAUUUCAUAAAAAAAGGUACAUCUUAAUUAAAUUAUUUGAAGGCAAGAAAUUAAGAUUAGCAUCAGUAUUCACUUCCAAAUUCUCACAAUCAUUUCUUUUUUUAAAUAAAAAAAAAUAAUGUUGUUUUUAUCACCCACUCAAUUAAUUAAUCUGAAAUUGUCGUUGUAUUAGUAAAAUGAAUCGUAAUCACAAUAUAUGCGCGAUGUGUUUUCAUUGGGCAAGUAAUUGUUAUAUAACUAAAGCAAAAAUAAAGUAAUUGCUAUAUAGCAUUAUUUUACUUAGAGGGAAAUAUUUAAUUAAAGAAAAAAAAAGUAAUUCCAAACUUAGAACCUUUAUCCUUUUAAAAACCAAUGAAUAGAGUAAUGUUGAUUCUCUAUAAAGUGAUUUGAUUUCAAAAUGCCAAAGGUCCUUGAUGCUUUUCUUCUUUUUUAAACAAAACACUCCCCUUGCUAAACUAAAGUGAGAAUCAAUUAAGUUUGGUACAACUUAUAGAUACAUUUAUGCCACUAGUAAUACUUUGUUUCAGAAUUAUCUUUUCUUUUUAAAAACAAUAAAGAUGAAUUAUAUAUUAAAAAAGAGUAUUCCUUUACAACUUAACAAAAAAGACCCACGACUACAUCAAAGGCAAGCAAUGGGACUUAAAAAUUUGGGUAGACCAGUACUUGCCUAAGGUCCCGCCAACUAGCAUUAAAAAGAAAAUAUUACAAAAGGUAAGAAAACUCACUCUAUACAUAACAAAAGGACCUCCGAAAAAGUGUUCAAUCAAUAUCCCUUAAAAAAAAGGCAGUAUAAACGAAGAAACAUCAGUGGUUCCAUAAAGGUAGCAGCAAGCAUUAUGAUGCACAACAAAAGUCAAUAAAGCAGGGGACAGAAUACCCCACACUAGGUUAAUGUAUAUUCUUCUCCGAGGUUGGCAGAGAGUCAUUGAUCCAAAACAAAUCUGUUGAUCUUGAGACACCUUCUUUGGCUAGGGUGUCAGCUUCUUCAUUAGCAGACCGAAAAAUGUUUUUAAUCACCAACCCAACGUCCUUGGUCAACUUCUUCCACAUACGUUGUCCAAUAAAAAUCACUCAAGUGUCUCGCAUUGCUUGAAAAGGACAAAAAGACUGCCACGUGCUACCUUAUUGGCAAUUGCUACUAGCGUUCUCCACCGCCCGCUUGGUGUCGCCUGUACAGCCAGAACCACAACCACCACCAUUUGCAAUUCUCCUGAGUCUGAAUUCUUAUCACAUUACUACUGUUGGAAAAGUGUUUGACAAACAACUUUCAGCUAGUAAGUUAGACUCACUAUAACCUUUAUUAUCAAAAAUUUUAUACGCAUCGCUUUUGGAUUACAAAGCAUUACAAGGACGAAUUAUAAAGCAUUUUAAUUCUCAUGGUUUUUUUUUUUUUUUUAAAGAGUGAUUUUGGGUUCAACUUUAAGAAAUUGUCUGCCACUUGUUCAUUGUUACAAAACAGGGUCGGAAGAGAAGCAGCUUCAACAUCAUCCACUUGUUCAGUCAACCAAUAAUUAACUGCUGUUUUCAUUAACCAAUUUACAUUUGAGAAACAACAAAAACAAUGGCAAAAGCACUUCUUUCCAUGAUCCUGGAGCAGCAGUUGGGUGGUUCGUUCAUUCCUCAAGAGAUAAAGCAUCAUGUCGGAUUGGCUGUAGGUCUUGAAGAAGAAAUCCAAAAACUCACCAGCAACUUUGACGCCAUUCAAGCUGUGCUUGAAGAUGCGAAAGGAUAAACCAAACAGGGCUUGCCUAACCCAAGGCGCGGAGGAUAAGGCAUACCGAUGUGGAUGCGGCCCAUAUCCCAAGCUGUUUCCCCACAGACCCUCCAACAGUGUCCCAUAACUCUAGUCCUACAUCCACCACGGAAGAAUUACAAGACUCCCAAGGAGCGGAGGACGGCAAUGGAGGCGGCUGGCUCCGAUUCCGAUGGCAGAGAAUUCAAGAACCCACAGGAAAUGUGGAGGGAGCAAAUUGGAGAUGCAGAUGCAGGAGAUAACCAUAAGAAGACUCAGUGGUACCGUGAAGGCGUUGCCUAUUGGGAAGUAAGUCUUUCUUAACUCUGGUUCUUACAUUUGUAUGUGGGUACCAUUACCGAACUCAUAAUAUAGUUAUUGGUUUCUUUGGUUGUGCUAAGAGAAGGGUGUGGAGGCAUCGGUAGAUGGGGUGUUGGGUGGAUUUGGGCAAGUAAAUGAGGCAGAUGUCAAGGGUAGUGAGGUUUUUCUCAAUACCCUUUUGCAUGAAAGAUUCUCGAUGGCGGUGGAAGAAAUCACCAUCUUGUUGCUCUUGGUACUUCUCUGUCUCUCUCUGUGUGCUCAACUUUAUAUUGUUUUUAUGAAGUUAUAUACCCAUAUAUGUUCUGUUGAGGUAGUUUGGUUUAUGUUAUUAUUAUUUUUUUUUUUUACACUAAAAAUCAACCUUAGGUUAUUAUGCGCCAUUAAAUGUGGAAGUGCAAAGUUGGUGAUGGGAUCCUACUUCAUUAGAAUGUAGCAUUGGUGGAAAACCUAAUUAACUAUAAAUUAAACAAAAAACAUAGUGGUGACAGCAGAAAGGGAUGUUGUGAUAGAUGAAAUUUUGAGUUAAAUAUCCGCAAUUAGUGCUUGAAACCGGAAACCAAGAUAACUUGAUAACACAACCAUGAAGAGUUUAUGUCCCAUAAUCCCACCCCAUAAAAGAAAAUAAAUAAAUAAAGAAGAGGAAAGCAUGGAAAUUUGCAUGAAUAUGCAUUUUCUGAAUUAAUUUGCAUGAUAUCUUCACCAAAAAUCAGUCUUAGUAGUGCAAGAAUUAUGUCAUGCAUUAGAGGUGUUGCUUUGAUUUAGAAUGCCAGCGUUAUAGGUGUUGCUCUUAUUUAGAAUGCCAUAAUGCAAUUGAGAAUUGGGUUUACUACAUGCUAUUUUGCUUAAUAAAAAACCAUCUUUAAGCAAUAUUCUUUUUUAAAUUUGGGAAGAAGCUUGCUGGGAGUUCUCUCUGUCUCUUAAGGGUUGUGUGCUUGUGGGGGGUGGGGGAUGGGGCACCCCUGGACCCAAUUUGAGGCCGUUGUGAGUGCUCAGAAUAAAGGAAAGAAAUUUCUGUGUUUAAGAUUGAAAAAUUACUUUCACAUUUCGUCAGCAGCGAAGAUGCUCUAUCUUGCUAAUAUUCUGGAACUUGUUAUCCUUUGAAUGGCAAAAAUUAGAUAUGUCUUCAGUAUGUUUUAUUACUAGGAGAUUGAUUCUUCGACAUGAGUAGGAUCUAUAAUUGCCUAUAUAUGAAGUUGGUCUUAAUACUUGUGAGUUGGUGGACUAUACUGGGGCAACUGACUGAAAUCUUGCGAAGGGGAAUUGUAGGGGAAAUUAUUUAGGAAACUAAGCAGUUGGAGUUUGGCUUUAAUAUAAAGAUAUUUAGAUAACUAAGCAGUAAUGGUUUGGCUUUAAUAUGAAGAUAAUUAAGUGAUUUCCACAAGUUUUAUUUUAAGUAAUAUGAUAUAAGAUGCACUUAAGCACUUGGCUCUAUGAUAGGUGCAUGUAUCCCCUGCUAAAAGAGCUGGGUUUAAAUUACCAUCACCAAAUAAAAUAAAAUAAAACAUGAUAAUUGAUGGUUGUGCCCUCAAACUUUUGCCUUCAUGUGGUUUAUGUUGGUGGAAUCAAAACAAACUCUUUUGAUGAUCUCAGUGCAGAUGAAUCUGGUACAUUUUAGGGCCUAGCAUACUAAAUUAAACUACGUCAUAAUUCUCAAAACACUGCAUUGCUGACCUUUAUUUUAAGUCCAUACAUUUAAGCAGUAGUAAUACCUGCAAAUGGUUCUAAAGCAUACUUGAAAUAUUGCUGGAGUACUGAUCUGUUUGGUAUUUCAUUUUUCUUGAUGUUUUUAAUUCUAAUUGAAAAUCAUAAAUCUAGUUGACAUUCUGAGCUUUUAGUUUCUAUGUUAAUUUAACAUACUGCAGAUUGUGGUUCUAGCAUAGGGAGAAUAACCAAUAAUCUGUUUGGUCAUUUUUCUCUUUCUAUUAGUUUAUUUUCAAUAUUCCUGACAUUUACCAUCUUUUCAAUUAAUUGAUAACAUGGUUCAUAGUGCAUAAUUUUUACUAGCUAAUGAAUUUCUCUGAUGUUUUUGAAUUGAAAGCAAAAUUGGGCGGUGCCUUUUAAAAAAUUCAAGUAGGACAUGAGGAGGGUAUACGUUAAUUUCGAGGUACCUGAACCCUAAGCUUAUAAAAAAUCAAAUACCCAAACCUUAUUAAUUACUUGAAUAAUUUUAAAAAUUACUACUUUAACCUUAACCCUAAUACAUUUUCACUGUUCUAUAAUUAUCCUAAUCUGUUAGAAAACCCCAAUUAGAUAAAAAAAUUAUUAAAAUGUUCUUCAUGAGUACCCAAUUACUCGAACCCAAACCCAUAUCCAUAUACAAUAAUAUUUAUCCUACAUAUUUCAUAUAAUUAACUACUAAUUAAAUUAAUAAAAACACAAAUAAUAAAAUUUAAAUUUAAAUAAUAAAAAAUUAUAAAGUGUGUUUAUAAAUGAACAUAAUAUAUGAUAUAAAUCAAUAUUAUUUUAUUAUUCAGUAAUUAUUAACUUAUAUAAUAGUAAUUAUAUUCUUUAUAAAUAAACAUAAUAUAUAAUAUAAAGUGUAUGUAUUAAAAGACAUUAAAAGUUAUAUACUCUAAAGUGUGUAUAUAUAUAUAUUAUAAUUAAUAAUUUUAUAAGUUAUAAUUUUUGUAAUGUUAACACAAAAUAAAAUGUAAAUAUAUUUAUAUUUAAAGUANNNNNNNNNNNNNNNNNNNNNNNNNNNNNNNNNNNNNNNNNNNNNNNNNNNNNNNNNNNNNNNNNNNNNNNNNNNNNNNNNNNNNNNNNNNNNNNNNNNNNNNNNNNNNNNNNNNNNNNNNNNNNNNNNNNNNNNNNNNNNNNNNNNNNNNNNNNNNNNNNNNNNNNNNNNNNNNNNNNNNNNNNNNNNNNNNNNNNNNNNNNNNNNNNNNNNNNNNNNNNNNNNNNNNNNNNNNNNNNNNNNNNNNNNNNNNNNNAAACAUAUCUCAGAAGUCAGAAAAACAUCACAGCCCCUUCCUUUUCAGCAUCAAAUAGAAAACAGCCCUGCCCCCUCAUCCAAUAAGUACCCAUUCUGUGCAACUCUGGAAGAAGAGCUCAAAUCAUGUGCUCUCAUUCUGCUUUCGUACUCCUGAAAAUACUCACAUGUACAGCAUAUAUUUGUUAAAUCUACAUUGCAUGGUAUAUGUUGUUGUCACCAGUAGAACAGGGAAGAGGCCAUGAAUCCUGCGGAUAAUUGUAUGGAACGUGCAGCGAAGAGGCCAUGGAACAUUAGUCAAUAUUGCAAUUUUGUAGCGUUUUUUCUGAGAUAACCACUCCACAGACUAGGCUCCAACUCAACAAAAGAAAAAAAAUUGCGGAGUCAUAGAUCUCCCAUGUUGGAAUUUUGAUUAGUGAUUUUCUCUUAACCAAUUCAAAACAUGUUAAUUUCUAUAUUUGUUGACCACAUGAGGCUAGGAAAACUUUCACCAAAACGUUCAAGGAAAAAACAGACCAGAAAUGGAAGUUUACCUACUUGAUUGUUCAGAGUGACUCACCUUCCCCAUCAGAAUCAAUUCUCCACCACCAUGAAUUGUCUCUUCCUCCUUCAGACUUUCACUGAUUUCGCAGUUUGCCCCCCUGCUAAGCUGCUGCACUUCGCACUGCUUCCUUGAUUGGGUUGACUAUCGCCAUGCGGAUUAUUAUUUGGACCCUUCUUUUUAAUGGGCUAAAACAUACCAGCUUAAUUCACAUCGGCCAAACCCAACUACAGGAGAGUGGCUGGUGGAUCUCUCCAUGGACCAAGUUAUCAGCAGAAGCCUGCAGGCCUGAUAGGACAGGCGGCCUGGAUAUGAUUUUCUAGGCUCAGGUUCUACAAGGUUUGACCCAAGAAUACUGUUAUUUUUAUUAAUAAAUACUUUAUUUUAUUAUAUUUUAAUUCUAAAAUAUAUUUUCAAAUACUAAUGUAAAAUUAUUUAAUAUAUAUAAUAAUAAAAUAUAUAUAAACGAGUAUUGGAAUUGGGUUUGGGACGGGUACCCACGUAACCUGAAUAUUAACAUAAUCAGGUUCAGGUAGCGGGUACUCAAGAGAUAGUACCUGAAUCCGAUAUGGGUAGUGAAAUCACUAUUCGAACCCGUCUUAAACCCGAUUAUAGAGUAUCAUAGUAUGAGUUGGAGCUAUGAUCUUAAUAAAGCUGCAUAGUACUUUGUGAUAGCUAUGCUUUCUGACCCCUCUUCCGUUUACCAUUCUCCAGGUUGAUCUACUUGAGCCAGUUUCACAUUUCUUAGAUGCUGCCCGUCAAAGUUUGUCUCAGGAAUAUUUUGUAGCCUCUGAUGCGCACAAAGCAAGUAAUUUCUACUGUGUCCCCCUUCAGGUAAUGUAGUUCAAGACUAUAUUCACACAUAGAUACAUGCUUCUUGAUGUGUUGAAGUAUUCAUAACUAUGGUUAAGUCUAUGUAAGCUAUGUAUUUCCAACUUUUCACUUUACCCUUUAUUGCGGAUGUAGCCAUGUAAUUGACACCUCAAGCAGGCAUGUUGUUUGAGUACAAUCCUGGGAAAAACUUACAAAAUUUAAUGUAAACAUGUUAAAUAUGGGUUUGCACCUGGAACUCGCAUUUGAAUCUGGGCAACAUAGUCUGUAUUCUGUAGGCGGCUUUAGUCAUGAAUCAUUAUAGGUAUAGCCUAGAAGAGUUAAUAUGACUGAUAUUAUGGGGAUGGGAUGGGUGGGAAGGAGAUUGGACAUGUGUAGCUUUAGCUUGCAAUGUGAAACUUAGAUGAUUAGACAACCUUUGGAUUCAAGUAAAUUUUUGCAAACAAUUAUUUACUCUUUUGUGUGUGUUGUGGGGGGGGAAGAGGGGAGCAGCAUAUUGGGUAGUGAAUGAGCUCUCUAAGUUGGUGACAUAUGUACUUGUCUUCUUCUGAUGCUUCUGGCUGCUAAAUUUUACUUUAUAAAACAGAAAUUUGACAACCAUAUUUUUUUGUCUUUUUCUUUUUCAGGAGUUCACCCCUGAUGCUGGAAGGUACAAUGUUAUUUGGAUUCAGUGGUGUAUCGGUCAUCUCACAGAUGAUGACUUUGUCUCAUUUUUUAAGAGAGCAAAGGUGAAUAAAUCUUCUUCUUGAGACAGAACUUACUUUUUAUUUGACAUGUUGUGCUGUGUGGAAGUGCAUGGAAAGAUCAAAAUUAUGUAUUGAAAUUUUCUUGCCUGCUGUCUACUAUACAUUCGAAUUGCCUUGUUCUGAUUUUUGAAUUAUGAACUGUCAGAUCAUUGCAAUGGUAUCUCAAAUUUUCCUUUUCCAAAUUUAUUGCUUCUAGCUUUCUCUCUUGUAACUUCUCUUAAACCUUCUUACAGCUAUAGGAAUUAAGGUUGUCUAGAGAACAUAACAUAGCAAACACCAGAAGGAUGAUAUAGUCAAACUCUUUUUUCUUUUUGUCCUUUCUUUUUUUAUUUUAAUUUUUUUUUUUGCAAUGUGUCGUGUUGUUCAUUCUAUUCUUCUUCCUGCUAGGUAAGUAGCGGAUUUGAUGGGUUGGUUUGGAGUGUUUGGGCCCAUCCCUAGCACCACAGAAACAAGGCUUGAUAAUGCUUUACAAUUCAUACAGCUAUUUUGCUAUCAUCCGUUUUCUCACCUUACAAAAGCUUGUGACCAAAUUUUGUUGUGCCUUGUGCAUUGAAAUAAGUUUUAAGAAAUGAUGGUAGUUUGACUUUUGUCCUUUAAGUUUGUAAAUGGUGGGAAAUAAAAUUAAAUCUAGAAAGUGCCAUAUUCAUUUCAUGGCACCUUGAGUCCCUACUCUCCUGCUUCCCUUGCUGCAACCUUUUUUUUUUUCCAGGUGCUGUUGAGCAUAACUUUUUGCUCUGCCUUCAAUGUAUUUUCAUCAAAAUUAAGCAAAACAUAUUAAUAAUAAAAAGCUCCAACAUGGAAAUUCUUGGGCAUGUGUAUGUGUAUGUAGUUUGGAGGCCUGAUCUCUAAGUUGUGUCCUGGAAAGACCCUUGUUGAAAUUUAUUAUUCUUGCAUAUAUGAUUUAAAAGAUUAUAAUUUGCACUUUAAUUUGAUACAGUAAUUAAUUUGUUGAUUCCAGGUAGGCCUUAAACCUGGUGGAUUCUUUGUCCUGAAAGAGAACAUUGCUAGAAACGGUAUUGUCUUUAUGACUCUUUGAUUUUUCUAAGCAUGUUUGUUUGCCCUCCCUCCCUCUCUCCCUCCCCUUUUUAAGAAGUGCUCAAGUUUUGUUUAAUGCAUUCCUCAAACUUUCUUAUGUUUUGGUAUUCUGUGGUAAAUUUUCAUAAAGUUGUGUUUUUCUUUUUUGAAAUGCCGCAUGUCAUCUCACGUAUGAGAAGGCAUAAAGUUGCUUUUUUGAGCUGAUAUUACUUUCUAACUUUGUCUUAUUAUGUAAUUAUCUGGCCCCUCUACAACUUUGAAGUAACAUCAUAGUUAAUAAUAAUUAAAAGAUAAAUGGAUAAAGGAAAUUUUAAGCUCCAUUUUCUCGUUCCAUUGCUUGAUACCAAGGGAAGCAGCAAGUUUUUGUUUUAUGCAUUCCUCAAACUUUCUUAUUUUUUGGUGUCCUGCUGUAAAAUUUUCAUAAAGUUGCUUUCUAGAGCUGAUAUUACUGUUUAAAUUUGUUUUAUUAUGUAUUCAUCUGCCCGCUACUGCUUUGACUUAUUCUAGUUAAUGUUUUAAAUGUUGAAUUAAGGAUAAACGGAUAAAGGAAUAUUUAAGCUCCAUUGUCUUGUUUCAUUGCAUGAUACCAAGGGAAACAGCAAAAAAGUGUUGAAACUUAUAAUUCGCAGGUUCAGGGAUGAGUCUCAUCUGCUCAAAUGGGUAUGGGGUAUAAUUUUACUAUGCUACCAAUUUGGGACACCUUUUGGUAACACUGUCUAUGUACAACUUUCUUCAGUGAAAAUUCAUGAAGGAAAGAUGACCUAGUGAUGUAGUGAGGAAGUAGAAACAAUAACAAGAAACCAAAACAGUGAACAAAACCAGAACAAAGGUUAAAAUUGAUGUAAAAUCAAAGUCGGAACAAGUUACAAGCCAUUAGGACCAAUUGUCGAGCAUCUUAAGGUUAAAUAAACAAGUCACUCCCAUCUGUAAUAGAUUGAUUCAAACCAGCUAGAUAACAAGAAGUCAACUGCUCAUUAGUCUCUUUGAAACCAACACUAGGGAAAGGUUGUUGAAACCUGAAGUGUACUCCUCAAUGGACAUACUAUUUUGCUUGAGUGAAUGAAAUAUCUCAUUCAACUCCAUUUAAUCAGCUGGCAGAAAUUUCCUCAUCUUCAUUUUCAUGUGUUCCCAAGUGUUGAUUUUUGGCUUGCCUUGAUGUGCUUGCCGCUCUUCAACGCUCUUCCACCAUUGAAGUGCAGUCCCUUCAACUUAAGCUUCACAAACAGCACCUUUCUUUGUUCUACCAUUGGUUUCUACUAAAAAUAAUUUUACAAACUCGCUUUCUGGUCUAAAUAAUCUUUUGCAUGCAUCUUUUUCCGGAAGUCAUCUACCUUAAUUCUAACUCCACCACCAUUUAAGUCUAGGCAUGUAACAAUCAGCCUUCCAAUCUACCACAAACAGCAUUAUUUGCUGCUCGAGCAUUAUGAAAAGGGUUUUCAGCCUCUCCAUAUUCAAUUUCAUCCUCAAGACCACCUUCCGGUAAACCGAAAGGGUCAGGAUUGCCUUGCGGAUUCUCCAUUCGGGCUCCCAUUGGUUCCUGUCACUUUAAAGCUUGCUCAGCCUGCAACAAAUCUUCAAUCAUACCCUUAAACUCAGCCGAUUCUGUUUGCUGGUCUUGAUUUCUUUUCCACGUCCACUAACAAGUCCUCUAACACGAUUAGCCAUGGUUUAUAAGCUAAAAUCCUAGUUCAACUUUAAGAUCUGUUCAUCUGAUACCUCUUUGAUGUAGCAUGGAAGUAGAAACAACAAAAACAAAAGAAAAACAAUGAAGAAAACCAGAACAAAGGCUAAAAUUGAUCUUAAGAUCAAAGUAGGAACAAGUUACAGCAGCUUUUAAUUGUAGCCCUUCGAUACAAACAAGCCCAUCUAAUCCUAGCCAUUCAAACUAAUUAAAAAUGAUCACAUGCUGAUCACGACACAUGACUAGAUAGAAAACAUAAUUACAAACUUUUAACUAAAGUAAAACAUAAUAAGAUAACCAAUUGGAGAUAAAUUUAAGAAUGCUCUUGCAUAACCUAGCCCAACAAUUAAACUUGCCUAAGGCUUGACUUAAACUAGGACUCAAGUCUCAUAAUUUGCUUGCAUUCAACUCACAAAAUGCUUGGAUUCAAUCAGUUUAUUGUUGAGUUAUUCUUGAGCUCAAGUGACCAAUCGAGUCUAGUUCAAGUGUUUAUAUUACUCAGUCAAGAUGGUUCAAGAGCGUAAUCAACUUUUAAUUUUUUAAUAUAUUUUAAUAUUCCAUGUAUGUAAUACUCGUAUAACACUGAAAAAUAUAAAGCUCUAUCAAGUCCAGCUUGGAGGUCUCAGACAUAUGUACCCUCCAAAAAAUUGUUCAAGUUGAGCUUCAGGUCUUAGUUUUGUAAUUGAGUCGUGUCAAGUUCAAGGUUGUCAUUUUGUCAACUUGAUUUGGCUCAGUUAUGCACCUAGACUUUAACCAGCUCAAACUGACUAAAAGGUUACUGAAUUGAAAGUUGAGACAGGGACAAUUCAAACACAAAGUAAUCUGGAAUUCCAAAAAUCCAAACUUAACACCUAAAAACCUUUAAAUGACAAGUGGGUAGUUAUACCCCUUUCGCAGUAAUUGCAUAAAUUCACUUAACUUGGCUUGCAUGUGGAGAACUUGUCAGUGGAAUUGUUCAGUGGCAAAAUGAGUUUCACUGAGCUAUCACUUGUUUGCAGGAUUUGUCUUGGAUAAAGAAGAUUGAAGCAUCACCAGAUCUGACUUAUACUUCAAGGCCCUAUUUCGUCGAUGUGGAUUGCACCUGUAUAAAAUAAAGGUACCUUCUAUUGCAUAUUGACCACUUAAUAAGCUGUUGAUAACGCUUUUUUAAACUGAAUAUUCUGUUAGUUUACUCGUAAAUGCUUUUGACAGUUGUUGUUUCAUGAGGCCUAAUCCUAACUAUAUUUUGACUUUGAAAGAAUAUACAAUACAUAAAGCUACACAGGUCUGCUGUGGUAUCUUAAAUGGUGCUCAAAGUUCUUAAUCAGCCCCAACUUCCAUUGUUUUGAUUCUGAAAAGCAAAACCCCCCUCACUGGCUAAAAUAAAGUGGGAAUCAAUUCAGUAUGGUACAAUUUAUAGAUAUGGUACAUUUAUGGCACCGAUGAUACUUUGCUGCAGAGUUACCUAUAUCAUGUAUUCUUUUAUCUUCCCUAUUAUCAAUCACUUUUACAGAGAAAUUAUGGUCUUGAAGUCAAAACUGGAUACUUUAAUAAUUAAAGUUAUAAUCAACCUCAAAAUUGUGUGCUGGGUUAUGGCGGUAAAGGGGUCAACUUGAUGUAAGUUACGCAACUUGGACUCACACCAUAAAACUCAACCAAAUUCCAACAAAGAUUAGUUGCCAACCCAUCCAGUUGUGUCUGUUACACAUAACCUUUGACUUGCAACAUAACAAUCCCAAGAUGACACAUUGAAAACUGAUAAGUUUAUAUAGAUCAUGCACUAAUAGCCUCAUAUGUUGCCAUUGUCUUAACAACUAAGUCUCUAAGCCAACAUUCAAAAAUUUAGAUCUUGAAACGUUAAAAUACAAGGUCUAGCUAAAAAUCCAAUGAUAGGUGCGGGCUUUAUAGGAUGAGAGAGGGCUUCUCCUAUUGUGAAGCCCUCGUUCCAUUGACUUUCAGAUGUGCCCCAAGAGCAUAACAUUAGUGAGAGGCGUUGUGUGAUCUAUGUUGUUUGGUAAGUUUUAGAUAUCAUAUCAUCUUUUGUAUCCUUAUAUUCUUAUUUGAUGUUGCUGAGUUGAAUCGAUAAGGGUGUGAUUUCUAGUUGCAUGUUCAAAGUUUCCAUUAGAAAUAGGGGCAGGUUUGGUUUGCAAUCCCCCUACUUCAUUUUAGGGUUUUCAACUAUCAUAAUGUAUCCUUCCUUUUGUUAUUUAUUUGUUUGUUGUUUUGAAAACAGGACCAGAAAGGACUCCCUGAGGAAUUGUUUGCUGUAAAGAUGUAUGCUUUAACAACUGAAGGGCCAAAGAAGGUUCUCAAGACAAGAUCCAAGGCGCAAGCCAACAGACCUGACAUCAUCAAAUGAUUUGUUGCCUCUACCUUGUUGCAUUGUUGUAGGAGUACUCAAACUUUCUGGUGUAGGAUGUGAUUGUAUCUUCUUCCUAUGUAAUUUGUUAGCGUAUUACCUCAAAUUGUUUUUACUUUACAAGCUCCUUGUGGACUAGUUUUGUUCUUUUUCGUUUGAAGCUGUAUAUUUAUCCCCGGCAUACCUUUGAAGCUGUAUAUGUUCCUAAAUUCAAUUAUUGCUUCCAUAUUUUAAUUUUAUCUUUAAUUUUUUUUUUUUACCUUUCAAACAAAAAUGAAGAGUAAAUUUUACUAUUCCUUUUUACCAAUUCUUUAAUCCUUAGUCUAAUGAUACUUUAGAUGGAUACUUUUGCUCCUAUUCGCAAGACCAGCCCUCACCCUUUUUGUAGUGUUAUUUUCCAAACGGUGCCGUUUGGCACUUUGCUCCUUACAACCCUAACUAUAAAUUCCUCCUUUUCUCUCUCUCUCUCCUUCAUUUUUCCCCUUACUUUCUCUCUCUACCGCCGGCGGCUCUCUCUCAUUUCUCUCUGAACCUUCAGCUCACUUUCUUCUCUCUUUCUCUUUCGCUUGGAAGUAAUGAGAAUCUCCCAAUCCCAAAAGAGGAAAUCAACUUUCUCUCCCGCACACUGCCAGAACCUUCCUUUCGCUCUCACAAAUCAGUCCCCAACCGAACCCAUUUCCUAGAUCUACGUCUUUGUAAACAUUGGAUUUUUGUUUUGAUGCUUUUUGCUUUUCUUUUUUUUUGCCUUUUGCCAUUUUGGUUGUGGUAUCCGGCUGCUAGAUUAAAAAGUUAGAAGUUUUUGGCUUCUAGGUGUUUGCUCUUUUCUGGAGAUUUUUGUUGAAAGAGCCCCUCCUUUUGUGAAGAUUUCUGCUUUUAUAUAUAUAGGGGCCGAAAAUUCUCUCCUUAGUACUCGGUUAGCCAUUGAUUUAUCCUAAUUUUUAUUGAAUAAAAAUGAAAAUGAAAAAUAGAAUAAUAAGGUAAUAAAAAUAGUAAUAAAAGUACAUAAAAAAAUAGUAUCUACAGCUUGAGGGAAUCUAUGUUUAGUUUUUUAAUAUGUAAACACCCUUUUCCAUGGAAAGGUUAAAUUUUUUUUUCUUUGUUUGAGAUGGAUAUCAAACCCUUUCUUCAUGAACACCACUUGCUCUUUGAUGACUACAUUGAAUCAGAGGCACCUUGUAAUAUAUGCAAUCAGAAAAUUGAUGGUUUGGCUUAUUAUUGUGAAAGAUGCAAGAUUUGGUUUCAUAAUCCCUGCGUUCAUCAUCAGCUACCUCUGCAGAUAAGUGCACAUCCUUUCCAUUCUCAACACAAUCUUAGUCUCUUAUGGUCAAAUCACAUAGAUUACAUAUGUGCUAAAUGUUUCAAUCUUUCUCGAGGUCAUAGGUACCAUUGCAAAGAUUGUGAUUUUAGCCUUGAGUUUCAAUGUGCUUUUUCAAUCAAUGAUGAGAAAAAUAGACUCAGUGACGAGACAUCCAAAAAAAUUGGUCGUUUCAACAAGUCGUUGACCCUCUUUAACUAUAGGAGAGUGAGAAAGUAUGAGUAUAUAUGUAGUUGGUGUGAGAAUCAUUUGUCUGGAAUGUCUUAUGGUUGUCUUGACGAUGGAGUUUAUAUCUGGUUCCACGAUUCGUGCCUAAUCAACAUGCCUAGCAUAAUCUUCAAACACCCUUUUCAUCCAUCACACCCUCUUUCAUUAUGCAACAUUCAUUUCGAUAAUAGAUUGUGCAAUGCUUGUAACCUACCAAUAUGGGAGUUCAGAAAAGCCUUUUGCUGUAGAAAAUGUAAAUUCCACCUUCAUGUUCAUUGUGCUGAACUACGACCCAGUCUGAAGGUUGAGUUACAUGAGCAUAAUCUUACUUAUUUUCGAAUAAAAGCUAAUAUCUCUACCCACCUAUGUAGGAUUUGUGGUUUUAAUUUUGAUGCUAUAGGGAACGAAAGUGCUUUUUAUCGUUGUGUUGAGUGUAAUUUCAAUUACCAUUUCAAAUGUCUUACAAUACCACAUUCUACUUCACACAAGUAUCAUAGGCAUGAUCUCAUGCUUAUGGAUUCAUUUAUAGAAGAUGUUUCUGAAGAAUAUUAUUGUGAUAUAUGUGAAGAAAAAAGAAAACCCAAGCAUAGUGUUUAUUGUUGCAAGAAAUGCAAAUUUGUUGCUCACAUCGAAUGUGUACUCAAUAAGGUAAAGAGAAAUUUACUCUCUCUCUAAACAAAUUUAAUAAAUGAUUUUUUUAUUAGAUAAUCUAUUAAUUAUUUGAUCAUAGGUCACAUAUACUGUGCCAUUUAGAAAAAUUUUGAUGUUAAAUAGUUUCACUUCCCCAGGUUAUAGAUAUAAAACUUGAUCAAAGUGUGACCUCUAGUUUGUUGGAUGGCGAAGCUUCAACAUUGAAGGUGGUGUAUGUUGAUAUUAUUGUGAUGCUUUCACUUGCCAAUAAUUUUUUUUUGAAGGUUACAUCACUUUAGGUCUUUUAUAAUUCCUUGGAUUUAUAUAUUAUAAAGAUUUUUUAGUAAUAAACACUAUUUACGUUUUUGAAUAAAAUUUAAUGAAAAAAAAACUAAAAAAUGUAAAUAACAUAGGUAAGAAACCUCUACUUAUAUAGCAGUAUUCAAAAUCAAUUUGAAGAAGGCUUUAGUAAAAAUAUUGAAUGUUGAAUAAAAUAAAAACAUAUACGUGCAUCAUGUUAAUUUAUGAACAUAUAUAUUUGAUUAUUUAAUUAUUACUUCCAUAUUUUAGUUUUAUUUUAAAUUUUCAUUUUUUUUACUUUUCAAACAAAAAUAAAGAGUAAAUUUUACUAUUAAUUUUGACCUAUUUGUAAUUUUUCGUUUUCAUUUGCCAUUUUGAAUUUGUUUCAAAUCCAUCUGUAUAUUAACAUGCCAAUAAAAUGGAAGUGAAAUUUGUCACGUAAAUUCCACAUAUUAUGUGAAUUAUGUGAAAGUAGUCACAUGGACAUAACUGUAGUGUUUAGAUGGCAAAUUCGUUCCAUAUUUAAUAGUGUAUUGAUGGAUAGAUGAAUUUAAAAUAAAUUCCAAAAGAUGUAGAUGAAAAAAAUCGAGUUUGUUUAGUCAUAAAUGAAAAUAAAAUAUUAUGACAAUUUACAAAUUAAGGAUGCACUCUGCUUAACAAAUGGUGGAAGAUUAGUAACUUUCUUCACUCAACCUGGUUGUGCAGCCGCAGAUUGAACAUUUUGAUCAUCAACAUCCCUUGAGCUAUAAUGGGGCAAUUGAACGGAAUGAAAGUCUUCUCUGCAAUGCUUGCUGUCAAGAAAUUUUUGAUCAACACUAUGCUUGUGGAGAUUGUAAAUACUACUUACAUGAAACGUGCACUGCAUUGCCGUUUGAGGUGUCACACCCUUUUCAUUGCCAGCAUCCUCUCAAGCUCUUCACAGAUAUAGUUGAAUUUACAUGUCAUGCAUGUAGGGAACAUUCUAGUGGGUUUGCUUACAUGUGCCUUCCAUGUGAUUUCCAACUUGAUGUAAACUGUGCUACCACUCCAAUCCCACAAAAAAAUGAGGGGCAAAAGCUGAAAGAGAUGGAGAAAGUUUCCAAGUUGUGCCCUUUCAAUCAAAAUCAUAAGCUAGAUUUCUUCAAUCGUAGAUCCAGUCUCAAAGAUUUGGCUUUGGAAUGCGAUGCUUGCAAGCUACCAAUCUUGGGUCCAGGUUAUACAUGUCGUGAUUGUUUCAAUAUCAAAAUUCAUGAAUCUUGUCUUGCAUUUAUGCGGGAGAUGCAGCUCAACUUUCAUCCAUUACACCCCCUUCAUCCACAAAUCGGCGAUUGGGAAAAUUGUUUUGCCUGUAGAUUUAAAAUCAUUGAAAGUAUCGGUUAUAGUUGUCGACAGUGUGAUUUCCACCUUCAUCUUCAUUGUGCUAAUUCCCUGAAGCUGGCCUUAAAAAUUAAGUCUCACAUGCAUAAUCUCUAUUAUUUUGGGCCAGAUUAUGAGAAAUCUUACCAAUUAUGUAACAAAUGCAAAAGUUACAUUGGUAAGGAACCUUUCUAUUAUUGCGUGGAGUGCAAUAUGAAUUUGCACUUAAAAUGUGUUCCCAUACCAUGUUCAGUUAAAUCCAAAUAUCACAUGCAUCGUUUGACUCUUAAAAAUCAUUUUGUGGAAGAUGAUUCUGGAGAAUACUAUUGCGACAUUUGCGAAGAAGAAAGGAACUCAAAAAAUCAUUGCUAUUAUUGUGAAGAGUGUGUUGGACAAUUUGUUGCUCACAUCGAAUGCGUGCUUCUUACAGUAAGUUUAUCACUAUCAUUUUCUUUGUAGAAUUUUUUUAUACCAUGUUAUUGAAUUUUUUAAAGGAAAAUAAGAAUCUAAAUUACACAUCACAUGAUUGUAUCCACCACCUCUUUGAUUAAUUGGACUUUAUUAAUGGUUAAAGUACCUCAUAGGUCCAUAUACUAUAGAUUUUUCGUUAAUUUAAUCUCUUUACUCAAAACUGGUUAAUUUAUUCUCUAUAUUUUGAGAUAUUAUGUAAUUGACUCAUUUUGCUUAACUCCAUUCAAAUUAACCAUUAGUGGUGCUGGUGUCGCAUUGACAUGCAAGAUAAAAGAAAAAAAAAGAAAUUGGCCAUGUGGCAUUUGUUUCUUUCCUCAUUUGUUCAAAACUACAUUGUUUUAGAGUACCAUUUAAAGCACAUUUAGGUUUUAUUUUUCAUUUUCCUUCUUUCCUUCUUUCUAGCUCUCUUAUCUCUCUAGAUUCCGACACCUAAAUGAAAAUUUUGGCUAUCGUUCAUUAAUGGUAUGAAAAUCUAAUAAAAAAUAAAAAAAUUCAUUUUUUUUGGCCUUAUUUCCCAAAAUUAGGAUAGCUUUUUCAAAAUCUAUCUUGAUUUUCCUAGAUCUAAAAUAAUGAAACUGUAAAAAAGAAAUUUGUUUCUUUCCACUAAUGUGUCCUCAACUUGAUGUUAAUGAUCAAGGGUUGUGUUUUUCAUGUUGUAGGAUUUUGAAUUUGCAGAUGGAAAUUUUCAUGAAUUUUCCAACUUGAAAGAUGCUGACUCACCUAUUGAGAGUUCCUCUAUGGAUAAGUUGCUUUCCCAGCCCCAUGCUGAAGUUUACUUGAAUCAAAACAGAAUGGUAGUUAAGUCCUAUAUAAGUUUAUUUUAAAGAUCUCAUCUUAAUGCGAAAAUGAAUUUUAUUUUAUGAAUAGUUGAAUGGAAGAAAAGUUUCACGAUUUUGUGGGUGCCAUUGUUGUUGCAGAAGUACUGGGUGGAUAAGAAGUUAAGCAAAUACUGCUUCAUGUUGUUUGCAAGAGAUCUUUCAAUCUGUUGGGCGGAAAACCACCUUUACUGGCGCUGGUCAUACCAAAGAGAAACAAACAGGUUAGCAUAGAUUUAUUAUUCAUUUAGAAUCCUUCAUAGUUCUAGCUCGAGAGCUUUCCUAAUCCAUAAACUUUUGAUUUUGCAGUGAUGUGUUGAUUGAUGUUGUCGAACUUCUAGAUGUGUGGUGGCUAGAAAUGCAUGUGAAAUUCAAUGUAAAAAAACUCUCACCAAAAACAUUGUAUGGACUUGUGUUCGUGCUUAUGUUGGCAAAAGAAGCAUGUGGAUGGGAACACCCAGUGAACGUCGGAUUCACUCUUCCAAAUGGGUACAAGGUUGAAUGCAAGGAAAUUUUGAUGACCAAGCCAACAGGAGUGUGGAUAGAAAUCCCUGUCGGAGAAUUUACAACUUCAUUUGAAAUUGCUGGAGAAUUAGAUAUUUACUGUCACCAAUAUGAUGAAUUGAUAAGGAAGAGAGGACUUAUUGUUAAAGGAGUUGCUAUUCUACCAAAGAAUUAAGUUAUAAGUUAGUAUUUUGUCAUAGUAAAUAUGAAAGUAUUAUAGUUUUUUUAUUUGUUCAUAAUCCUGCAAAUACCAAAAUGACCUUAACACUGGAACCAGUUUUUCGGUUCUCAUUAUACAAUAUAGGUUCCAUGCUAAAUGCAGCAAACAAGCCCGUUGAUUGGGUUUUUUGUAUUUUUUAUUAGAUUUUUGGACCACUACUGAUCAGCGGUCAGUGAUCGAAAUCUGGGUUUGGCGAUCAAAAUUUGGGAUGGAAGGAUUGGAUAGAAAGUGAGAGAGAGAAGAGUGUUAGAGAGAGAAGGAAGGAAAAUGAAAAAAAAAAAAACUAAAUGUGCUUUAAAUAGUAAGCUUAAAACGACGUAGUUUGAGACAAAAAAGAGAAGAGAGAAAAAUAAAAGCGACAUGAUCAAUUUUUUUUAUUAGUUUAACACGCCACUUCUACGUUAGCACUUUUUGAUAUGUCAGUGCGACGUUAAUACCACUAAUGGUUAAUUUGAAUGGAGUUGAGCAAAGAGAUUCAAUGGUACAAAAUAUGAGAGUACAAGGACUAAAUUAACUAGUUUUGGAUAGUUGGACUAAAUUGACAAAAAAAUCUUUAGUAUAAGGACCUAUGAGGUACUUUGACCAUUAAUAAAUUCUAAUCAACAAAAGAUGUGGUGGAUUUGAUCAUGUGAUGUGUAUGUGUAAUUUAGAUUCUUAUUUUCUUUUAAAGAAAUUCAAUAAUGUGGUAUAAAAAAUUUCUACAAAGAUAGAAAAAUAUUGUUAGCACCUCAACAUUUUUUAAAACCUUUUCAGCACUUUAAAGCUUUGUCCAUUAAUUAAUCAGCUUGUUUUAGGCAUGUUCUCAUAGUAACACAAGUCUUUACGCUGUAUAGAACCUUUUGUUUCUUUUUAACCUCCUGCAAUCUUGAGCAAGGCUGGUUGUGUAUACAGGGGAGCAUAGUGGUAUAUCCCAGCACAGUUGUGUAUAUAGGGAGAUGUAUGCCUAAGCUGUAGGGAUGGUUUUUGUUCACCUACUCUUUUGUAUAUUGAUUUUGCUUAAAGUAUAAAGGUAUAGAAUUUUUAAAAAAAGAUACAAAAUUGUGGCUUAGCAUCUUGAUAGCCACAUUUGGAAUAAAAAGGUAGCAAUUAAAAAAAGUAUUUUAUCUUUAAUGAUGAGUAAGCUUUCUUUGGCCUUUUUCAUUUUAUAUUCUCUCAAUAAUUUCCUUCUUUAAAUAGAGAAAAAAAAUGUUGACAGGGCAUGAAGCACAUGCUAUUUUCUUGUUUUUGGUAUAAAGGCUUGAGGGAAUCUUUGUUUAGGUUUUACAUUUAAACGCCCUCUCUCAUCAAGAGGCUAGUAGUUGAUCAUCUCUCUCUCUCUCUUCAUCUACCUAAAUUUAUUUCUUCGUUUGUUUGAGAAAACAAGGCAGAGAUUGUUCUGCUAUGGGCAUAUUCUAUACUUGUUUUUGACAGAAAUUUAGUACCUCCUCAAGUCCUUAACCAUCUUGGUGCUGCAAAGAGGGGGUUGUAGCUAGAAAUUAACAACAUAAAAGAUGAAAGCAAGGUUGUUGAUGUGAAUGAUUUAGCUUGGUUUGGGUUAUACAAGGCGCAACAAUUCUUUGAACGUCAAAUACACUUUCCUAUAUUUAAGCUUAUUCUUCAUAAUGUGUAGCACUGCAGGGCAUUUUAUUCAACUAUAUUUUGGUUAGAUUGUAGGGGAAAGAAAGGUAGAGAAAAAGACACAAAGGCGAGAAACAUUUUUAGACAAUGAUUCAAAAUUUAAUUUCAUUAAUAAGUUAAAAAAUUACAGCAAACUGUAAAAAAGAUCAAAAAUUUUUUUGUCUGCUCCUUUUAUUCUCUAUUGGCCAGAAGAGAUGUGCAUUCUUGAACUAGUGAUUUGCAAAUAAGUGACUGCUUUUCCUACAUACCUUUGAGUUGAAUGACCAUGUACUUAUCCAUUCUGUAUAUUUCAACAAAUUUAUGUUAAUAUUCAAGUUUCUAAUAUUUGAAUGAGUUUAUAUUUGAUGCAUUAACAGUGUCUAUAAGAUACAUUGUCAGUGUAUUAAAUAUAAAUCUUAUUUAAAUAAAUUAAGAGUACAUAGUUAAGAAUUACAGGGAGUUUAAUUUGAGAUAGUAGCUUUUUGUAUGUAAGAAGAAAAAGAAGAUUUUGCUGCUUUUUAUUAUUUGUUUUUGUUAAUUUUAUUGUGUCAGCUUGGUUUUAUGUCAACAGCCCUAUCAAUUCAUCAUGGUUAGUGAUCAACAGCUUCAAUAACGAUGCUUCCCAAGUUUAAAAGGGAAAAUAGGAGAUUCCAAACUUAAAACCUUCAUGUCCUUGAGGCUUUUCUUGUUUCUCUGUCCUUUUCUAUUUGCUGUUUUAGUUGCAAAAUUGUGGAAGUAGCAUCUUGAUUGCCACAUUUUUCAUAAAAAAGUACCAAUUUAAAGAAACAUUUUAUCUUUAAUGAUAAGUAAGUUUUCUUUGACCUUUUUCUUUUUCUCAAAAGACAAAGAGAAUAGUAUUCCAUAAAAAAGGAUAUGUGUUAAUUAAAUUAUUUGAAGGCAAGAAAUUAAGAUUAGUAUCAGUAUUCGUUUCCAAAUUCUCACAAUUAUUUCGUUCUUUAAAUAAAGAAAAAAAUAAUAUUAUUUUUGAUCACUCACUUGAUUAAUUAAUUUGAAUUGUCAUUGCAUUAGUACAAUGAAUCGUAAUCACAAUAUACGCGCGACUUGUUUUCAUUGUGCAAGUAAUUAUUGUAUAACUAAAGCAAAAAGAAAGUAAUUGCUAUAUAACAUUAUUUUACCUAAAGGGAAAUAUUUAAUUAAAGAAAAAAUAAGUAAUCCCAAACUUAAAACCUUUAUCCUCUUAAAAACCAAUUAAUAGAGUAAUGCUGAUUCUCUAUAAAGUGAUUUGAUUUCAAAAUGCCAAAGGUCCUUGAUGCUUUUCUUCUUGUUUAAACGAAACACUCCCCUUGCUAAACUAAAGUGAGAAUCAAUUAAGUAUGGUACAACUUAUAGAUACAUUUAUGCCACCAGUAAUACUUUGUUUCAGAAUUAUCUUUCCUUUUUAGAAACAAUAAAGAUGAAUUAUAUAUUAAAAAAGAGAAGGAUAAGAGUAUUCCUUUACAACCAGUCAAAAAAAAACCCACGACUACAUCAAAAACAGCCAAUGGGGCUUAAAAAUUUGGGUAGACCAGUACUUACCUUAGGUCCUGCCAAGUAGUAUUAAAAAGAAAAUAUUACAAAAGGUAAGAAAACCAUAACAAAAGGACCUGUACAUAAUCUUUUCCUAGAAGAAGGAUCCAAAAAAGGGUUCAAUCAAUAUCCCUUAAAAAAAAAGCAGUAUAAACGAAGAAACAUCAAUGGUUCCCAUGAAGUUAGCAGCGAGCAUUGUGAUGCACAACAAAAGUAAAUAAAGCAGGGGACAGAACACGUCACACUAGGUUAAUAUUCUUCUCCGGGGCUGGCAUGGAGUCGUUGAUCCGAAGCAAAUCUGUUGAUCUUGAGACACCUUCUUUGGCUAGCUUGUCAACUUCUUCAUUAGCAGAACCAAAAAUGUGUUUCAUCUCCCAUCUUCCAAUCUUACGAAGAGUAUUAAAUGUUUGAAUUAUCAGAGUCUUCGCUCUCCAUAUCUUCUUUUUGUCUUUCUUAAUAUUAAUCACUUUUACAAAGAAUUUAAUUUUAAUUUUACAUUUGAAUUGUUGCGCUAGGGUAUGGCCGUAGAGGGGUCAACUUGAUGUAAGUUAAGCAACUUGGAUUUACAGCAUAGAACUCAACUAAAUUCCAACAAAGAUUAGUUCCUAGCCCGUACAGAAAAUUUGUAUAUGUUACUUGACUGAUUUACAUUGAAGAAGUAAAUUUGCAUAUCACCCACAUUAUAAACUAAUCAAUUACUGAAAAUAAGAAAUUACCACUAGUGCUUGCUAAAUCUCAUAAAUAAAUCAUCUUAAUAAGCAAUAACUAUGUAUGGGAGGGCUAAUUAUUGUAGUUAACAUUCCUUGAAUUUUACCUCAAAAUUUGUGUUAAUAUUCUAGGUUGUGAUCAAGUCAAAUAUUCAAGUUUCUAACAUUUAAAUAGAUUAGGAGUACUUCAUGAAUGAAGGGGUUUAAUUUGAAGUAAUAGCUUCAAGUAUAGAAGAAAAAAAACAAAGAUUAUGCUGCUUAUUUUUUUUUAUAUUUUCUUGUCUUAGGUUGAUUUUAUGUCAACACUCCUAUCCACUAUUCGGUAAUUUUGGACGUGUGUAUUUCUGUAGCAAUGUUUAUGAAAUGGUUUGGACAGCAUUGAUAGCUGUGGAUCAUGAGACAUAUAUACACUUUGGACAGCUAUUUAUUGAGACGUGCUGGAAGGUGAUUUAAUUAUUUCUGUUGAUUGGGUUAUGUUUUCAGAGAUUGGGCGGAUUUGUUAAAGAGUCCAACUGGACCUAUUUAUCCCCAAAGUUGAGUUUAAUUUUGGCAUUUGGCAUGUGGCAUUGCCAAAGCUCCUCAAGGAAGAGCACUAUGCGAUGAGUGAAGGCCAAAUAAAUAAGAAGAAAAAAGAAAGAAAGAUAGUACACAUCUUGUCAUCACUCAUCAAUUAGACAUUCCAUCCCUCACCAACCCAACGUCCUUGGACAACUUCUUCCACAUAUGUUGUCCAAUAAAAAUCACUCCAGUGUCUCGCAUUGCUUGAAAAGAAAAAAAAAGACUCCCACGUCCUACCGUAUUGGCGAUUGCUACUAUCGUUCUCCACCGCCCGCUUGGUGGCGCCUAUACAGCCACCACCACCACCACCACCAUUUGCAAUUCUCCUGAUUCAGAAUUCUUAUUGCAUUACUACUGUUGGAAAAGUGUUUGAUAAACAACUUUCAGCUGGUAAGUUAGCUUCACUAUAACCUUUAUUAUCAAAAAUUUUUUACGCAUUGCCUUUGGAUUACAAAGCAUCCUGGUCAAAUUGUUUCCGUAGUGACGUAGAAGUUGUCAUUCAAGAAAAAUUACAAGGACGAAUUAUAAAGCAUUUUAAUUCUCAUGGUUUUUUUCUUUAAAGAUUGAUUUUGGGUUCAACUUUAAGAAAUUGUCUUCCACUUGUUCAUUGUUAAAAAACAGGGUCGGAAGAGAAGCAGCUUCAACAUCAUCCACUUGUUCAGUCAACCAAUAAUUAACUGCUGUUUUCAUUAAUCAAUUUACAUUCGAGAAACAACAAAAACAAUGGCAAAAGCACUUCUUUCCAUGAUCCUGGAGCAGCAGUUGGGUGGUUCGUUCAUUCCUCAAGGGAUAAAGCAUCAUGUCGGAUUGGCUGUAGGUCUUGAAGAAGAAAUCCAAAAACUCACCAGCAACUUUGAGGCCAUUAAAGCUGCGCUUGAAGAUGCGAAAGGAUAAACCAAACAGGGCUUGCCUAACCCAAGGCGCGGAGGAUAAGGCAUACCGAUGUGGAUGCGGCCCAUAUCCCAAGCUGUUUCCCCACAGACCCUCCAACAGUGUCCCAUAACUCUAAUCCUACAUCCACCACGGAAGAAUUACAAGACUCCCAAGGAGCGGAGGACGGCAAUGGAGGCAGCUGGCUCCGAUUCCGAUGGCAGAGAAUUCAAGAACCCACAGGAAAUGUGGAGGAAGCAAAUUGGAGAUGCAGAUGAAGGAGAUAACCAUAAGAAGACUCAGUGGUACCGUGAAGGCGUUGCCUAUUGGGAAGUAAGUCUUUCUUAACUCUGGUUCUUACAUUUGUAUGUGGGUACCAUUACCGAACUCAUAGUAUAGUUAUUGGUUUCUUUGGUUGUGCUAAGAGAAGGGUGUGGAGGCAUCGGUAGAUGGGGUGUUGGGUGGAUUUGGGCAAGUAAAUGAGGCAGAUGUCAAGGGUAGUGAGGUUUUUCUCAAUACCCUUUUGCAUGAAAGAUUCUCGAUGGCGGUGGAAGAAAUCACCAUCUUGUUGCUCUUGGUACUUCUCUGUCUCUCUCUGUGUGCUCAACUUUAUAUUGUUUUUAUGAAGUUAUAUACCCAUAUAUGUUCUGUUGAGGUAGUUUGGUUUAUGUUAUUAUGAUUAUUUUUUUACACUAAAAAUGAACCUUAGGUUAUUAUGCGCCAUUAAAUGUGGAAGUGCAAAGUUGGUGAUGGGAUCCUACUUCAUUAGAAUGUAACAUUGGUGGAAAACCUAAUUAACUAUAAAUUAAACAAAAAAACAUAGUGGUGACAGCAGAUAGGGAUGGUGUGAUGGAUGAAAUUUUGAGUUAAAUAUCCGCAAUUAGUGCUUGAAACCGGAAACCAAGAUGACUUGAUAACACAACCAUGAAAAGUUUAUGUCCCAUAAUCCCAACCCAUAAAGGAAAAUAAAUAAAUAAAGAAGAGAAAGGCAUGGAAAUUUGGAUGAAUAUGCAAGAAGCAUGUCAUGCAUUAGAGGUCUUGCUUUGAUUUAGAAUGCCAGCGUUAUAGGUGUUGCAACUAUUUAGAAUGCCAUAAUGCAAUUGAGAAUUGGGUUUACUACAUGCUAUUUUGCUUAAUAAAAAACCAUCUUUAAGCAAUAUUUUUUUUUAAAUGGGGAUUUUUUUAAAGCCCUUUUAAAUAACAUGUUUUUGUAAAAGGCCGACAGGAUACUUUUAACUAUUUUUAGCCAUCAGAAAAGAUUUUGGGAUAAAAAUACCCUUAAUGAGCCGUCUUCGUUAGCGUACACUCUCAAACAGGCGAAAAAUGAGAAAAAAAAAUAUGCAAAGAUUUGUUGUGCAAAAUACCCUUUUUUUUUCGAAGGUUGUGCAAAACAAAAUAAAGUUACAUGAGAUGGUUUUUUAGAGAUUUUGGACAUGGCAUUCGGAUAAUAGGAGAAGAGAGAUAUUAAAUCAAACGAGGAACAGGUCUUCAUGAAUGGAAAGCUUGGCUAAUGAUGUGAAACCAGAAAUCCUUGAUACGGUGGUAAAUUGAAAGGAGAAAGAUGUGAAUCCAAGCAGGAAAUGGUCCUGCUAUAGCAGGCCAUAUGUUAGAUGGCUGUCGCAGGGCAGGUCAGGGUUUAAAGUUUGUGAAACGUCAUGUUGGGAAUGUAUGACACGACACCGCUCAGAGUUGGUGAGACGCCAUUGAGGGAAUCUAUGACACGCUAGAGUUAAGAGUUGGUGACANNNNNNNNNNNNNNNNNNNNNNNNNNNNNNNNNNNNNNNNNNNNNNNNNNNNNNNNNNNNNNNNNNNNNNNNNNNNNNNNNNNNNNNNNNNNNNNNNNNNNNNNNNNNNNNNNNNNNNNNNNNNNNNNNNNNNNNNNNNNNNNNNNNNNNNNNNNNNNNNNNNNNNNNNNNNNNNNNNNNNNNNNNNNNNNNNNNNNNNNNNNNNNNNNNNNNNNNNNNNNNNNNNNNNNNNNNNNNNNNNNNNNNNNNNNNNNNNNNNNNNNNNNNNNNNNNNNNNNNNNNNNNNNNNNNNNNNNNNNNNNNNNNNNNNNNNNNNNNNNNNNNNNNNNNNNNNNNNNNNNNNNNNNNNNNNNNNNNNNNNNNNNNNNNNNNNNNNNNNNNNNNNNNNNNNNNNNNNNNNNNNNNNNNNNNNNNNNNNNNNNNNNNNNNNNNNNNNNNNNNNNNNNNNNNNNNNNNNNNNNNNNNNNNNNNNNNNNNNNNNNNNNNNNNNNNNNNNNNNNNNNNNNNNNNNNNNNNNNNNNNNNNNNNNNNNNNNNNNNNNNNNNNNNNNNNNNNNNNNNNNNNNNNNNNNNNNNNNNNNNNNNNNNNNNNNNNNNNNNNNNNNNNNNNNNNNNNNNNNNNNNNNNNNNNNNNNNNNNNNNNNNNNNNNNNNNNNNNNNNNNNNNNNNNNNNNNNNNNNNNNNNNNNNNNNNNNNNNNNNNNNNNNNNNNNNNNNNNNNNNNNNNNNNNNNNNNNNNNNNNNNNNNNNNNNNNNNNNNNNNNNNNNNNNNNNNNNNNNNNNNNNNNNNNNNNNNNNNNNNNNNNNNNNNNNNNNNNNNNNNNNNNNNNNNNNNNNNNNNNNNNNNNNNNNNNNNNNNNNNNNNNNNNNNNNNNNNNNNNNNNNNNNNNNNNNNNNNNNNNNNNNNNNNNNNNNNNNNNNNNNNNNNNNNNNNNNNNNNNNNNNNNNNNNNNNNNNNNNNNNNNNNNNNNNNNNNNNNNNNNNNNNNNNNNNNNNNNNNNNNNNNNNNNNNNNNNNNNNNNNNNNNNNNNNNNNNNNNNNNNNNNNNNNNNNNNNNNNNNNNNNNNNNNNNNNNNNNNNNNNNNNNNNNNNNNNNNNNNNNNNNNNNNNNNNNNNNNNNNNNNNNNNNNNNNNNNNNNNNNNNNNNNNNNNNNNNNNNNNNNNNNNNNNNNNNNNNNNNNNNNNNNNNNNNNNNNNNNNNNNNNNNNNNNNNNNNNNNNNNNNNNNNNNNNNNNNNNNNNNNNNNNNNNNNNNNNNNNNNNNNNNNNNNNNNNNNNNNNNNNNNNNNNNNNNNNNNNNNNNNNNNNNNNNNNNNNNNNNNNNNNNNNNNNNNNNNNNNNNNNNNNNNNNNNNNNNNNNNNNNNNNNNNNNNNNNNNNNNNNNNNNNNNNNNNNNNNNNNNNNNNNNNNNNNNNNNNNNNNNNNNNNNNNNNNNNNNNNNNNNNNNNNNNNNNNNNNNNNNNNNNNNNNNNNNNNNNNNNNNNNNNNNNNNNNNNNNNNNNNNNNNNNNNNNNNNNNNNNNNNNNNNNNNNNNNNNNNNNACAGCAUUUUACUUGAUAUGCAUGUCGUGUCACAGAAUUUUACUUGUUAUGCAUGGCGUUUGACAGCAUUUUACUUGUUAUGCAUGGCGUUUAACAUCAUUUUACUUGAUAUGCAUGUCGUGUCACAGAAUUUUACUUGUUAUGCAUGGCGUUUGACAGCAUUUAACUUAAUAUGCAUGGCGUGUUACAACAUUUUACUUAUUAUGCAUGGUGUGUCACAACAUUUUACUUGUUAUGCAUGGCGUGUCACAACAUUUUGAUUGCAAUGCAUGGUGUGUCACAACAUUUAUUCCUUAUAUAUGUGUUCAGUGUACCUUGUUGCACAUGACUGCUUAACUCUCUGGUGUAUGUGUGCCAUAUUUUGCAGAUCCAACGCAGAGAGUAUGAGGAUCUUGAGAGUUUGCUGAUCGUGCCGAGGGAGAAGUAGGCGUUCAAUGUCGCAAUUAACACUCACUAUAAGUGGUCGCAGCUGCAUUCCAUCACAAAGACUCUCUAACAGAAGGGGGAGUACGAUCCAGUUAAGCGUACCUGCUUCGGAAUGCUCUUGGACGUAUAUCCACAGGGGUACUUUUACGUCGGUCUCUUGCACAACAUCAUGAUUCACCGGAUCACUGAGAGGCAGUCAAUGGACCACGAGCUAUGGUUUGCCAUUGGCAAGAGCAAGGCGCGACUAUCAAAGCGGGAGUUCUGUCUCAUCACCGGGCUGAAGUUUGGUCCAAUGCCCGAUGUGUUCAGACGAUCAUACGAGGUUGCUGCAGAUGGAAUUCAUGCAAGAUACUGGAACGGGGAGGACAGCGUUAAGCUGCAGGCUUUGCUUGAUACCUUCCGCGGGGGUAACUUUCAGCGACCAAGAGAUGCGACCAAGAUGGCACUCGUCUUGAUCGCGAAUAACAUUUUAUUUGGUCAAGACUACCAUAGACGGGUGACGCCUUAAUUGCUGUCAUUGGUGGAGGACAUCGACGUUUGGAAUGUCUUCCCAUGGGGGCACUAUGUUUGGAAACUGACCUUGGACUACCUUUUGAAGGGGUUCGAAGUUCCUGACUUGAGCGUGACAAAGGAAACUCGGUUACGUUACAACAUUUACGGAUUCGCAUGGGUGAUACAGGUACUAAAACGUAACAUUUUUCAAUUUCCUUUCGAAAAAAAAAUUUAUGGGUGUAGUCGUUUAUGAUUGACGGUCUGAUAAUGGUUACAUUUGGCAUGCAGUUAUGGGCAAUGGAGACAAUUUCGGCCCUCCGAAAAAUAGUUGCCCUCUCUGGUCAGAAGGACAACGUCCACCCAUGAAUGUGCAGAUGGGAUUGCAAUCAGAAGCCAAAAGACUUCUACAGGACAAUUCAGAAGUUAGAGUCAUCUGACCAAGUGAGUGAACAACUGUUAAUUUUUACGUUAUAUUUGUAAAAUAAUUUUCCUUAUUCGAUAAUGACAACAUUUUAUUUGUUUAUUUGUAGUUGUGGGCACUGGAGGCGUUGUAACCCACCACGGAUGAGGCCCUCCGGGAGUAUUUUGUGGACCUUGAUGUCCCGUUAUCAGAGGGCAACGAGUACGUGCCAAUAGGGCACAUGGAGGAUCGGUCAGCUUGGGGCUUAGGUGCGAGGCUAAAAAGGAAAAGCUUGAAGGAGAAAAGAGCCUCUGGUGGCACGAAGAGGAUGCACACCGCCGCUGCUUUAGUUGAUGAGUUGAUGGAUGAAGGGGACGACCAUGGUCAAGGCAGUGAACAGCCAGUAAGGACAAUUGUAACAGUUUUGUGUUCUCCAAUUCCAUUUGUGAUUAUCGAAUAACAUUUCUGUGUUUGCGGUUGGACCAUGGGUCGGCAGCUCCAGAACCACCCACCGGUCUUCCUCAAAUGCAAAGUGGAAACGACCUGUCGGUAAGAUCGGUUCUAACGGUUUGUGUUCUACAUUCUCACAUAUGUUUAUCGAGUAACACAGUAAUUUAUGUAAUUGCAGUUUACGGAAGCGACGACAGGUCCUCAAGCACCGAUAGGUCCAGCUCAACCGCAGACUGCUAACUAGCCGGCGGUAAGGAUAUUAAAGUUAUAACAAUUAAUGUUCAACAAAUUCAUACAUGAUUAUUGAAUAACACAAUUAAAUAUGUAAUUGCAGUAUGCGGAAGCGACAAUAGGUCCUGAAGCACCAAUCGGUUCGGCUCCACCGCAGACUGCUAACGAGCCGCCGGUUAGGAUAUUAAAGUUGUAACGGUUAAUGUUCAAUAAUUCCAUAUAUGAUUAUUGAAUAACAUAAUUAUAUAUGUUAUUGUAGUUGACCUAGUCGAGAACAGUCAAUGACGGAGCAGUCACAACUCGCCAGCUCCGAUGGAUCAUGCGCAAGCAUGAAAAAGAUAUGUUGGAGCUGAAGGCUUCAAUUCAGUCAUUGAGUGUAGCAAUGUAGACGAUUGAGGACCAUAUUGUUGGUCGGAUUCUUGACGGCCUUAAAUCACAAGUACGCUAUUCUAUCUUCGCUUGUAUUUUGAUGGUUUACGUUUAGCAACUAUUUAGACUGUGUUUUCUUGAUGGUUUUAACUGCUUUUUGGUCAUUAGCGGGUCAAGACAUUUCUAUUAUAGUUAGUUGUUGUCGUGUCAGCUUUAGCGUGUCACAACAUUAUAUAUGUUAUUUAUGGCGUGUCACAACCUUUGAUUUUGAUAUGCAUGGCGUGUCAGAACAUUUUGCUUGUUUUCCUUGGCGUGUCACCAAGUUUAUCUUGUUAUGCAUGGUGUGUCACAACAUUUUCCUCAUUAUCCUUGGCGUGUCACCAAGUUUAUCUUGUUAUGCAUGGCGUGUCACGACAUUUUACUUGUUUUGCAUGACAUGUGACAACAUUUUACUAUUUAUGGGUUGUGGUAUUUUAUAAGCUAACUAACUGUUUUUCCAAUUUUGUAGGGCGGUCCAUCUCACAGUGCUGGUCUGGAGCACGAUGAUGCUGAUGAUGGACAACAUCAUGAACUUGGUGUUGACAUUGACGAUGACGUUUUUGGUGCUGAUGGAGAGCACGUAACUCAUGUAGAUGACGUCGUCGAAGAAGCUGUGGCAGUGGAUGUCACCCUUCAGUCAGAUGCUGAAGGAGAACAUCUUCCUCCGGCCUAUGCAUUCAUCGACGCAGCAGCAGGAGCUAUCGUUCAUUAUCGUGAGAGCACUCCUGAUACAGUUGAGAUACGGUUGUCGUCACCAGAGUCAUUUGCUGUCCAUCAUGGUGCAACAAAAGUUUCAAACCCAACUGAGCGGGCACGGUUGAAAAUGGUGAACAAAUACAUGGCAAGCCCAUUCGUCGACCCCUUAGUGACCCGUCGAAAUGUGAGGGAUAAUAUAGGAAAAGACUACGAAGCUUUCAAGAAAGAGGAGUCUGCGAGGUAAGCUCAUAAAUAAAAUUGCAAAUAUUGUUUUUCAAUGAAACAGUUAUCCACCAAGACUUAUGAAAUUAAUUAUGUUACAUAUGCAAGUGUAACAUCGGCAUCUUAGGGGAUCAAGGGGCUGACUUUUUCAUAACCUUAGAGGAUCCUAAUAAGGAAAUGACAAGUGAACAUAUCGACGCAUGCCUCAGCCUAUUCUGCAAGCGGAUGACAGGGCCGAAGUCGAAGUUGUACACUACCCGUGCAUGCAUGGUUGACACGAUAUUCUCCGUAAGUUUAUUUGAAAAUUGUUCAAUUCUAUAAAUACUAAGUUUUUGAUUGCAUGAAGUGUAAGCUAAUAUUUACAUGUUUUACAAGACACCAUCCGUAUACUACACACAGAAUUUCCAACAGAAGAUGCCCAAGCCAAAAUGUAAAUUCGAUGAGUUGCGGGGCUAUGUGGAGGGUGAAAGGCCAACGUACGCCAAAAAAUGGAAAGAUGUUGAUUUCAUCAUCGUGCCUUGCAACGUUGGUGGGCAUUGGGUGGUUGCGAAGAUCGACUUGGUGAGGUGGACGAUCAAGGUUGUGGACGAAGCAAUAACUUCGAAUGCUAAGGAUAACGGAGUUCGUGCGGGUCAGAUGACACCCUUGACGACAAUGAUGCCAUUAAUCUGCCACCAAGCCGGUUAUUUCAACAACAUACGUAGGAAGAGACGGGAUUUGACACCGAUGCCAUUGGAUAUUCAUUUACCAAAAACUAAAGUGCAUUGGCAGAAUGAUAGUGUCAGCUGCGGUAUGUUCAUGAUAGGGUACAUCGAGCAUAUUUUGCAAUCAGAAAAGAUCAGAAUUAAGCAGAAUAUGAUUGCAAAAAUGCGUCGGCAAUAUGCUCUGGAAAUUUUUUCCAACAAUUGGGAGAGUGAACCUUGAACAUAUAGGCCCUUGUUUGUAUAAUUUUUUUGGUACACAUAAAUUUUUUUAUACAAUUCAUUUUAUACACAUUUUUUGUACACACUUUUUAUUGAAUACAAUUCAUUGUAAACAGAUAUAAUUCUUUCUGUAUACACAAUAUACUUUGUAUAAUUAUUUGAUACACAAUUAACUUUUUUGCCUAUACACAAUUAAUUUGAUACCAAUAAUUUUUUUUCUUUUCUAUAUACAAUAUAUUUAAUUUGAUACACAGUCGGAAGAAGUCAGCGUGUGACACCUUAAAUAUGAUACCACUCAACGUGUCCCAACAUACAUCUGCUUGCACUAAGCGUGUCACCCAAAAAUUUAGCAAUUAGUCAACGUGUGAUGCCGUAAAUCCACUAACACUCGGCGUGUCAGCCGAUAAAUAUACUUCCACUCAGCGUGUUAGAAGAAUUGGGCCGUCGUGUGUCACCCCAGGUUGGCAUUAAUUAAUUUCUAGGUUCGUCGUCUUUCUUUUCCAGGCACACCGGCUGCACCAACCCAACAUUACAUUGAUUAACAUUGAAUAUAUAGAUUUUUCCAUCCAUCUAAUUGCUUCCAGCAUGAAAUUGUUCUGUAUCCAUCCUCCCUUAUUUUUCCAGUUGUUUCCAGGCCAAAAUUCUAUCCUGCCAUUAUAAAAUCAUACGUCUAAAUUUACACACCAGAACUUGUUAUGCAUGGCGGGUUAGAACAAUUUAAUUGUUAUGCAUGGCGUGUCGGAACAUUUUGCUUGUUAUCCUUGGCGUGUCACAACCUUUUACUUGUUAUGCAUGGCGUGUCAGAACAUUUUGCUUGUUAUCCUUGGUGUGUCACAACCUUUUACUUGUUAUGCAUGGCGUGUCAUUUCAUUUUUCUUGUUAUGAAUGGCGUGUUACAAUAUUUUAUUUGAUAUGCAUGGCGUGUGACAACAUUUAACUUGUUAUGCAUGGCGUGUCUCACAUUUAUUCUUUAUUUAUUUCUUCUGUAUACCUUGUUGCACAUUAUGGCUUAACUCAUUGGUGCAUCUGUCCUAUGUUUUGCAGAUCCAACGAUAUAGUAUGAGGAUCUUGACAUUUUGUCUGCUCGGUAAUUCUAUGAGGCCUUUUUAGUUACGGACUUUGUUGCCAAACAUUUCAGACAGAUAAGCAAAUACAUGGCUCUUGUCUGAUAAAGAUUGUAAUUAGAAACAUUUUUUACAAACAAAUAAGAAUGUACUUUAACACGAUCUUGAUCAGAUAGAGGCCUUGACAUGCUUAUCUGCCUGAAAUGUUUGGCAACAAAGUCCGUAACUAAAAGUGCCUCAUAGAAUGAUCGAGCAGACAAAUCCGUAAAGCAAAACGAAUUCAACUACAAUUUUCAGAUACAUUUAGUUAGGCGGUCAGGCUGUCUUCAUUCACAACACAGCUUACAUUUUCAGACAUUCUCCUUCGUAUUGGACAGUUGUUGCGUGUGUGAUCGAUUUGUCUGCAACUUGAACAUGCUUUGGGUCGGCGCAGUCGUGGAGUCGCCGAUUGACUUGGAGAUGGUGCUGGAUUUAUGGAUGGAACUGCAAAUGGGUAUGGGCAGUUCUGUCUGUCAUGCCCGUACCUCUUGCAUUGCGAACAUCUCCGUGCUUGACUGCCUUCACCAGCUGAUGGAAUCCUUCUCCUCCUAGGUUUUUCUGUUUGGCCUCGCCAAGGUGAAGGUAAGACGACAAUUUGUUUCACAUGAGGGAGGAUGCCCCACUCACUAGAAUGCCCUACCGGCCUAAUGGAUCCUGAAUAACCCUCCACGAAAACGGUUGUCUUGUAGUAGUCAGCGCAAAAUUCAAUGGCUUCACGAUUGCAUUUACUGAAAAACACUAAAAACUCAAUCUUCAAGCACAAUGUAAAGGCUAUGUCAAUUACGGUUCAAAUAAGAAAUAAAUAUAUUCUGACCUUAUUACUGCAAUGGCAUGGCUGCAUGGCAGUAAAUCUGUUUGGAACUCACAACAUGAACACGUCUUCCUGGACAAGUUUACAAGUCCAUCCAUCUUCCCGUCUUUAACUUCAAACUUCACUCGAUUGAUAAGCUUAACUAGAAAGCGAUGUGCAUCAUUGAACCUUUUACUCAACUACCUGGCAACCCAAGGGCUGAGGGGCGUGGUCACCUUGACGGCCUCUUCGUACCGUUCAUGGAACCAACACUGGAACAUGUCUUUGAUGAACUCGAUCAAAACAGUGAUCGGCAUUUGUCUUGCAUGCUUCAAGCAUGAGUUAACACAUUUCGCAAUGUUGAAUGUCAUCAUUUGGUAUCGCCUUGUCGGUGAACAUGCACGUGCCCAUUUCUCAGGCCCUAUUCUUAUAAAGUUCGCGUGGGCUCUCAGGUGAAUCUGCUGUAUUUGGUUCAUAUGUCUGUUGAAAUCAGCCACCUUAUAGCAAUCUUAAGCAAGGGUGAAAAGCAUACAAACAUCGUCACGCUUGAACUUGUUUUUAAAAUUUUUUUUCAAGUGGUAACCGCAUAAACCAUGGUGCGCUUCUGGGUAUGCAUUUUGGAUUGCUUUCUUAAUGCCGAGAUGCUGAUAAGAAAUGAACAUAGUGUUUUCAGGACAACCAACCGCAUCAUGCAGCUUAAGAAACCACAUCCACGAGUCUUCGUCCUCAACAUGGCCGAUGCCAAACGCAACUAGAUAUAUGCACUCAUUCACAUCUUUGCAUACAGCGACAAAUAAAACACCUUUGAACCUGCCUUUCAGAUGUGUCGCAUCAAUUGCAACCGUAAGACGCAUUACAUCCCUAAACCCCCGAAUACAAGCCCUGUAUGACCAGAAACAAUAUUUGAAUCUCUCUUCCUCAUCAGUAGCCAUUGCAGUCACUGUGCCAGGAUUUUCUUGUUCCAACAUAUAAAAAUACGAUGGUAGUAGUUGGAAUGACUCCUCCGGUGGACCGAAAACAAGCCUCUCUGCAUACUCCUUCGCUUGCCAAGCCUUACCAUACAAGCAUUCCAAUCCCCACUGAACCCUCAUCUCACAAAUUAUGUCCUUAAGUCUCAAUGCUACUCCAUUACCCCGAAUCUUGUGUGACAUAAGUUCACCAAUCAUCUUCCCACUCGUAGUUGGAAACCGUCCUUGCAAACCAUCAAUGGUACAGGUAUGUACUUUGUGGAAUGUUCGAACUUUCCAAUAUUCUCCUCUAUCAGGUAACUUCAUUGCACGAACACUGAACUUGCAUGCCUUGUCCUUGCAACCAACCUCAUAACGAGCUUUACAUGACUUUUUUACUCUUAUCGCAAACUUCUCUUUUAUAACCAACAUGUUCAAAGCUCGUUUCAACUUUGCCUUCGACGAAAACAUUCUUCCUUUGUAUAAGCGAUCUUCGGCACAUGUCGACUCCUCAGUGGUAAUUGUUUGGAAGAAGAACCUUUCUGCACCUGUAAUUACCUACAUACGAGAUAUCCUUGCAUUUCCCCUUUCCUGAUCACUAUCAUCGAGCAAUGUAUCAAAGGAACGAAUCUCGUUCUCACCAACGAUGGGGUUAUUGUAUAUGGGGUCAUCACACUGAACAUCUCCUACAUUAACACCUCCAAUAGGUUCCGUUUCGCCUUCAACAUUAUUGCAAACUCGAAUGUCACUGUCAUAAAGGCAGUCAUCGUCUAAACUGUCACCUUGCGAUUGUUCAAGCCCAUCAUCUGAAGUGUGAUCAAAUCUAUCUUCACCGGCAGCGAACAAAUUCUCAUUUCCCUCAUCAAAUGCAGUAUUAUACUCCAACGUCGCAGUGUCACCCUCCAACCUCACAUUGAUAUCCUCAACUAUCGUAUUCUCAUUUGACAAUGGCAUUUCACACUCUACAGUUUCACCCGAUCAUUGCAUUUGUUCAAGAGAAGAAAGAAAUUGGUUUAAUGCACAUCCUGAUGGAAAUUGUGCAGCCAACUGUUCUGUUAAUGUCGUUUGUCUACCGGGCUGCACAAACUCUUGUGCAUACCUCAAUUGCCAUUGUUGUGGGUUACGGACCGAAUGCUGUGGUAUAUGUGAAGCAUUUUAAAUCUCAUUUUAAUUCAGUUGAUUACUAUGUUGUCCAACUUCUCCAUGUGACAUAACAUUUGUUUGGCGUCUCUUAAUGCUGACAUACACAGCCGGAACAUUCCUCUGUUCUAGCAAAAUUAAUGCAACAUCUUCAUCGUCCUUGAUAAUUGGCCGUGAUAGCUCUCCAAGUGUACUGAUCAAUGCAUGUAACUCAAUCUCGUCAAUUUCUAAGUUUACCCCAACAACAUCUUCAACCAGCUUUAUCAAGCCCAUAAACGACAAAUCACUCUUAACCCCCCGCAUUCGUGACUCACCACCCUUGUAAAUGCCAUCCAGCCACUGACCAUCGUGUCUUAUCACAAGUCGCAUAAUUGAAACCCCACUGAAAUUUUGAAAAAAAAAUUAUCAAUCAUUUUACACAAUACAUGCCGUGAUAAAAAAUUUGUCAGUCGUGUUGUUACACGCCAUGCAAAUAACGUAAAAUGUUGUAACACGCCAUGCAUAUCAAGUCAAAUGUCGUGACACGCCAUGCAUCAGUAUCGUUACACGUCAUGCAUCACUGUCGUGACACACCAUGCAUCACUGUCUUGACACGCCAAUCACUGUAAUUACUGACUGGUUACACCAACAUCCGUGACACGCUAAAAACCCAAAAAACCAGUUAACCCAUGACACACCAGGAACAGCCAUGACACGCCAAAAACCCAUAAAUUCAGUUAACCCACCACACCCCAAGAACAGCCGUGACACGCUAAAUAACUCUUCACUCAUGUUAUAGAUGCAUGGCGUGUAACAACUUUGGGCAAUGUUUCUAAUCCAUCUUAUCAUUUACACCAAAUGUUUCAAAAAUUUAAGUGUGUUGCAGAAAUAAACCUAAUAACAGGUACCUUGAUGUCAUCUCUGCUAUAGGGUGUGUUAAUCUACGACAAUGUGGCCAGAUGUCGAGAGAUAAACCACAGCCCGAUGACGAUGGUGCUCAACAGAGAGUUGACAGAGCUCAUACAAUUCAAAGAUUUGAGAGAGCUGACAAUGAUGGUGCUCAACAGAGACUUGCCACAGUUGAGACAAAGAAAGAUGACCGAGCCCAAACAGCUUUGUGCAUUUAUUUUUAAUGUUUUUCAUUUUCUCUCUGGUAGGAGGCAGAUAGCUCAAACAGCUAAGCAUUUAUUUGAAACGAUAUUUUUAAGGGCAUUUUGGUCUAAUUCAUGUUUAUUUUUGGGUAGAAACAGAUAACUUUAUAUGGGUGGUUAUUUCUGAAAUCACCUUAUCACGAUAUCCUUCUCUCACAAUUUCCUCUUUUUAAAUUUGGGAAGAAGCUUGCUAGGAGUUCUCUCUCUGUCCCUUAAGGGUUGUGUGCUUGUGGGGGGUGGGUGUUGGGGCACCCCUAGACCCAAUUUGAGACUGUUGUGAGUACUCAGAAUAAAGGAAAGAAAUUUUUGUGUUUAAGAUUGAAAAAUCACUUUCACAUUACAUCAGCAACGAAGAUGCUAUAUCUUGCUAAUAUUCUGGAACUUGUUAUCCUUUGAAAGGCAAAAAUUAGAUAUGUCUUCAGUAUGUUUUAUUACUAGGAGAUUGAUUCUUCAACAUGAGUAGGAUCUAUAAUUGCCUAUAUAUGAAGUUGGUCUUAAUACUUGUGAGUUGGUGGACUAUACUAGGGCAAUUAACUGAAAUCUUACGAAGGGGAAUUGUAGGGGAAAUUAUUUAGGAAACUAAGCAGUUGGAGUUUGGCUUUAAUGUAAAGAUAUUUUGGUAACUAAGCAAUAAUGGUUUGGCUUUAAUAUGAAGAUAAUUAAGUGAUUUCCACAAGUUUUAUUAUAAGUAAUAUGAUAUAAGAUGCACUUAAGCACUUAGCUUUAUGAUUUGUGCAUGUAUCCCUUGCUAAAAGAGCUGGUUUUAAAUUACCCUCCCCUAAUGAAAUAAAAUAAAACAUGAUAAUUGAUGGUUGUGCCCUCAAACUUUUGCCUUCAUAUGGUUUAUGUUGGUGGAAUUAAAACAAACUCUUUUGAUGAUCUUAGUGUAGAAGAAUCUGGUACAUUUUAGGGCUUAGCAUACUAAAUUAAACUAUGUCAUAAUUCUCAAAACACUGCAUUGCUGACCUUUUUUUCAAGUCCAUACAUUAAGUAGUAGAAAUACCUGCAAAUGGUUCUAAAGCAUACUUAAAAUAUUACUGCAGUACUGAUCUGUUUGGUAUUUCAUUUUUCUUGAUGUUUUUAAUUCUAAUUGAAAAUCAUAAAUCUAGUUGACAUUCUGAGCUCUUAGUUUCUAUGUUAAUUUAACAUACUGCAGAUUGUGGUUCUGGCAUAGGAAGAAUAACCAAGAAUCUUCUCAUAAGAUAUUUUAAUGAGGUAAGGUCAUUUUUCUCUUUCUAUUAGCAUAUUUUUAAUAUUUCUGACAUUUACCAUCUUUGCAGUUUAUUGAUAACAUGGUUCAUAGUGCAUAAUUUUUACUACCUAAAGAAUUUCUCAGUUGUAUUUGAAUGAAAAGCAAAAUUGGGUAGUGCCUUUUAAAAAAUUCAUGCAGGACAUGAGGAGGGUACCCAUUAAUUUCAAGGUACCUAAACCUUAACCCUAUAAAAAAUCAAAUAUCUAAACCCUAUUAAUUACCUGAAUAAUUUUAAAAGUUACUACCCUAACCUUAACCUUAACCCUAAUACAUUCCCGCUAUCCUAUAAUUACCCUAACCUAUUUAAAAGCCCGAUUAGAUAAAAAAUUUAUUAAAAUGUUCUUCAUGGGUACCCAAUUACCUAAACCCGAACCUGUAUUCAUAUACAAUAAUAUUUCUUCUACAUUUUACAUAUAAUUAACUACUAAUUAAAUUAAUAAAAGCACAAAUAAUAAAAUUUAAAUUUAAAUAAUCAAAAACUAUAAAGUGUGUUUAUAAAUUGAACAUAAUAUAUAAUAUAAAUCAAUAUUAUUUUAUUGUUUAAUAGUUAUUAACUUAUAUAAUAGCAAUGAUAUUCUUUAUAAAUGAACAUAAUAAAUAAUAUAAAGUAUAUGUAUUAAAAGACAAUACAAGUUAUAUACUAUAAAGUGUGUAUAUAUAAAUUAUAAUUAAUAAUUUUAUAAAUUUAUAUUUUAUAANAAAUUAUAAUUUUUAUAAUGUUAACAAAAAAUAAAAAGUAAAUACAUUUAUUUUUAAAGUGUAUAUAUAUAUAUAUAUAUAUUAAAAGUAUUUUAGUGUAUAUAUAUAAUAGUGAUUAUAUUCUUUAUAAAUGAACUCAAUAUAUAUAAAGUAUAGAUAUUAAAAGAUAUUACAAGUUAAUUAAUAAUCAUAGUUUCAUUAAUUAAUUUAAUUAAUUAUAUGAGUUUGUCCUUUACUACAAGAAAUUAAAAAAAAUAGUUAAGUUUCAAAACUAUUCUAAUCUCACAACUUCUUUUUAGAUAAUUAAGUUUAUCUAUAUAAAAGUAUCUAUAUUAUAAUUAAUAAUUUUAUAAGUUAUAAUUUUUGUAAUGUUAACACAAAAUAAAAAGUAAAUAUGGUUAUAUUUAAAGUGUGUACACACACUAAAAAUGUUUUAUUAUAUGUAUAAUAGUAAUUAUAUUUUUUAUAAAUGAACCCAAUAUAUAUGUAGACACUAGUUUUUUAGGUGAAAUAAACAUUAAAAAAAUAAAAGAAAAAAGAAAAAAAGAGAGAAAAUCAAAAAAAUAAUAAAACAAAAAUCAUAAACAAAAAUGAAUUAAAAAUAAUAAUAAUAAAAAUAGGAGAGAGAGAGAGAGAGAGGGGUACGACUGGUAGGGUGCGGACGCACCCUGCCAGGCACCACCCUCACUUUGCUAUACACGAAAAAUUCGCGUCUAGCAGAGUAAUGGGAGCGUGCCCCCUUUUGCCCAGUAUAAAGGGGGCACUAUAGCACAGGGAUCGGAGGAAUCGAUAAUAAAAAAAAUACCUUGGUAACAUUCAGCAACCAAAAAACCCUAGGAAUCUCUUAAAACCGAAAACAAACCCAGAAAAAAAUCGCUUGGAGUAAAAAACCUGCAAACCAAAAAUUCCUAAGAAUCCCUAGCAAAAUCUAGCAACCAAAACACCCAGCCACAAUCAAAAACAUCCUAAGCUUUCUAGCAGCCAGAAACCAUCCACAAUCGAAACAAAAAAAUUAAAAAAUCACAAAAAGGGAAAACGGGUAGCCGUGUUCUCUUUUUGGGGAUUUUUAGUUUGUUUUUUUAGGGGAGAUUUGGAGGGGAUUUCAGCAACCGAUGAGGUAUUUGAGUUUGGGGAUUUCGUGCCGCCGUAGUAGAGAGAGAGAGAGAGAGAGAGAGAGAGUGAGUGAGUGAGUGAGUGAGGAUUUGGGGUUUUUGGGAUACCACCGGUUUUAGAGAAAUAGAGUUAGGGCUUGGGUUUGCUACCGGUUCAAGGAAGGAUUGACCGGCGACUAGAAGGGAAGAUCUAGUCGGUCGACGACAGGGAGGGUAGAGCCAGAUUCAGACGGUAAAGAGAGAGCAGAAUCAGGCGAUCGGCGGUGAGGAGUGUGAUGCACCGUUUGAGCAGGAAAGGAACAGGAAAGUGGCUGUCGGUGAAGGGUUUUUGAGAGAGAGAAGCUGACGCCGGUGAAGAGGGGAAGGAAGAAGAGUUUUUUGGAGAGAGAGGACAGUAAUCGGCGGCUAGACAGAGAAACAAAAGGUAGAAAAUGAAAGGUUCUAGGGAGAAGAAAGAAAGGUGAGCGGUAAGGGAGAAGAAAAGAAAAAAGAAAAAAAAAGGGAAGGUUUUUCUCCAUUGCACCAAACAAUGCCGUUUUGGGCAUACCAGGGGUGGCUGUGUAAAGCACCAGACAGUGGGCUUAGUGAAGAUCGUGGGUCAACAGGUUAGCUUGGGCCCACUUAGCCCAAUCAGGUAAAAUAUUACUCAUUGCCAAAUGGGUCUGUGGUGAUUUGGGCUGUCUAAACUGUUAUGAUAUGGCUUGUUUAGAUUUAACCCAAUUUAUUUAGUUAGAGCUUUAAUACUUGAUGAUAUAAAAUUAAUUUUAAGUUAUUAUAAUGUUCUAAAAAUUUCUGGAUAAUAGUCCUAGGGUUAGGAAAUUACUAAAGAACAGAAUAACAUAAAAAUAAGGAUAGCAAAUAUAUAUAUAAAAAAUAAUAAUAAUAACAUUUUAGAAAGCGUUUAGUUAUGCAAAGAACUUAAGUUUAGGAGAAUGUUUAUUGCAAAUAUAUAAAUAACCCUUUUAAAUACAUGUAUAUAAAAAUAAUAUAUAAAAAAAUAUAUAAAAAUUACCAUGACAUCAACUACAAAUAUAAUACUGAUGAUGGGAUGAUUGGUCGGGACGGUAGGAGUCGCAAUCCCAAGCUAAUUUUCUUUAGGUUCGGAAUCCAAAUUAAGGCUUCACCAGUACGAUGGGAGGGCCUCGAUUUUGAGAUUCUGAGAUUUUUAUUCUAAAUAAAUAAAAUUUUACUACAUAAAGAAAAAAUUAGUCAAAAAAUAAUAAAUAAUAAAUAAAUAAAAAUAGAAAAAAUAAAAAUAAAAUAAGCAUAAACUUCACGAACAUAACAUAUAUUUUUAUUGCAUCAUGCAUACCAUUGCAUAUAAGUAUUUUUGUUUACGAGUUAAGCCCCGAUGAUGGGAUUUUUCGAGGAUCUUGUGAAGGUUAGUAUUUCUUGGAAAGUUUCCUAGGUGAAAAGAUGUCUUCGGGUCCCACCAAUAUGAUGGGAGGGCUCGAAAAAACAUCUUUAAUAAAAGGCUUUCGCUCGUAUUAGGUUCAUUAUUCACGAAAAUAUUAUUUUUUAAAGAAAAACGUGCGAUAACCCCGAUGAUAGGAUUUAUUCGUUGAAUUUGUGAAGGCGAAUUUCUUGGAUAAUUCUCUAAGUAAGAGAACACCCCGGAUCCCACCAGUAUGAUGGGCGGAUUCGGGAGAACGUCUUCGAUAAAAGGUUAUUCGUUCGACAUUUUUUAUCUCACGCCGUGCAUUUCAUUUUACCUUACACUUGCAUUUCAUUUUAAAAUCAAACAAAAUAAUUUAAUAAAAUUGGAGAUAUAAUAAGCAAGUUAUAGCUAAGGAAAUUAAAUGAACUUAAAAAAUAAAGCCUAAUAGGAUAAUCUAAAAAUAGUACCGUUCAUGGAACGGGCGUUUCAGGGGUGUUAAUCUUUCUCCGGGCGUAACCGUACUCCCGAACCUAGAUCUCGAAAAAUGUAGAACAAUUUAAGAUUCUUUCGACGGGCUUAAAUCUAAUUAAAACUCUAUCGAUUAGAAUCGAGUUAAUAGAUGGCCAAUCACACUUAGUAAAAAAGAUUGGUAGCGACUCCUAGUUUUUAGAGUUUUCACUCACGUCUAGCGGUUGGGUUCCCGGACCUGCACGUUACGACAAUAUAUAAAGUAAAUAUAUUAAAAGAAAUUACAAGGUAAUUAAUAAUCAUAGCUUUAUGAAUUAAUUUAAUUAAUUAUAUGAGUUUAUCCUUAAUUAUAUGAAAUUAAAAAAAAUAACUAGGUCUCAAAACUAUUCUAAUCUCACAACUUCUCUUAAGCUUUGCAUAUUAUAAGUUUAUAUAAACAAAGGUAUAUAUAUUAUAAUUAAUAAUUUUAUAUGUUAUAAUUUUUUUAAUUUUACUACAAAAUAGAAAGUAAAUNAUAUUUCUCUUACAUAUUCUAUAUAAUUUACUAAUGAUUAAAUUAAUAAAAACACAAAUAAUAAAAUUUAAAUUUAAAUAAUCAAAAACAAAUAUCUCAAAUAUAACUAAUAGAAAGUAAAUAUAUUUAUAUUUAAAGUACAUAUACAUACACACACAUUAAAAGUAUUUUAAUAUAUGUAUAUAUAUAAUAGUAAUUAUAUUCCUUAUAAAUGAAUCUAAUAUAUAUAAAGUAUAUAUAUUAAAAGACAUUACAAGUUAAUUAAUAAUUAUAAUUUUAUGAAUUAAUUUAAUUAACUAUACGGAUUUAUCCUUAAUUACAUAAAAUUAAAAAAAAAACAUAACUUGGUUUCAAACUAUUCUAAUCUCACAACUUCUCUUAAGCUUUGCAUAUUAUAAGUUUAUAUAAACAAAAGUGUAUAUAUUAUAAUUAAUAAUUUUAUAUGUUAUAAUUUUUUUUAAUUUUAAUACAAAAUAGAAAGUAAAUAUAUUUAUAUUUAAAGUGUAUAUAUACUAAAAUUAUUUUAGUAUAUAUAUAGUAGUAAUUAUAUUUUUUAUAAAUGAACUCAAUAUAUAUAAUGUAUAUAUUAAAAAACAUUUCAAGUUAAUUAAUAAUUAUAGUUUAAUAAAUUAAUUUAAUUAACAUAUAUGUUUGUAUUUAAUUAAUGAAAUUAAAAAAAAUAGUUAGAUUCAAAAACUAUUCUAAUCUCAAAGACUCUCUUUAAGUAUAUAUAUUAUGAGUUAUAAUUUUUGUAAUAUUAAUACAAAGUAAAAAGUAACUAUAUUUAUAUUAGAAGUAUAUAUAUAAUAGUAAUUAUAAUCCUUUGUAAUAUGAUAUGAUAUUCAUAUUAUUUAAACAUAAUUUAUAAUCUAAUAAUUUUUUAAUUGAAAUAUUUUAAUGUAAUCACAUUAAUAAUUUGAGUAACCAGACUUUUUAAUAUAUUUGUCAGCUUUUAAUAAAUAUAUUAAUGUUGAUUAUUUUUAAUUUAAUCAUUUAAAUAACAACAAAAUAUAUAUAAACAGGUAUUGGGAUCGAGUUCGAGGUGGGUACCCGUGUAACUUGAAUAGUAACAUAAUCGGGUUCAGGUAGCGGGUACCCAAGAGGUACUACCCCGAACCUGAUAUGGGUAGUGAAAUCACUAUCCGAACCCGUCCUAAACUUGAUUAUAGGGUAUCUUAAUCCGAUAUAACCGGGUUGGAUACCUGUGGGUAUCUUAUAAUAGGGUAUGCAUUGCCAUCCCUACACAUUAAUAUGUAAUUCCAAUACAGUGAACAUGAUGUGGAACAUGGUGGACUUUUUCUUUUUCCUCUCUUUUUCUUUCAUCGAAUGAUAUGAAUCAGUGACAUAGUAUUAGUUGGAGCUACUAUCUUAAUAAAGCUGCAUAGUACUUUGUGAUAGCUAUGCUUUUGGACCCCUCUUCCCUUUACCAUUCUCCAGGUUGAUCUACUUGAGCCAGUUUCGCAUUUCUUAGAUGCUGCCCGUGAAAGUUUGUCUCAGGAAUAUUUUGUAGCCUCUGAUGCGCACAAAGCAAAUAAUUCUACUGUGUCUCCCUUCAGGUCAUGUACUUCAAGACUACAUUCACACAUGGAUACAUGCUUCUUGAUGUCUUGAAGUAUUCAUAACUAUGGUUAAGUCCAUGUAAGCUAUGUAUUUCCAACUUUUCACGUUUCCCUAUAUUGCGGAUGUAGCCAUGUAAUUUGCACCUCAAGCAGGCAUGUUGUUUGAGUACAAUCCUGGGAAAAACUUACAGAAGUUAAGGUAAACAUGUUAAAUAUGGGUUUGCAUCUGGAACUCACAUUUGAAUCUGGGCAACAUAGUCUGUACUCUGUAGGCGGCUGGAUUCAAGUAAAUUUUUGCAAACAAUUAUUUACUCUUUUGUGUGUGUUGGGGUGGGGGGGGUAGGGGACAGCAUAUGGGCUAGUGAAUGAGCCCUUUAAGUUGGUGAUAUAUGUGCUUGUCUUCUUCUGAUGCUUCUGGCUGUUAAAUUUUACUUUAUAAAACAGAAAUUUGACGACCAUUUUUUUUUUGUCUUUUGCUUUUUCAGGAGUUCACCCCUGAUGCUGGAAGGUACAAUGUUAUUUGGAUUCAGUGGUGCAUUGGUCAUCUCACAGAUGACGACUUUGUCUCAUUUUUUAAGAGAGCAAAGGUGAAUAAAUCUUCUUCUUGAGACAGAACUUACUUUUUAUUUGACAUGUUGUGCUGUGUGGAAGUGCAUGGAAAGAUCAAAAUUAUGUAUUGAAAUUUUCUUGCCUGCUGUCUACUAUACAUUCGAAGUGCCUUGUUCUGAUUUUUGAAUUAUGAACUGUCAGAUCAUUGCAAUGGUAUCUCAAAUUUUCCUUUUCCAAAUUUAUUGCUUCAUGCUUUCUCUCUUGUAACGUCUUUUAAACCUUCUCACAGCUAUAGGAAUUAAGGUUGUCUAGAGAACACAACAUAGCAAACACCGGAAGGAUGAUAUCGUCAAACUCUUUUUUCUUUUUGCCCUUUCUUUUUGCAAUGUGUCGUGUUGUUCAUUCUAUUCUUCUUCCUGCUAGGUAACUAGCGCAUUUGAUGGGUUAGUUUGGAGUGUUUGGGCCCAUCCCUAGCACCACAGAAACAAGGCUGGAUAAUACUUUAUAAUUCAUACAGCUAUUUUGCUAUCAUCCGUUUUCUCACCUUACAAAAGCUUGUGACCAAAUUUUGUUGUGCCUUGUGCAUUGAAAUAAGAUUUAAGAAAUGAUGGUAGGUUGACUUUUGUCCCUUAAGUUUGUAAAUGGUGGGAAAUAAAAUUAAAUCUAGAAAGUGCCAUAUUCAUUUCAUUUUUUCCAGGUGCUGUUAAGCAUAACCUUUUACACUGCCUUCAAUGUAUUUUCAUCAAAAUUAAGCAAAACAUAUUAAUAAUAAAAAUCUCCAACAAGGAAAUUCUUGGGCAUGUGUAUGUGUAUGUAAUUUGGAGACCUGAUCUCUAAGUUGUGUCCUGGAAAGAACCUUGUUGAAAAUUAUUAUUCUUGCAUAUAUGAUUUAAAAGAUUCUAAUUUGCAUUUUAAUUUGAUAUACUAAUGAAUUUGUUGAUUCCAGGUAGGCCUUAAACCUGGUGGAUUCUUUGUCCUGAAAGAGAACAUUGCUAGAAACGGUAUUGUCUUUAUGACUCUUUGAUUUUUCUAAGCAUGUUUGUUUGCCCUCCCUCCCUCUCUCCCUCCCCUUUUUAAGAAGUGCUCAAGUUUUGUUUAAAGUAUUCCUCAAACUUUCUUAUGUUUUGGUAUUCUGUUGUAAAUUUUCGUGAAGCUGUUUUUUUUUUUUGGAAAUGCCGCAUGUCAUCUCACGUAUGAGAAGACAUAAAGUUGCUUUUUUGAGCUGAUAUUACUUUUUAACUUCGUCUUAUUAUGUAAUUAUCUGCCCUCUACAACUUUGAAGUAAAAUAAUAGUUUAUAAUAAUAGAUGUUCAAUUAAAAGAUAAAUGGAUAAAGGAAUUUUUAAGCUCCAUUUACACAAUCCAUUGCUUGAUACUAAGGGAAGCAGCAAGUUUUUGUUUUAUGCAUUCCUCAAACUUUCUUAUUUUUUGGUAUCUUGCGGUAAAAUUUUCAUAAAGUUGCUUUCUAGAGCUGAUAUAACUGAUUAACUUUGUUUUAUUAUGUAUUCAUCUGCCCGCUACUGCUUGAAGUAUACUAGUUAAUGUUUUAAAUGUUUAAUUAAGGAUAAAUGGGUAAAGGAAUAUUUAAGCUCCAUUGUCUUAUUUCGUUGCUUGAUACCAAGGGAAACAGCCAAAAAGUGUUGCAACUUAUAAUUCGCAGGUUCAGGAUGAGUUUCAUCUACUCAAAUGGGUAUGGGGUAUAAUUUUAUUAUGCCACCUAUUUGGGACACCUUUUGGUAACACUGUCUAUACAACUUUCUUCACUGAAAAUUCAUGAUGUAGUGGGGAAGUAGAAACAAUAACAAGAAACCAAAACAGUGAACAAAACCAGAACAAAGGUUAAAAUUGAGGUAAAACCGAAGUCGUAACAAGUUACAAGCCAGUAAGGCCAAUUGUCGAGCAUCUUAAGGUUAAAUAAACAAGUCACUCCCAUCUCAUCUGUAAUAGAUUGAUUCAAACCAGCUAGAUAACGAGAAGUCAACUGCUCAUUAGUCUCUUUCAAACCAACCCUAGGGAAAGGUCGUUGAAACCUGAAUGAAAUUUCUCAUUCAACUCCAUUUAAUCAGCAGCGGAAAUUGCCUCCUCAUCUUCAUUUUCAUGUGUUCCCAAGUGUUGAUUUUGGCUUGCCUGGAUGUGUUUGCUGCUCGUCAACUCUCUUCCACCAUUGAAGUGCACGCAGUCCCUUCAACUUAAGCUUCACAAACAGCACCUUUCUUUGUUCUGCCAUUGGUUUCUACUAAAAAUAAUUUUCGAAACUAUCUUUCUGAUCUGAAUAAUCUUUUGCAUGCAUCUUUUUCCGGAAGUCAUCUACCUUAAUUCUAACUCCACCACCAUUGAAGUCUAGGCAUGUAACAAUCAGCCUUCCAAUCUACCACAAACAGCACUAUUUGCUGGUCGAGCAUUAUGAAAGGGGUUUUUAUCCUCUCCAUAUUCAAUUUCAUCCUCAAGAACACCUACCGGUAAACCGAAAGGGUCAGUAUUGCCUUGUGGAUUCUCCAUACAGGCUCCCAUUGGUUCCUGUCACUUUAAAGCUUGCACAGCCUGCAACAAAUCUUCAAUCAUACCCAUCAACUCAGCCAGUUCUAUUUGCCGGUCUUGAUUUCUUUUCCACGUCCGCUAACAAGUCCUCUACCACGAUUAGCCAUGGUUUAUAAGCUAAAAUCCUAGUUCAACUUUAAGAUCUCUUCAUCUGAUACCACUUUGAUGUAGUAUGGAAGUAGAAACAACAAAAACAAAAGAAAAACAAUGACGAAAACCAGAACAAAGGCUAAAAUUGAUCUUAAGAUCAUAGUAGGAACAAGUUAAAGCUGUCUAAAGUUACAGCAGCUUUUAAUUGUAGCCCUUCGAUACAAACAACCCCAUCUAAUCCUAGCCAUUCAAACUAAUUAAAAAUGAUCACAUGCUAAUCACGACACAUGACUAGAUAGAAAACAUAAUUACCAACUUUUAACUAAAGUAAAACAUAAUAAAAUAACCAAUUGGAGAAAAAUUUAAGAAUGCUCUUGCAUAGCCUUGCCCAACAAUUAAACUUGCCUAAGGCUUGACUUAACCUAGGACUUAAGUCUCAUAAUUUGCUUGCAUUCAACUCACAAAAUACUUGGAUUCGAUCAGAUUAUUGUUGAGUUAUUCUUGAGCUCAAGUGACCAAUCGAGUCUAGUUCAAGUGUUUAUAUUACUCAGUCAAGAUAGUUCAAGAGCGUAAUCAACUUUUAAUUUUUUUAAUAUAUUUUAAAAUUCCAUGUAUGUAAUACUCAUAUAAAACUAAAUAAUACAAAGAUCAAUCAAGUCCAGCUUGGAGGUCUCAGACAUAUGUACUUUCCGAAAAAAUGUUCAAGUUGAGCUUCAGGUCUUAGUUUUGUAAUUGAGUCGUGUCAUCUUCAAGCUUAUCAUUUUGUCAACUUGAUUUGGCUCAGUUAUGCACCUAGACUUUAACCAACUCAAACUGACUAAAAAGGUUACUGAAUUGAAAGUUGAGACAGGGACAACUCAAACACAAAGUAAUCUGGAAUUCUAAAUAUCGAAUUCUUAAUCAGACUCAACUUCCAUUUUUGUAAUCUGCUGUGGUAUCUUAAAUGUGCUCAAAGUUCUUAAAGUUCUUAAAGUUUUUGUAAUCAGACAGGGACAAUUUUGUAAUCUGCUGUGGUAUCUUAAAUGGUGCUCAAAGUUCUUAAUCAGACUCAACUUCCAUUUUUUUGAUUCUGAAAAACAAAACCACCUUCACUGGCUAAAAUAAAGUGGGAAUCAAUUCAGUAUGGUACAAUUUAUAGAUAUGGUACAUUUAUAGAAAUGCUGAAUCAUUUGUCACUGGCUAACAUAUUAAUUUCAAUUCAGACAUCGAAUUUUGUGAUUAGAAAUGAAGCAGCUGAAUAUGGGUAUUAAGUGGAAGAAUUGGUUUAGCUUUUCAAAAGGAUAGGAUAGAAGCAGAAUUAUGCUUUGAGCAAAGAGAGAAGAAGGAGCCACUACGAAGCUCGACUUGAACAUCGCAAGCAAGUAAAAGUUCUUUAAGGCUUUUAAUGCUCUUUAUUUUUUUUUAAAUGAAAUUGUUAACAUUGAAUAGUAGAUGAUUGGGUAGUAGAAAUGAGAGGUUGGUGUUGUUAAUGCUUUAGGGGACUUAAAUUAGAAAGUAGUAGACUACAGAACUUUUAGAGAAAUCUAGGGGGAAACAGCUAUAUAUGUAAAUUCAUUAGAUUGGAUUUGGUAUCAGAAGAUUUAAGGGAUUUAUUCAUUUAUUUAUUUAUUUGGGGGUAAGAUGGGCAAUUUAGAGGCAUGAGGGGUUGGGGGGGGAGGGAUAAAAGUCCAAAAAUUAUAAGGAGAAAGAUAAGGAAGGAGGUUAGUGGUGGGAUGCAGGCUCUGUUUUGGAGAAGUGGCCUCAUGACAGGAAAAUUCAGACAAGUUAGGUGAAAAAAGUUAGAUAAGGUGAAGAGUUGGACUUUGUUUAAUGUGCUGGGCAAAGAUGGUGUGUAGGGGGUAGAAGGCUAGGACUUUGACACUAUUGUUGUCAGAAGGGGCUUUAUGUGUUGUUGAGGGGGUGAUCAUGGUAGUGAACUUGUAACUUUAGGAAGAAUCCAGAAGUGGUAACAUCCUACCCUAUCGAUCAAGGAUUCAUGAACUGGAUUCAAUUACAGAUGUUAAGCGUGAAAUUAGUUUGGAAAUGGGUUCGGUUGCAACUCAAUUAGGACUUUGUACUGCAGCAAUAACCAUUGGCAUUACCUGUAAUAAUAACUAAAAGAUUUACUUGAGCUUUCAGUUCUUCAAUCUCGUCUUGAAAAGUGCUCAAUGCAUCCCUUGUCUCAUCACUCAGGAUAUUAUUCAUCUCGGACAGUUCUCAUUAGACUGUCUCAAUUUCAUCAAUUCCUUCACGGGGAACCAUUUGAGCUUUUACUGUGGCCACUACGGCCUCUGGCUCAUAUCCUCUGAUGGUCCUCUAGUGCACUCCACGUGGUCAUCAUUUGUACACUUUAAAUCAGCACCUCUCGCUCGUGUUCUGAUACUAACUGUUACGAACUACACUAUUUCGCCUAAAUAUACAAUAGUCUAUGCGGCACUUGAGUGGACGCUUCCACGCAAGUCAACCAAUACUCGGUUAUAUCUAAUCCAACAUUAAUAAUAACAACAAAUCAGACUAAGAGAACUCGUAUCAAAAUCAAAAGGCAUACCGAAUGCUAUAUGUGUAACCACUGAGUUAUAAAAAGGAAAAGUGCUUUAUUAAUAUAAAAUUAAUUACAAAGAGAUCGAGAUAGGUCAUCGUCAGGCCAUAGGGACAGCCUUAUAUGAUUCACUACAAAUAUACCCUUACCAAUGAAGCAGGCUAACAAUCCGCUGAUUGUUCAUUUUCUAUAAAGAGUUUACGAGAUUUUAUAAGUAUUCUAUUAAUAAUCAUUACAAUGCUUGAAGUAAGGAUAUUUCUUUUCUAAAAGAUCUCCUUUCUAAAAAUUUGACAAGUAUUUGUGAAAGUAUCACCACGAGCCAUUACAUUGUUUGAAAGAGGAACAUUUCCCUUAGAGGUAUAAAAGACUCAAGCUCCAAGAUAAUUCUACGCUAUCAUAAUCCGAUACAAGGUUGGCUCAUGACACAAUGGCCAGCUCGUUCAUCCUUGUUAUAGCCGUUAGUGCACAGAAAAAGUUUUCUGUGAUUUGCAAUCCUGUUUUGUUGGUUUUAUUUUUCCUAGGCUAGAACUGUGGGAGUGAUUUUGUGAUGAGUAUAAAUAUCAUUUGUAACAGUUGUUGCAAUUGAUUUUUUCCCUGAUCAAUGAAAAGUAUAUUUCCUUUCUCUCCCGCAUGACUCUGUUUUCUUCUUCUUCAUUUUAGCCUUCUUUGCAGAAAUACUUUUAAGUUUCUUAAAAUCCUUUCAGGAACAAAGCAAAUGAAAGGUGCAAAUUACUGUGUUUUGUGGAUUUGGUGUUUAUCAAUCACCAAAUGAAGAUUAUUUUUAGCUCACUUCCAUGGUCUCUUGCUGGCCUGGAGAUACGGUAUACUCAGGUUUAAAGCAAAGGAAAUUGUGUGUUGGUUAUGUUGAUGUUUGGUGCCUGAUCUUUGCAAUGAGGAAGCUGAAAUUACAUUGAAUCUGGUUGCUUGGGAUAUUUGUUUUACUACAGGUCUUAUGCGAUGGUCAUUGGGAUUAAUAUGUUUCAAGCUACUGGUUUUUCUUAUCCACUUUUUGAUGGCUAUAAAUUAAGUCUUCUCAAAAGCUGACUUGAUAAGAGUACUUCCAUCCAGUCAUGCACGACCAACUUAUUGCAGUGGUCCUAUGAUUUAAUCAACUGGAUUGCCAUUAAGGUUACUAUUUUCAAGCCAUAAGUUUUUUCUGCAACGUGCUUUGCAGUUCUCAUGUGUCUAUUUAUUAUUUGCUCCAUUGACAACUCUUCAUUAUCCUUUUUUGAUCAAAAAAUUUAAAUUUUAUUUUUUAAAUUAAAAAUGUAUAUAUAUAUAUAUAUAUAAAUUAUUUAUAUAUUUCCUUCUACUUUCUCAUUGCCACAAUUGGACUAUAAGCAGCAAGAAAUUUUCAUUUUGGCCCAAUAGGAGCAAGAACUGAAAAAUACAUGUUCUUGAUUUUCUGCAAAAUACGAUUUGAAUCAUGCAAGCAUAAGUGUUGAAAGUGUAGAAAGUUCUAACCCUAACAAUACGGAAGUGUAGAAAGUUUACGGUUGAUUUAAGUCUCAUAUAAUAAACAAAUUGCAAGUCUACGUCGCAAUCUGAUCCAUUAUUUUUUAUAGGGCUUUUUGUGGUUAGAAAUCUACAAAUAUAAAGAAAAAAAAUUGUAAAAUUGCCAAUAAAACUAAUUGAUGUAUCGAUUUAGAUAAGAUAAUUUUGAGUAUAGAAAUGCUUUUCGGUAAAAGUUGUAGUCUAUAAACUUAAACAAAUAUUAAAUCAGAGUGCAGGAACAAUUAGAAUACUAAUUCCACAUAAUAGCACCUAUAAAUGUGAAAUUGUAGAUCCAAGAAUUUUUCAACUAAUUUCUUUGUAUUCAGUCAAGGGUUUUUUUUCGUCUAAUUCUUGUUGCUGGUGAAAUUGUAGACACAUCCCUCUCAUUUACCCUCAUGCAUCCAGUCAUGUCAAUUGCUGGUAAAAAAUAAUUGUAGCGAGUUGUGCACGGUGAAGUUAUUGCAGUUGGCCAUGUGACCCUUCAAAUCGACAAGCUACUAGUUUUUCUUGUAACGUGCUUUCCAAUUCCCUUCUAGUCAUCAUUACUCAAUUGACUAUCUUUUGGAUUCACACGUCCAAUUUGAAUAUGCAGGACAUUCCUUGACUUUUGAUUGCUUUUCCAUAUUAAUUGACAAAUGAUACUUGAAUAACAUAUUCCAAUGACCCAAGAUAUGGGACUUCCUAGUUGUCAAUUGCGAUGUCCAAAAUUGAAGACCCUGAAACUAGUGCACUGUCCUGGCGGAUUCAGAUCACUACUAACUUCCCAAUUCCAUGAUUAAGAUCACAACUAUGCAAAAUUGAAUCUGGCUGGUCCCAUUGGGCUUCCUCUUUUAAAACCUAAGUUUGAUUCCAGUCCUACUUAUAAAUAAUGUUAAGAGAUUUAAUUUUAAUGAAUAAUAUUUAAAUUAAAUCAUAAUUUUAAUAUAAUAUAAUUUACAUCUAAAUUUAGAUAUAUAUAAUAAAACUUAAGAGUUCAAAUCAAAUUACACUCUUUUAUCUGACCUACUCAACUGUUUAUAAAUUAAUAUAAAUAAUAUUUUUUACCGAUCCCACUUUAUAUAUAAAUUAAUAAUCUACUUAUAGAUCAAAAUUUUAUACACACAUAUAUAUAUGACUCAAUUAGGAAGUUUUAAUAAAAUAUGACUCUAAUGUUACUUGUUUCGUCUUGAAAUUGAUAUCUUAUUGACUUUAUCUCUAAUUUUUCUUAGUGCAUUACAAAGGUCUGGUGUAGUGUUCUCGUAUGGUAAGAGAAAAUUAUGCAAUGUGAUGGUUGCUUGAGUGCAUCUUUGCACGAGACAAGCUCUAGUAUAGAACUAUCAUCUUCAACUUCAUUUUCUUUAUUAUUUCUCAUGUCGUUCUCAAUAAUUUGCUUGUCACUCAACAACUUUGAAGGUGGCUCAUUUUCUCCUUGGUAGUUUAAAAGGUACUCAAUAUCUAUUUUAUCACAAUACUUCAACUAUUUGAUUAGAACAUGUAAUUGUUAAAUUUGUCUAUCAUGUGAGCGUUGAUCCAAAUUUUUUGAAGUCACGUUAUCCAUACACCUAAUUUUACAAUGUUGAAAACAAUUUGCAAUUGUACCAUUUGUUGACCAAGCUGAGAUUGCAAGAUUCAUUAUAUCCAAAACAUUUAUCUUUUUUGGAUUUGAGAUUUCAAUUUCAUAACCCUCUAAAAGAUUUCGAUAAAAUUGAAGAUGAUAAUGCAUCUCGAUAGAAUAAUAAUAAUUUGUAAUUCGAUAAUAUUCGUAUAAUCACAAUACAGAGUACAUGUAUUAAGUUUAAUGUUUUGAGGAAAAAAAAAAGAUAUCUAGAUAAAUUAAUUUUUUAUUAAUUAAUGUAUAAAUUAAUAAAUUAUUAAUUUAUUAAUUCAAUAAUAUCUUAAUUAAUUAAUAAAUUUUCAUGAUUCCAAAGGUAUUAAUUUAUAGAGAUUUUAUUAUUGUAUUUUAAGCAAGUGUUAGAUUCCUUUGUUUAACAUAUAGAUUAAUAAAAGAAGGAAAGCAAAGAUUGGAUAUCAAGCUUAUAUUGACAAUAUUCCUUUUUACUUUCUCAUUGCCAUAAUUGAACUAUAAGCAGCAAGAAUUUUUCAUUUUGGCCCAUAAGGAGCAAGAACUGAAAAAUACAUGUUCUUGUUUAUUGCAAAAUACGAUUUGAAUCAUGCAAGCUAGUAAUGAACAACCACUAGUUUCGGGCCUAAAGAAACCCAGAAUAGGCUAAUCAAAUAUUAUGCAAGAUAAAUAAUCAAUUGUAGUUCCGUCAGUGGAGCUAUUAAUUAUGCCAGCGAUCGCCACAUCACACUGAAUUUUUACUUGUUGAUGUUCCAUAACAGUGUAGGCAAUCUUCCAUAAGAAUCUGCUAGGACCUCUCAAUCUCUCUGAUCUGGUUUCUCCUAAAACAGAAUGUGUUGCUUGGCACCACUGUACAUGUUGAAGCUGCCUUUAUAAAUUAUGAUAGCAGAGGGGAAAAUUACGACAACCGACCCAUAGGCAGGUCUAAUACUGUGUUCAUAGAAAGCAAAAGCACGAAGUAGGUUGACUGUUUUGGUUCCUAUUUGACGUCACAUAUUCAAAUCCAAUCCCUUUCACACAGUUUUUUCUCUGAUCCUUAGCUCACGUUACCCCCUUUUCUCAAGGUUUUUAAGUUCUAACCCUAACAAUACACUAGAAGUGUAGAAAGUUUGUGGUUGACAUGAGUCUCAUAUAAUAAACAAAUUCUACCGUUCAACCCAAAUUGCAAGUUUACAUCGCAAUCUGGUCUUUUGGUCUUUUGUUUUCAAUAGGACAUUUUGUCGUUAGAAAUGAUCUACCGUCCAACCCAAAGUAUAGGUUUACAUUGCAGUCUUGUCCAUUGUUUUCAAUAGGGUAUUUUGUGAUUAGAAAUCAACCGAUAUAAAGAAAAGACAUGUAAAAUACUGUUAUCUAUAUACAGCAAGAAGGAUUACUAUGAGAUAUUUAUAAAAGAGAGAUAGCCGUUGAUUCACUCUACGCUAAUUUUUAUUUAAUAAAUUAAUAAAAUAAUAAAAAUGAAUAUAAAAUAAGAUAAUAAUAAAAGCACAUAAAAAAUAGUAUCUACAGCCUCUUCCUUCAAUCAUCUCUCUCCAUCUGCCAAAAUUUCUUUCUCUGUUUGAGAUGGAUAUCAAGUCCAUCCUUCAUGAACACCACUUGCUCUGUGAUGAAUAUGAUGAAUCACGGGGACUUUGUGAUAUGUGCAAUCAGGAAAUUUGUGGUAUGGCUUAUUGUUGUGAAAGAUGCGAGUUUUCAUUGCAUGAUUCUUGCGUUCAUCAACAGCUACCUCCUCAGAUAAGUGCACAUCCUUGCCAUCCCCAACACAAUCUUUCUCUCGUAGGGUCAAAUCACAUGGAUUACAUAUGUGAUAAAUGUUUCAAUCUUUCUCGAGGCUAUAGAUAUCAUUGCAAAGAGUGUCAUUUUAGCCUUGGGUAUCAAUGUGCUUUUUCAACUAAUGAUGAGAAAAAUAGACUCAAUGGCGAGACAUUUAAAAAAAUUGGUGGUUUUACCCUCUUUAAUUAUAGGAGAGUGAGAAAGUAUGAGUAUAUAUGUAGUUGGUGUGAGAACCAUUUGUCUGGAAUGUCUUAUGCUUGUUUUGACAAUGGUGCUUAUACCUGCUUCCACGAUUCCUGCUUAAUCAAAUUGCCUCCCAUAAUAUUCAAACACUCAUUUCAUCCAUCACACCCUCUUCAAUUAUGCAACAGUCACUUUGAUAAUGGGUUGUGCAAUGCUUGCAACCUACCAAUAUGGGAGUUCAGAAAAGCCUACUGUUGUAGAAAAUGUAAAUUUCACCUUCAUGUUCGUUGUGCUAAACUACGACCCAGUCUCAAGGUUGAAUUACAUGAGCAUGAUCUUACCUUUUUUCGAAUAAAAGCUAAUAGCGCAACCCACCUAUGCAGGGUAUGUGGUUUUAAUUUUGAUGCUAUAGGGGACGAAAGUGCUUUUUAUCGUUGUGUCCAUUGUAAUUUCAAUUACCAUUUCAAAUGUCUUACAAUACCACAUUCUACUUCGCACAAGUAUCAUAGGCAUGAUCUGAUGCUUAUGGAUUCAUUUAUAGAAGAUGUUUCUGAAGAAUAUUAUUGUGAUAUAUGUGAAGAAGAAAGAAAACCCAAGCACAGUGUUUAUUGUUGCAAGAAAUGCAAAUUUAUUGCUCACAUCGAAUGUGCACUCAAUAAGGUAAGGAGACAUUUACUCUCUCUCUGAAGAAAUUUAAUAAAUGUUUUUUUCAUUAGAUAAACUAUUAAUUAUUUGAUCAUAGGUCACAUAUAAUGUGCCCCUUAGAAAAUUUUGAUGCUAAUAUUUUUACUUCCCUAGGUUGUGGAUACGAAACUUGAUCAAAGUUCGACCUCUAGUCUGUUGGAUAGUGAAGCUUCAACAUUGAAGGUGAUGGAAUUGGAUCUUUUAUAUUGAUAUUAUUAUGAUGUUUUCACUUGCCAAUAAUUUGUUUUUUUGAAGUUUACAUCGCUUAAGGUCUUCUAUUCCUUGGAUUUAUAUAUUAUAAAGAUUGUUUAGUAAUAAACACCAUUUACAUUUUUGAAUAAAAUUCAAUGAAAAAAAACUAAAAAAUGUAAAUAAUAUAAGUAAAAAACCUCUACUUAUGUAGCAGUAUUCAAAAUUGAUUUGGAGACGGCUUUAGUCAAAAUAUUGAAUGUUGAAUAAAUUAAAAACACUUACGUGCAUCAUGUUAAUUUAUGAACAUAUAUAUUUGAUUAUUUAAUUAUUGCUUCUAUAUUUUAGUUUUAUCUUAAAUUUUCAUUUCUUGUACUUUUUAAACAAAAAUAAAGAGUAAAUUUUACUAUUAAUCUUGACCUAUUUGUAAUUUUUUGUUUUCAUUCAUCCAUUUUGAAUUUAUUUCAAAUCCAUUUGUAUAUUAACAUGCCAAUAAAAUAUAGAUGGAAUUUGUCACGUAAAUUUCACAUAUUAUGUGAAUUAUGUGAAUGUAGUCACAUGGACGUAACUGUAGUACUUAGAUGGCAAUUCCGUUCCAUAUUUAAUAGUGUAUUGAUGGAUAGAUGAAAUUAAAAUAAUUUCAAAAAGACAUAAAUGGAAAAAUUCGAGUUUGUUUAGUCAUGGAUGAAAAUAAAAUUAUGACAAUGUUAUAAACUAAGGAUGCACUUUACCUAAAAAAUGGAGGAAGAUUAAUAACUUUCUUCACUCAACUUGGUCGUGCAGGUGCAGAUUGAACAUUUUGAUCAUCAACAUCCCUUAAGCUAUAAUGGGGCAAUUGAACAGAAUGAAAGUCUUCUUUGCAUUGCUUGCCGCCAAGAAAUUUUUGAUCAACACUAUGCUUGUGAAGAUUGUAAAUACUACUUACAUGAAACGUGCACUACAUUGUUGUAUGAGGUGUCACACCCUCUUCAUUGCCAGCAUCCUCUCAAGCUUGUCACGGAUAUAGUUGAAUUCACAUGUCAUGGAUGUAGGGAACAUUCUGAUGGGUUUGCUUACAUGUGCCUUCCAUGUGAUUUCCACCUUGAUGUGAAAUGUGCUACCACUCCAAUCCCACCUAAAAAUGAUGGGCAAAAGCUGAAAGAGAUGGAGAAAGUUUCCAAGUUUUGCCCUUUCAACCAAAAUCAUAAGCUAGACUUCUUCAACCGUAGACCCAAUCUUAAAGAUUUGGCUUUGGAAUGCGAUGCUUGCAAGUUACCAAUCUUGGGUCCAGGUUAUACAUGUCGUGAUUGUUUCAAUAUCAAAAUUCAUGAAUCUUGUCUUGCAUUUAUUCGGGAGAUGCAACACACAUUUCAUCCGUUACACCCGCUUCAUCCACAAAUCGGCGAUUGGGAAAAUUGUUCUGCCUGUAGAUUUAAAAUCAUUGAAAGUAUCGGUUAUAGUUGUCGGCAGUGUGAUUUCCACCUUCAUCUUCAUUGUGCUAAUUCCCUGAAGCUGGCCUUAAAAGUUAAGUCUCACAUGCAUAAUCUUUAUUAUUUUGGACCAAAUUAUGAGAAAUCUUACCAAUUAUGUAACAAAUGCAAAAGUUACAUUGGUAAGGAACCUUUCUACUAUUGCGUGGAGUGCAAUAUGAAUUUGCACUUAAAAUGUGUUCCCAUACCAUGUUCAAUUAAAUCCAAAUGUCACAUGCAUCGUUUGACUCUUAAAGAUCAUUUUGUGGAAGAUGAUUCUGGAGAAUACUAUUGCGACAUCUGCGAAGAAGAAAGGAACUCAAAAAAUCAUUGCUAUUAUUGUGAAGAGUGUGCUGGACAAUUUGUUGCUCACAUCGAGUGCGCGCUUCUUAUAGUAAGUUUAUCACUAUCAUUUUCUCUGUAGAAUUUUUCUAUAUCAUAUUAUUGAAUUUUCUAAAGGAAAAUAAGAAUCUAAAUUACACAUCACAUGAUCGUAUCCACCAUCUCUUUGAUUGAUUGGACUUUAUUAAUGGUUAAAGUACCUCAUAGGUCCAUAUACUAUAGAUUUUUCGUUCAACUAAUCUUUUUUCCCAAAAUUGGUUAAUUUAAUCUCUGUACUUUGAGAUUUUAUGUAAUGGAGUCAUUUUACUUAACUUCAUCCAAAUUAACCAUUAGUGGUACUGGUGACGCACUGACAUGUCAGAUAAAAAAAAAUUGACCAUGUGGCAUUUUUUUCUUUCCUCCUUUUUCUUUGCUCAUAUGUUCAAAACUACAUUGUUUUAGAGUACUAUUUAAAGCGGAUUUAGUUUUUUAUUUUUCAUUUUCCUUUUUAUCCUUCUCUUUAGCUUUCUUCUCUCCCUAGAUUUCGACCCCUAAAUGCAAAUUCUGGCUAUCGAUCACUAGUAAUAUGAAAAUCUAAUAAAAAAUAAAAAAAUUAGUUUUUUGGCCUUAUUUCCCAUAAUUAGGAUAGCUUUUUCAAAAUCUAUCUCGAUUUUUCUAGAUCUAAAAUCAUAAACUUGUAAAAAAGAAGCUUGUUUCUUUCCAUUGCUGUGUCCUCAACUUGAUGUUAAUGAUCAAGGGUUGUGUUUUUCAUGUUGUAGGAUUUUGAAUUCGGAGAUGGAAAUUUUCAUGAAUUUUCCAUCUUGAAAGAUGCUGGCUCACCUAUUGAGAGUUCCUCUAUGGAUAAGUUGCUUUCCCAACCCCAUGCUGAAGUUUACUUGAACCAAAACAGAAUGGUAGUUAAGUCCUAUAUAAGUUAUUUUAAAGAUCUCAUCUUUUAUGCGAAAAUGAAUUUUAUUUUACGAAUAGUUGAAUGAAAGAAAAGUUUCACGAUUUUGUGGGUGCCAUUGUCGUUGCAGAAGUAUUGGGUGAAUGAGAAGUUAAACAAAUACUGCUUCAUGUUGUUUGCAAGAGAUCUUUCAAUCAGUUGGGUAGAAGAGCACCGUUAUUGGCGUUGGUCAUACCAAAAAGAAACAAACAGGUUAGCGUAGAUUUAUUAUCCAUUGAGAAUCCUUACUUCAUAGUUCUAGCUUGACAGCUUUCUUAAUCCACAAACUUUUGAUUUUGUAGCGAUGUGUUGAUUGAUGUUGUCGAACUUCUAAAGGUGUGUUGGCUAGAAAUGAAUGUGAAAUUCAAUGUAAAAAAGCUCUCACUGGGAACUUUGUAUGGAGUUAUGUUUGUGUUUAAGUUGACAGAUGAAGCAUAUGGAUGGGGAUGUCCAGUGAACUUUGGAUUCACUCUUCCAAAUGGGGACAAGGUUGAACGCAAGGAAAAUUUGAUGACCAAGCCGAGAGGAGUAUGGAUAGAAAUCCCUGUCGGAGAAUUUACAACUUCAUCCGAAAUUGUUGGAGAAUUACAUAUUUGCUGUCACCAAUAUGAUGAAUUGAAUUGGAAAGGAGGACUUAUUGUUAAAGGAGUUGCUAUUCUACCAAAGAAUUAAGUUAUAAAUUAGUAUUUUGUCAUAAUAAAUCUGAAAGUACUGUAGUUUUUUUGUUUGUUCAUAAUCUUGCAAAUUCUAAUAUGACAUGAACUUGAAAGGAACCAACUCAUCCAAUAAUCACCUCAACACUUGAACCAGUUUUCCGGUUCUCAUUAUACAAUAUAGGUUCCAUGCUAAAUGCAACAAACAAGCUCAUUGAUUUUUUUGAUAUUUUUUAUUAGAUUUUUUGACCACCAGUGACUAGUGGUUGGCUGUCGAAAUCUGGGUUUGGGGAUCAUAAUCUAGAAUAAAUUAUUGGAUAGAGAGCGAAAAAGGAAAGAAGGAACAAUGAAAAAAAAAACUAAAUGUCCUUUAAAUAGUAGGCUUAAAAUAACUAGUUUUGGACAAAUAAGAGAAAAAAGAAAAAGAAAAACCAUGUGAUCAAUUUUAUUUUUUUAGUUGAACAUGUCAACGUUAGCAUUUUUUGACAUGUCAGCUCGUCGUUAGCACCACUAAUAAUUAAUUUGGAUGGAGUUAGAUAGAGAGAAUCAAUAGUACAAAAUCUAGGUAAGAGGGACUAAAUUAAUCAGUUUUGGAUAGACAGACUAAAUUGAUAAAAAAAAAAAUCUUUAAUAUAGGUAUCUAUGAGGUACUUUGACCAUUAAUGAAUUCCAAUCAACCAAAGAGGUGAUGGAUAUGAUCAUGUAAUGUGUAUGUGUAAUUGAGAUUCUUAUUUUCCUUCAAAAAAAUUCAAUAAUGUAGUAUAAAAGAAAUCUAUAAAGAGAAAAAAUAAUUGUUCACGCCUCAACAUUUCCUGAAACCUUUUCAGCACUUUGAAGCUUUGUCCAUUAAUUAAUCGCCUUGUUUCAAGCAUGUUCUCAUAGUAACAAAAGUCUUUACACUGUAUAGAACCUUUUGUUUCUUUUUGACCUCCUGUAAUCUUGAGCAAGGCUGAUUGUGUAUAUAGUGGAGCAUAGUUGUGUACAUAGGGAGAUGCAUGCUUAAGCUACAGGGAUGGUUUUUGUUCACUUGCCUUUUUGUAUAUUGAUUUUGCUUAAGGCAUAAAGGUAUAGAAUUUCAAAAAAAAGAUAUAAAAUUGUGGUAUUAGCAUCUUGAUAGCCACAUUUGGAAUAAAAAGGUAGCAAUUAAAAGAAGCAUUUUAUCCUUAAUGAUGAGCAAGCUUUUUUUAGCCUUUUUCAUUUUUAUAUUCUCUCAAUAAUUUCCUUCUUUAAAUAAAUAAAAACAAUGUUGACAGGGCAUGAAGCACAUGCCAUUUUCUUGUUUUUGGUAUAAAGGCCUGAGGGAAUCUUUGUUUAGGUUUUGUAUUUAAACACACUCUCUCAUCAAGAGGCUAGUAGUUGAUCAUCUCUCUUUCUUCAUCUACCUAAAUUUCUUUCUUUGUUUGUUUGAGAAAACAAAGUAGAGACUAUUCUGCUAUGGGGAUAUUCUAUACUUGUUUUCGAUAGAAAUUUAGUACCUCCUCAAGUCCUCAACUGUCUUGGUGAUGCAAAAAGGGGGUUGUAGCUAGAAAUAAACCACAAAAAAUAUGCAAGCAAGGCUGUUGAUGUGAAUGAUUUAGCUUGGUUUGGGUUAUACAAGGCGUAACGAUUCUUUGAACGUCAAAUACACUUUUCUAUAUUUAAGCUUAUUCUUCAUAAUGUGUAGGAUUGUAGGGCAUUUUAUUCAAUUAUAUUUUGGUUAGAUUGUAGAGAAAAGAAAGCUAGAGAAAAAGACAACGGAGAGAAACAUUUUUUGACAAUGAUUCAAAAUUUAAUUUCAUUAAUAAGUUAAAGAAUUAUAGCAAACUGUCAAAAAGGUCAAAAAAAACUUUUUUCUGCUUCUUUUAUUCUCUCUUGGCUAGAAGAGAUGUGCAUUCUUGAACCAGUGAUUUGCAAAUAAGUGACUACUUUUCCUGUAUACCUUUGAGUUGAAUGACCAUGUACUUAUCAAUUAUGUAUAUUUCAACAAAUUUAUGUUAAUAUUCAAGUUUCUAAUAUUUGAACGAGUGUAUAUUUGAUGCAUUAAUAGUGUCUAUAAGAUACAUUGUCAGUGCAUUAAAUAUGAAUCCUAUUUAAAUAGAUUAAGAGUACAUAGUUAAGAAUUGCAGAGAGCUUAAUUUGAGAUAAUAGCUUUUUGUAUGAAAAAAGAAAAAGAAGAUUUGGCUUUUUUUUUUUAUUUGUUUUUGUUAAUUUUAUUAUGUCAGCUUGAUUUUAUGUCAACAACCUUGUCAAUUCAUUAUGGUUAGUAAUCAACAGUUUUAAUAACAAUGCUUCCUAACAUAAAGUUUAAAGGGGAAAAUAAGAGAUUGCAAACUCAAAACCUUGAUGUCUUUUAGGCUUUUCUUGUUUCUUUGUCCUUUUGUAUUUGUUGUUUUAGUUAUAAAAUUGUGGAAGUAGCAUCUUGAUUGCCACAUUUUCGAUAAAAAAGUACCAAUUUAAAAAAACAUUUUAUCUUUAAUGAUAAGUAAGUUUUCUUUGACUUUUUUCUUUUUCUUGAAAGACAAAGACAAUAGUAUUCCAUAAAAAAGGAUAUGUGUUAAUUAAAUUAUUUGAAGGCAAGAAAUUAAGAUUAACAUCAAUAUUCGCUUCCAAAUUCUCACUAUUAUUUCUUUCUUUAAAUAAAGAAAAAAAUAAUAUUGUUUUUGAUCAUUCAUUUGAUUAAUUAAUCUGAAAUUGUCGUUGUAUUAGUAAAAUGAGUCGUAAUCACAAUAUGCAUGCGAUGUGUUUUCAUUGUACAAGUAAUUAUUGUAUAACUAAAGCAAAAAGAAAGUAAUUGCUACAUAACAUUAUUUUACUUAAAGGGAAACAUUUAAUUAAAAAAAAGUAAUCCCAAACUUAAAACAUUUUUUAAACAAAACGCUCCCCUUCUUAAACUAAAGUGAGAAUCAAUUAAGUAUGGUACAGCUUAUAGAUACAUUUAUGCCACCAGUAAUGCUUUGUUUCAGAAUUAUCUUUCCUUUUUAGAAACAAUAAAGAUGAAUUAUAUAUUAAAAAAGAGAGGGAUAAGAGUAUUCCUUUACAACCAGACAAAAAAGACCCACGACUACAUCAAAAACAGCCAAUGGGGCUUAAAAAUUUGGGUAGACCAGUACUUACCUUAGGUCCUGCCAAGUAGUAUUAAAAAGAAAAAAUUACAAAAGGUAAGAAAACCAUAACAAAAGGACCUGUACAUAAUCUUUUCCUAGAAGAAAGAUCCAAAAAAGGGUUCAAUUAAUAUCCCUUAAAAAAAAAAAAGCAGUAUAAACGAAGAAACAUCAAUGGUUCCCAUGAAAGUAGCAGCGAGCAUUAUGUUGCACAACAAAAGUAAAUAAAGCAGGGGACAGAACACCUCACACUAGGUUAAUAUUCUUUUCCGGGGCUAGCAUGCUGUCGUUGAUCCGAAACAAAUCUGAUAUCAAUCACUUUUUGUCUUUCUUAAUAUCAAUCACUUUUACAUAGAAUUUAAUUUUAAUUUUACAUUUGAAUUGUUGUGCUAGGUUAUGGUCGUAGAGGGGUCAACUUGAUGUAAGUUAAGCAACUUGGAUUUACGGCAUAAAACUCAACUAAAUUCCAACAAAGAUUAGUUCCUAACCCAUAUAGUAAAUUUGCAUAUCACCCACAUUAUAAACUAAUCAAUUACUGAAAACAUGAAAUUACCACUAGUACGUGCUUGCUAAAUCUCAUAAAUAAAUCAUCUUAAUAAGCAAUAAUUAUGUGUGCGAGGGCUAAUUAUUGUAGUUAACAUUCCAUGAAUUUUACCUCAAAAUUUGUGUUAAUAUUCUAGGUUGUGAUCAAGUCAUAUGUUCAAGUUUCUAACAUUUAAAUAGACUAGGAGUACUUCAUGAAUGAAGGGGUUUAAUUUGAAGUAAUAGCUUCAAGUAUGGAAUAAGAAAAACAAAGAUUAUGCUGUUUUUUUUUCCUUUUUUUUAAUAUUUUCUUGUCUUAGGUUGAUUUUAUGUCAACACUCUUAUUCACUAUUUGGUAAAUUUGGACACGUGUAUUUCUGCAGUAAUGUUUGUGAAAUGGUUUGGACAGCUAUUUAUUUCAGAUGUGCUGAGAGGUAGUUUAAUUAUUUUUGUUGACUGAGUUGUAUUUUCAAAGGUUGGGCGAACUUGUUAAAGAGUCCAACUGGACCUAUUUAUCCCCAAAAUUGAGCUUAAUUUUGGCAUAUGGCAUGUGGCAUGCCGCAUUGCCAAAGCUCUUCAAGGAAGAGCACAAGCAAAACCAGAGGCAAUGCGACGAGUAAAGGCCAGAUAAAUAAGAAGGCUAACCAUAAUUUAACCAAAAACAAAAAUGAAAAAAGAAAGAAAGAAAGAUAGUACACAUCAUGUCAUCACUCAUCAAUUAGACAUCCCAUCGUCACCAACCCAGGGUCCUUGGUCAACUUCAUCCACAUACGUUGUCCAGUAAAAAUCACUCAAGUGUCUCGCAUUGCUCGAAAAGGACAAAAAGACUGCCACGUGCUACCUUACGGGCAAUUGCUACUAGAGUUCUCCACCGCCCGCUUGGUGUCGCCUGUACAGCCACAACCACAGCCACCACCAUUUGCAUUUCUCCUGAUUCAGAAUUCUUAUCACAUUACUACUGUUGGAAAAGUGUUUGACAAACAACUUUCACCUGGUAAGUUGGACUCACUAUAACCUUUAUUAUGAAAUAUUUUAUACGCAUCGCUUUUGGAUUACAAAGCAUUACAAGGACGAAUUAUAAAGCAUUUUAAUUCUCAUGGUUUUUUUUUUUUUAAAGAGUGAUUUUGGGUUCAACUUUAAGAAAUUGUCUGCCACUUGUUCAUUGUUACAAAACAGGGUCGGAAGAGAAGCAGCUUCAACAUCAUCCACUUGUUCAGUCAACCAAUAAUUAGCUGCUGUUUUCAUUAACCAAUUUACAUUUGAGAAACAACAAAAACAAUGGCAAAAGCACUUCUUUCCAUGAUCCUGGAGCAGCAGUUGGGUGGUUCGUUCAUUCCUCAAGAGAUAAAGCAUCAUGUCGGAUUGGCUGUAGGUCUUGAAGAAGAAAUCCAAAAACUCACCAGCAACUUUGACGCCAUUCAAGCUGUGCUUGAAGAUGCGAAAGGAUAAACCAAACAGGGCAUGCCUAACCCAAGGCGCGGAGGAUAAGGUAUACCGAUGUGGAUGCGGCCCAUAUCCUAAGCUGUUUCCCCACAGACCCCCCAACAGUGUCCCAUAACUCUAAUCCUACAUCCACCACGGAAGAAUAACAAGACUCCCAAGGAGCGGAGGACGGCAAUGGAGGCAGCUGGCUCCGAUUCCGAUGGCAGAGAAUUCAGGAACCCACAGGAAAUGUGGAGGGAGCAAAUUGGAGAUGCAGAUGAAGGAGAUAACCAUAAGAAGACUCAGUGGUACAGUGAAGGCGUUGCCUACUGGGAAGUAAGUCUUUCUUAACUCUGGUUCUUACAUUUGUAUGUGGGUACCAUUAGCUAACUCAUAGUAUAGUUAUUGGAUUCUUUGGUUGUGCUAAGAGAAGGGUGUGGAGGCAUCGGUAGAUGGGGUGUUGGGUGGAUUUGGGCAAGUAAAUGAGGCAGAUAUUAAGGGUAGUGAGGUUUUUCUCAAUACCCUUUUGCAUGAAAGAUUCGAUGGCGGUGGAAGAAAUCACCAUCUUGUUGCUCUUGGUACUUCUCUUUCACUCUCUGUGUCCUCAACUUUAUAUUGUUUUUAUGAAGUUAUAUACCCAUAUAUGUUCUGUUGAGGUAGUUUGGUUUAUGUUAUUAUUAUUAUUUUUUUUACACUAAAAAUCAACCUUAGGUUAUUAUGCGCCAUUAAAUGUGGAAGUGCAAAGUUGGUGAUGGGAUCCUACUUCAUUAGAAUGUAGCAUUGGUGGAAAACCUAAUUAACUAUAAAUUAAACAAAAAACAUAGUGGUGACAGCAGAAAGGGAUGUUGUGAUAGAUGAAAUUUUGAGUUAAAUAUCCGCAAUUAGUGCUUGAAACCGGAAACCAAUAUAACUUGAUAACACAACCAUGAAAAGUUUAUGUCCCAUAAUCCCACCCCAUAAAAGAAAAUAAAUAAAUAAAGAAGAGAAAGGCAUGGAAAUUUGCAUGAAUAUGCAUUUUCUGAAUUAUUUUGCAUGAUAUCUUCACCAAAAAUCAGUCUUAGUAGUGCAAGAAGCAUGUCAUGCAUUAGAGGUGUUGCUUUGAUUUAGAAUGCCAGCGUUUUAGGUGUUGCUCUUAUUUAGAAUGGUAUAAUGCAAUUGAGAAUUGGGUUUACUACAUGCUAUUUUGCUUAAUAAAAAACCAUCUUUAAGCAAUAUUCUUUUUUAAAUUUGGGAAGAAGCUUGCUGGGAGUUCUCUCUGUCUCUUAAGGGUUGUGUGCUUGUGGGGGGUGGGGGAUGGGGCACCCCUGGACCCAAUUUGAGGCUGUUGUGAGUGCUCAGAAUAAAGGAAAGAAAUUUCUGUGUUUAAGAUUGAAAAAUUACUUUCACAUUUCAUCAGCAGCGAAGAUGCUCUAUCUUGCUAAUAUUCUGGAACUUGUUAUCUUUUGAAAGGCAAAAAUUAGAUAUGUCUUCAGUAUGUUUUAUUACUAGGAGAUUGAUUCUUCGACAUGAUUAGGAUCUAUAAUUGCCUAUAUAUGAAGUUGGUCUUAAUACUUGUGAGUUGGUGGACUAUACUGGGGCAAUUGGUGGACUAUACUGGGGCAAUUGACUGAAAUCUUGCGAAGGGGAAUUGUAGGGGAAAUUAUUUAGGAAACUAAGCAGUUGGAGUUUGGCUUUAAUAUAAAGAUAUUUAGGUAACUAAGCAGUAAUGGUUUGGCUUUAAUAUGAAGAUAAUUAAGUGAUUUCCACAAGUUUUAUUUUAAGUAUUAUGAUAUAAGAUGCACUUAAGCACUUGGCUUUAUGAUUUGUGCAUGUAUCCCCUGCUAAAAGAGCUGGGUUUAAAUUACCCUCCCCUAAUAAAAUAAAAUAAAACAUGAAAAUUGAUGGUUGUGCCCUCAAACUUUUGCCUUCAUAUGGUUUAUGUUGGUGGAAUUAAAACAAACUCUUUUGAUGAUCUUAGUGCAGAAGAAUCUGGUACAUUUUAGGGCUUAGCAUACUAAAUUAAACUAUGUCAUAAUUCUCAAAACACUGCAAUGCUGACCUUUAUUUCAAGUCCAUACAUUGAAGCACUAGAAAUACCUGCAAAUGGUUCUAAAGCAUACUUAAAAUAUUGCUGCAGUACUGAUCUGUUUGGUAUUUCAUUUUUCUUGAUGUUUUUAAUUCUAAUUGAAAAUCAUAAAUCUAGUUGACAUUCUGAGCUCUUAGUUUCUAUGUUAAUUUAACAUACUGCAGAUUGUGGUUCUGGCAUAGGGAGAAUAACCAAGAAUCUUCUCAUAAGAUAUUUUAACGAGGUAAGGUCAUUUUUCUCUUUCUAUUAGCAUAUUUUUAAUAUUUCUGACAUUUACCAUCUUUGCAGUUAAUUGAUAACAUGGUUCAUAGUGCAUAAUUCUUACUACCUAAAGAAUUUCUCUGUUGUAUUUGAAUGAAAAGCAAAAUUGGGUAGUGCCUUUUAAAAAAUUCAUGCAGGACAUGAGGAGGGUACCCGUUAAUUUCAAGGUACCUAAACCUUAACCCUAUAAAAAAUCAAAUAUCUAAACUCUAUUAAUUACCUGAAUAAUUUUGAAAGUUACUACCCUAACCUUAACCUUAACCUUAAUACAUUCCCACUACCCUAUAAUUACCCUAACUCGUUUAAAAACCCGAUUAGAUAAAAAAUUUAUUAAAAUGUUCUUCAUUGGUACCCAAUUACUCAAACCCGAACCUGUAUUCAUAUACAAUAAUAUUUCUUCUACAUAGUACAUAUAAUUAACUACUAAUUAAAUUAAUAAAAACACAAAUAAUAAAAUUUAAAUUUAAAUAAUCAAAAACUAUAAAUUGUUUAUAAAUGAACAUAAUAUAUAAUAUAAAUCAAUAUUAUGUUAUUGUUUAAUAGUUAUUAACUUAUAUAAUAGUAAUGAUAUUCUUUAUAAAUGAAUAUAAUAAAUAAUAUAAAGUAUAUGUAUUAAAAGAUAUUACAAGUUAUAUACUAUAAAGUGUGUAUAUAUAUAUUAUAAUUAAUAAUUUUAUAAGUUAUAAUUUUUAUAAUGUUAACAAAAUAUAAAAAGUAAAUACAUUUAUUUUUAAAGUAUAUAUAUAUAUAUAUUAAAAGUAUUUUAGUGUAUAUAUAUAAUAGUGAUUAUAUUCUUUAUAAAUGAAUUCAAUAUAUAUAAAGUAUAGAUAUUAAAGACAUUACAAGUUAAUUAAUAAUCAUAGUUUCAUUAAUUAAUUUAAUUAAUUAUAUGAGUUUGUCCUUUACUACAAGAAAUUAAAAAAAAUAGUUAAGUUUCAAAACUAUUCUAAUCUCACAACUUCUUUUUAGAUAAUUAAGUUUAUAUAUAUCAAAGUAUCUAUAUUAUAAUUAAUAAUUUGUAAGUUAUAAUUUUUGUAAUGUUAACACAAAAUAGAAAGUAAAUAUGGUUAUAUUUAAAGUGUGUAUAUAUAUACACACACACACUAAAAGUGUUUUAUUAUAUGUAUAAUAAUAAUUAUAUUUUUUAUAAAUGAAUCCAAUAUAUAUAAAGUAAAUAUAUUAAAAGAAAUUACAAGGUAAUUAAUAAUCAUAGUUUUAUGAAUUAAUUUAAUUAAUUAUAUGAGUUUAUCCUUAAUUAUAUGAAAUUAAAAAAAAUAACUAGGUUUCAAAACUAUUCUAAUCUCACAACUUCUCUUAAGCUUUGCAUAUUAUAAGUUUAUAUAAACAAAAGUGUAUAUAUUAUAAUUAAUAAUUUUAUAUGUUAUAAUUUUUUUUAAUUUUAAUACAAAAUAGAAAGUAAAUAUAUUUAUAUUUAAAGUAUAUAUAUACUAAAAGUAUUAGUAUAUAUAUAAUACAGUAAUUAUAUUUCUUAUAAAUGAACUCAAUAUAUAUAAUGUAUAUAUUAAAAAACAUUUCAAGUUAAUUAAUAAUUAUAGUUUAAUAAAUUAAUUUAAUUAACUAUAUAGUUUUGUCUUUAAUUAUAUGAAAUUAAAAAAAAUAGUUAGAUUCCAAAACUAUUCUAAUCUCAAAGACUCUCUUUAAGUAUAUAUAUUAUGAGUUAUAAUUUUUGUAAUAUUAAUACAAAGUAAAAAGUAACUAUAUUUAUAUUAGAAGUAUAUAUAUAAUAGUAAUUAUAUUCUUUUGUAAUAUGAUAUGAUAUUCAUAUUAUUUAAACAUAAUUAAUAAUCUAAUAAUUUUUUAAUUGAAAUAUUUUAAUGUAAUCACAUUAAUAAUUUGAGUAACCAGACUUUUUAAUAUAUUUGUCAGCUUUUAAUAAAUAUAUUAAUGUUGAUUAUUUUUAAUUUAAUCAUUUAAAUAACAACAAAAUAUAUAUAAACAGGUAUUGGGAUCGAGUUCGAGGUGGGUACCCGUGUAACUUGAAUAGUAACAUAAUCGGGUUCAGGUAGCGGGUACCCAAGAGGUACUACCCCGAACCUGAUAUGGGUAGUGAAAUCACUAUCCGAACCCGUCCUAAACUUGAUUAUAGGGUAUCUUAAUCCGAUAUAACCNUAUAUAACAGUAAUUAUAUUUCUUAUAAAUGAACUCAAUAUAUAUAAUGUAUAAAUAUUUAAAAACAUUCCAAGUUAAUUAAUAAUUAUAGUUUUAUGAAUUAAUUUAAUUAACAAUAUUGGUUUGUUUUUAAUUAUAUGAAAUUAAAAAAAAUAAGUUGACAAACUACUUUAAUCUCACAAUCUCCUUUUAGGUAUAUAUAUUAUUAUGAGGUUAUAAUUUUUGUAAUGUUAACAUAAAAUUGAAAGUAAAUAUGUUUAUAUUUGAAGUAUAUAUAUAAUAGUAAUUAUAUUCUUUUUAAUAUGAUAUGAUAUUCAUAUUGUUUAAACAUAAUUAAUAAUCUAAUAAUUUUUAAUUUAAAUAUAUUAAUAACAUCACAUUAAUAAUUUGACUAACCAUAUUUUUAAUAUAUUUGUCAGCUUUUAAUAAAUAUAUUAAUGUUGAUUUUUUUAAUUUAAUCAUUUAAAUAACAACAAAAUAUAUAUAAACAGGUAUUGGGAUCGAGUUCGAGGUGGGUACCCGUGUAACUUGAAUAGUAACAUAAUCGGGUUCAGGUAGCGGGUACCCAAGAGGUACUACCCCGAACCUGAUAUGGGUAGUGAAAUCACUAUCCGAACCCGUCCUAAACUUGAUUAUAGGGUAUCUUAAUCCGAUAUAACCGGGUUGGAUACCUGUGGGUAUCUUAUAAUAGGGUAUGCAUUGCCAUCCCUACACAUUAAUAUGUAAUUCCAAUACAGUGAACAUGAUGUGGAACAUGGUGGACUUUUUCUUUUUCCUCUCUUUUUCUUUCAUCGAAUGAUAUGAAUCAGUGACAUAGUAUUAGUUGGAGCUACUAUCUUAAUAAAGCUGCAUAGUACUUUGUGAUAGCUAUGCUUUUGGACCCCUCUUCCCUUUACCAUUCUCCAGGUUGAUCUACUUGAGCCAGUUUCGCAUUUCUUAGAUGCUGCCCGUGAAAGUUUGUCUCAGGAAUAUUUUGUAGCCUCUGAUGCGCACAAAGCAAAUAAUUCUACUGUGUCUCCCUUCAGGUCAUGUACUUCAAGACUACAUUCACACAUGGAUACAUGCUUCUUGAUGUCUUGAAGUAUUCAUAACUAUGGUUAAGUCCAUGUAAGCUAUGUAUUUCCAACUUUUCACGUUUCCCUAUAUUGCGGAUGUAGCCAUGUAAUUUGCACCUCAAGCAGGCAUGUUGUUUGAGUACAAUCCUGGGAAAAACUUACAGAAGUUAAGGUAAACAUGUUAAAUAUGGGUUUGCAUCUGGAACUCACAUUUGAAUCUGGGCAACAUAGUCUGUACUCUGUAGGCGGCUGGAUUCAAGUAAAUUUUUGCAAACAAUUAUUUACUCUUUUGUGUGUGUUGGGGUGGGGGGGGUAGGGGACAGCAUAUGGGCUAGUGAAUGAGCCCUUUAAGUUGGUGAUAUAUGUGCUUGUCUUCUUCUGAUGCUUCUGGCUGUUAAAUUUUACUUUAUAAAACAGAAAUUUGACGACCAUUUUUUUUUUGUCUUUUGCUUUUUCAGGAGUUCACCCCUGAUGCUGGAAGGUACAAUGUUAUUUGGAUUCAGUGGUGCAUUGGUCAUCUCACAGAUGAUGACUUUGUCUCAUUUUUUAAGAGAGCAAAGGUGAAUAAAUCUUCUUCUUGAGACAGAACUUACUUUUUAUUUGACAUGUUGUGCUGUGUGGAAGUGCAUGGAAAGAUCAAAAUUAUGUGUUGAAAUUUUCUUGCCUGCUGUCUACUAUACAUUCGAAGUGCCUUGUUCUGAUUUUUGAAUUAUGAACUGUCAGAUCAUUGCAAUGGUAUCUCAAAUUUUCCUUUUCCAAAUUUAUUGCUUCUAGCUUUCUCUCUUGUAACUUCUUUUAAACCUUCUCACAGCUAUAGGAAUUAAGGUUGUCUAGCGAACAUAACAUAGCAAACACCGGAAGGAUGAUAUCGUCAAACUCUUUUUUCUUUUUGUCCUUUCUUUUUGCAAUGUGUCGUGUUGUUCAUUCUAUUCUUCUUCCUGCUAGGUAACUAGCGGAUUUGAUGGGUUAGUUUGGAGUGUUUGGGCCCAUCCCUAGCACCACAGAAACAAGGCUGGAUAAUACUUUAUAAUUCAUACAGCUAUUUUGCUAUCAUCCGUUUUCUCACCUUACCAAAGCUUGUGACCAAAAUUUUGUUGUGCCUUGUGCAUUGAAAUAAGUUUUAAGAAAUGAUGGUAGUUUGACUUUUGUCCUUUAAGUUUGUAAAUGGUGGGAAAUAAAAUUAAAUCCAGAAAGUGCCAUAUUCAUUUCAUGCCACCUUGAGUCCCUACUCUCCUGCUUCCCUUGCUGCAACCUUUUCUUUUUUUCCAGGUACUGUUGAGCAUAACUUUUUGCUCUGCCUUCAAUGUAUUUUCAUCAAAAUUAAGCAAAACAUAUUAAUAAUAAAAAGCUCCAACAUGGAAAUUCUUGGGCAUGUGUAUGUGUAUGUAAUUUGGAGGCCUGAUCUCUAAGUUGUGUCCUGGAAAGACCCUUGUUGAAAUUUAUUAUUCUUGCAUAUAUGAUUUAAAAGAUUUUAAUUUGUUCAAGUUUUGUUUAAGGCAUUCCUCAAACUUUCUUAUGUUUUGGUAUUCUGUGGUAAAUUUUCAUAAAGUUGUGUUUUUCUUUUUUGAAAUGCCGCAUGUCAUCUCACGUAUGAGAAGACAUAAAGUUGCUUUUUUGAGCUGAUAUUACUUUUUAACUUUGUCUUAUUAUGUAAUUAUCUGCCCUCUACAACUUUGAAGUAACAUCAUAAUUAAUAAUAAUUAAAAGAUAAAUGGAUAAAGGAAUUUUUAAGCUCCAUUUUCUCGUUCCAUUGCUUGAUACCAAGGGAAGCAGCAAGUUUUUGUUUUAUGCAUUCCUGAAACUUUCUUAUUUUUUGGUAUCCUGCUGCAAAAUUUUCAUAAAGUUGCUUUCUAGAGCUGAUAUUACUGUUUAACUUUGUUUUAUUAUGUAUUCAUCUGCCCGCUACUGCUUUGAAGUAUACUAGUUAAUGUCUUAAAUGUUUAAUUAAGGAUAAAUGGGUAAAGGAAUAUUUAAUCUCCAUUGUCUUGUUUCAUUGCUUGAUACCAAGGGAAACAGCCAAAAAGUGUUGAAACUUAUAAUUCGCAGGUUCAGGGAUGAGUUUCAUCUACUCAAAUGGGUAUGGGGUAUAAUUUUAUUAUGCUACCAAUUUGGGACACCUUUUGGUAACACUGUCUAUGUACAACUUUCUUCAGUGAAAAUUCAUGAAGGAAAGUUGACCUAGUGAUGUAGUGCGGAUGUAGAAACAAUAACAAGAAGUCAACUGCUCAUUAGUCUCUUUCAAACCAACCCUAGGGAAAGGUCGUUGAAAGCUGACGUGUACUCCUCAAUGGACAUACUAUUUUGCUUGAGUGAAUGAAAUUUCUCAUUCAACUCCAUUUAAUCAGCAGGCAAAAAUUGCCUUCUCAUCUUCAUUUUCAUGUGUUCCCAAGUGUUGAUUUUUGGCUUGCCUUGAUGUGCUUGCCGCUCUUCAACUCUCUUCUACCAUUGAAGUGCAGCCCCUUCAACUUAAGCUUCACAAACAGCACCUUUCUUUGUUCUGCCAUUGGUUUCUACUAAAAAUAAUUUUCGAAACUAUCUUUCUGAUCUGAAUAAUCUUUUGCAUGCUUCAUUUUCCGGAAGUCAUCUACCUUAAUUCUAACUCCACCACCAUUCAAGUCUAGGCAUGUAACAAUCAGCCUUCCAAUCUACCACAAACAGCAUUAUUUGCUGGUCGAGCAUUAUGAAAGGGGUUUUCAUCCUCUCCAUAUUCAAUUUCAUCCACAAGACCACCUACCGGUAAACCGAAAGGGUCUGUAUUGCCUUGUGGAUUCUCCAUACAGGCUCCCAUUGGUUCCUGUCACUUUAAAUCUUGCACAGCCUGCAACAAAUCUUCAAUCAUACCCUUCAACUCAGCCAGUUCUGUUUGCUGGUCUUGAUUUCUUUUCCACAUCCGCUAACAAGUCCUCUACCACGAUUAGCCAUGGUUUAUAAGCUAAAAUCCUAGUUCAACUUUAAGAUCUCUUCAUCUGAUACCACUUUGAUGUAGUAUGGAAGUAGAAACAGCAAAAACAAAAGAAAAACAAUGACGAAAACCAGAACAAAGGCUAAAAUUGAUCUUAAGAUCAAAGUAGGAACAAGUUACAGCAGCUUUUAAUUGUAGCCCUUCGAUACAAACAACCCCAUCUAAUCUUAGCCAUUCAAACUAAUUAAAAAUGAUCACAUGCUAAUCACGACACAUGACUAGAUAGAAAACAUAAUUACUAACUUUUAACUAAAGUAAAACAUAAUAAGAUAACCAAUUGGAGAUAAAUUUAAGAAUGCUCUUGCAUAGCCUAGCCCAACAAUUAAACUUGCCUAAGGCUUGACUUAACCUAGUACUCAAGUCUCAUAAUUUGCUUGCAUUCAACUCACAAAAUACUUGGAUUCGAUCAGUUUAUUGUUGAGUUAUUCUUGAGCUCUAGUGACCAAUGGAGUCUAGUUCAAGUGUUUAUAUUACUCAGUCAAGAUAGUUCAAGAGUGUAAUCAACUUUUAAUUUUUUGAUAUAUUUUAAAAUUUCAUGUAUGUAAUACUCGUAUAAAACUAAAUAAUACAAAGCUCAAUCAAGCCAGCUUGGAGGUCUCAGACAUAUGUACCCUCCCAAAAAAUGUUCAAGUUGAGCUUCAGGUCUUAGUUUUGUAAUUGAGUCGUGUCAUGUUCAAGCUUGUCAUUUUGUCAACUUGAUUUGGGUCAGUUAUGCAUCUAGACUUUAACCAACUCAAACUGACUAAAAAGGUUACUGAAUCAAUAGUUGAGACAGGGAGAAUUCAAAAACAAAGUAAUCUGGAAUUCUAAAUAUCCAAACUUAACAACCUAAACACCUUUAAAUGACAAGUGGGCAGUUAUACCCCUUUUGCAGUAAAUGCAUAAUUUCACUUGACUUGUCUUGCAUGUGGGGAACUUGUCAGUGGAGUUGUUCAGUGGCAACAUGAGUUUCACUGAGCUAUCACUUGUUUGCAGGAUUUGUUUUGGAUAAAGAAGACCGAAGCAUCACCAGAUCUGAUUUAUACUUCAAGGACCUAUUUCGUCGGUGUGGAUUGCACCUGUAUAAAAUAAAGGUUAUGGCGGUAAAGGGGUCAACUUGACGUAGUUACGCAACUUGGACUUACACCAUAAAAUUCAACCAAAUUCCAACAAAGAUUAGUUGCCAACCCAUCUAGUUGUGUCUGUUACACAUAACCUUUGACUUGCAACAUAACAAUCCCAAGAUGACACAUCUAAAACUGAUAAGUUUAUAUAGAUCAUGCACUAAUAGCCUCAUAUGUUGCCAUUGUCUUAACAACUAAGUCUCUAAGCAAACAUUCAAAAAUUUAGAUCUUGAAACGUUAAAUUACAAGGUCUAGCUAAAAAUCCAAUGAUAGGUGCGGGCUUUAGACGAUGAGAGAGGGCUUCUCCUAUUGUGAAGCCCUCGUUCCAUUGACUUUCAGAUGUGCCCCAAGAACAUAACUUCAGUGAGAGGCGGUGAGUGAUCUAUAUUGUUUGAUAAGUUUUAGAUAUCAUAUCAUCUUUUGUAUCCUUUUAUUCUUAUUUGAUGUUGCUGAGUUGAAUCGAUAAGGGUGUGAUUUCUAGUUGCAUGUUCGAAGUUCCCAUUAGAAAUGGGGGCAGGUUUGGUUUGCAAUCCCCCCACUUCAGUUUAGGGUUUUCAACUAUCAUAAUGUAUCCUUCCUUUUGUUAUUGAUUUGUUUAUUGUUUUGAAAACAGGACCAGAAAGGACUCCCUGAGGAAUUGUUUGCUGUAAAGACGUAUGCUUUAACAACUGAAGGGCCAAAGAAGGUUCUUAAGACAAGAUCCAAGGCGCAAGCCAACAGACCUGGCAUCAUCAAAUGAUUUGUUGCCUCUAACUUCUUGCAUUGUUGUAGGAGCACUCAAACUUUCUGGUGCUUCCUAUGUAAUUUAUUAGUGUAUUACCUCAAAUUGUUUACUUUAUAAGCUCUCUGUGGACAAAUUUUGUCCUUUUUCGUUUGAAGCUGUAUAUAUAUCUCUGAUAUACCUUUGAGUUGAAUUUAUAAACAUAUAUACUUAAUUUUUUAAUUAUUGCUUUCAUAUUUUAAUUUUAUCUUAAAUUUUUAUUUUUUUUACUUUUCAAACAAAAAUAAAGAGUAAAUUUUAGUAUUCCUUUUUACCAAUUCUGUAAUCCUUAGCCUAAUAAUAUUUUACACGUAUAUUUUUGUUCCUAUUCGCAAGACCGGCCCUCUCUCAUAUUUUUGUGUUAUGUUCCAAACGGUGCCGUUUGGCACCUUGUUCCUUACAACCCUAACUAUAAAUUCAUUCUUUUCUCUCUUACUUCGCUUCAUUUUUCCCCUUCUCUCUGAACCGUCGGUGGCUCCCUCUCACAUCUCUCUAAACCAUCAGUUCAUUUCCUCCUCUCUUUCUCUUUCGGCUGGAUGUAAUGAGAAUCUCCCAACCCCAGAAAAAGGAAAUCAACUUUCUCUCCCUCACACUGCCAGAACCUUCCUUUCACCCUCACAAAUCAUUCCCCAACCGAACCCAUUUCCCAGAUCUCUUUCUUUGUAAGCAUUGGAUUUUUGUUUUGGUGCUUUUUUGCCUUUUGGUUGUGGUAUCCGGUUGCUAGAUUAAAAAGUUAGAAAUUUUUUUGCUCUCUUCUGGAGAUUUUUGUUGAAAAAGCCCCUCCUUUUGUGAAGAUUUCUCUUUUUAUAUAUAGAGGCCGAAAAUUCUCUCCUUAGUAUUCGGUCGGCCAUUGAUUCUCUCCUUAUCAGGGUUAUCCUAAUUUUCAUUGAAUAAAAAUGAAAAGGAAAGAUAGACUUCUAAGAUAAUAAAAACAAAAAUAAAAUAAUAAUAAAAGUGCAUAAAAAAAUAGUAUCUACAACUUGAGGGAAUCUAUGUUUAGUUCUCAUAUGUAGGUUUAAAUUUUUUUUUCUUUGUUUGAGAUGGAUAUCAAACCCUUUCUUCAUGAACACCACUUGCUCUAUGAUGACUAUGAUGGAUCAGAGGCACUUUGUAAUAUAUGCAAUCAGAAAAUUCGUGGUAUGGCUUAUUGUUGUGAAAGAUGCAAAUUCUCAUUGCAUGAUUCUUGUGCUCAUCAACAGCUACCUCCUCAGAUAAGCGAUCCUUGCCAUCUCCAACACAACCUUACUCUCGAAAGGUCAAAUUACAUAGAUUACAUAUGUGCUAAAUGUUUCAAUCUUUCUCGAGGCCAUAGAUAUCAUUGCAAAGAGUGUGAUUUUAGCCUUGGGUAUCAAUGUGCUUUUUCAACUAAUGAUGAGAAAAAUAAACUCAAUGAUGAGACAUCUAAAAAAAUUGGUGAUUUUAUCGUCUUUAAUUAUAGGAGAGUGAGAAAGUAUGAGUAUAUAUGUAGUUGGUGUGAGAACCAUUUGUCCGGAAUGUCUUAUGCUUGUCUUGGCAGUGGUGCUUAUUUCUGGUUCCAUGAUUCCUGCCUAAUCAACAUGCCUAGCAUAAUCUUCAAACACCCAUUUCAUCCAUCACACCCUCUUUCAUUAUGCAACAGUCACUUUGAUUAUCGGUUGUGCAAUGCUUGCAACUUACCAGUAUGGGAGUUUAUAAAAGCCUAUCGUUGUAGAAAAUGUGAAUUCUACCUUCAUGUUCAUUGUGCUAAACUACGACCCAGUCUUAAGGUUGAGUUACAUGAGCAUGAUCUUACUUUUUUUCGAAUAAAAGUUAAUAUCGCUUCCCACCGAUGCAGGAUAUGCGGUUUUGAUUUUGAUGCUUCAGGGGAUGAAAGUGCUUUUUAUCGUUGUGUCCAUUGUAAUUUCAAUUACCAUUUCGAAUGUCUUACAAUACCACAUUCUACUUCACACAAGUAUCAUAGGCAUGAUCUCAUGCUUAUGGAUUCAUUUAUAGAAGAUGUUUCUGAAGAAUAUAAUUGUGAUAUAUGUGAAGAAGAAAGAAAACCCAAACAUAGUGUUUUUUGUUGCAAGAAAUGCAAAUUUGUUGCUCACAUCGAAUGUGCACUCAAUAAGGUAAGGGGACAUUUACUCUCUCUCUCUAGAGAAAUUUAAUAAAUAUUUUUUUAUUAGAUAAACUAUUAAUUAUUUGAUCAUAGGUCACAUGUAAUGUGCCCCUUAGAAAAAUUUUGAUGCUAAUGUUUUCACUUCCUCAGGUUGUAGAUACGAAACUUGAUCAAAGUUUGACCUUUAGUUUGUUGGAUAACAAAGCUUCAACAUCGAAGGUAAUGGAAUUGGGUCUUCUAUAUUGAUAUUAUUGUGAUGUUUUCACUUGCCAAUAAUGUUUUUUUUUUUAAGUUUACAUCACUUGAGGUCUUCUAUGAUUCUUUGGAUUUAUAUAUUAUAAAGAUUUUGUAGUAAUAAACACUAUUUAUGUUUUUGAAUAAAAUUCAAUAAAAAAAAUAAAAAAUGUAAAUAAUAUAGGUAAGAAACCUCUACUUAUAUAACAGUAUUCAAAAUUAAUUUGGAGAUGGCUUUAGUAAAAAUAUUGAAUGCUGAAUAAAAUAAAAACACAUACUAGCAUCAUGUUAAUUUCUGAAUAUAUAUAUUUGAUUAUUUAAUUAUUGCUUCCAUAGUUUAGUUUUAUCUUAAAUUUUCAUUUCAUUUACUUUUUAAACACAAUUAACAAGUAAAUUUUACUAUUAAUUUUGACCUAUUUGUAAUUUUUUGGUUUUCAUUCACCAUUUUGAAUUUGUUUCAAAACCAUCUGUAUAUUAACAUGUCAAUAAAAUAUAAAUGAAAUUUGUCACGUAAAUUCCACAUAUUAUGUGAAUUAUGUGAAUGUAGUCACAUGGACAUAACUGUAGUGCUUAGAUGGCAAAUCCGUUUCAUAUUUAAUAGUGUAUUGAUGGAUAGAUGAAUUUAAAAUAAAUUUAAAAAAACGUAGAUGGAAAAAAUCGAGUUUGUUUAGUCAUAAAUGAAAAUAAAAUAUUAUGACAAUGCUACAAACUAAGAAUGCACUUUACUUAAAAAAUGGAUGAAGAUUAAUAACUUUCUUCACUCAACCUGGUUGUGCAGGUGCAAAUUGAACAUUUUGAUCAUCAACAUCCCUUAAGCUAUAAUGAGACAAUUGAACAGAAUGAAAGUCUUCUUUGCAAUGCUUGCCGUCAAGAAAUUUUUUAUCAACACUAUGCUUGUGAAGAUUGUAAAUACUACUUACAUGAAACGUGCACUACAUUGCCGUAUGAAGUGUCACACCCUCUUCAUUGCCAGCAUCUUCUCAAGCUCUUCACGGAUAUAGUUGAAUUUACAUGUCAUGGAUGUAGGGAACAUUCUGGUGGGUUUGCUUACAUGUGCCUUCCUUGUGAUUUCCAACUUGAUGUGAAAUGUGCUACUACUCCAAUCCCACCUCAAAAUGAGAGGCAAAAGCUGAAAGAGAUGGAGAAAGUUUCCAAGUUGUGCCCUUUCAAUCAAAAUCAUAAGCUAGACUUCUUCAACCGUAGACUCAAUUUCAAAGAUUUGGCUUUGGAAUGCGAUGCUUGCAAGCUACCAAUCUUGGGUCCAGGUUAUACUUGUCGUGAUUGUUUCAAUAUCAAAAUUCAUGAAUCUUGUCUUGCACUUAUGCGGGAGAUGCAACACACAUUUCAUCUGUUACACCCGCUUCAUCCACAAAUCGGCGAUUGGGAAAAUUGUUCUGCUUGUAGAUUUAAAAUCAUUGAGAGUAUUGGUUAUAGUUGUCGGCAGUGUGAUUUCCACCUUCAUCUUCAUUGUGCUAAUUCCUUGAAGCUAGCUUUAAAAAUUAAGUCUCACAUGCAUAAUCUUUAUUAUUUUGGACCAGAUUAUGAGAAAUCUUACCAAUUAUGUAACAAAUGCAAAAGUUACAUUGGUAAGGAACCUUUCUAUUAUUGCGUGGAGUGCAAUAUGAAUUUGCACUUAAAAUGUGUUCCCAUACCAUGUUCAAUUAAAUCCAAAUGUCACAUGCAUUGGUUGACUCUUAAAAAUCAUUUUGUGGAAGAUGAUUCUGGAGAAUACUAUUGUGACAUUUGCGAAGAAGAAAGAAAUUCAAAAAAUCAUUGCUAUUAUUGUGAAGAGUGUGCUGGACAAUUUGUUGCUCACAUCGAGUGUGUGUUUCUUAAAGUAAGUUUAUCACUAUCUUUUUUUCUGUAGAUUUUUUUUAUGCCACAUUAUUGAUUUUUUAAAGGAAAAUAAGAAUCUAAAUUGCACAUCACAUGAUCAUAUCCAUCACCUCUUUGAUUUAUUAGACUUUAUUAAUGGUUAAAGUAUCUCAUAGGUCCAUAUACCAUAGAAUUUUUGUUAAUUUAAGUCUUUUACCUAAACUGGUUAAUUGAGUCUCUAUAUUUUGAGAUUUUAUAUAAUUGAGUCAUUUUGCUUAACUGCAUCUAAAUUAACCAUUAGUGGUGUUGGAGUGGCACGAACAUGUUAGAUAAAAAAAAAACAAAUUGGCCACGUGGCAUUUUUUUCUUUUUUCUUUAUUCUUCUCUCAUGUGGCAUUAGUGGUGUUGGAGUGGCAUUUCGAUUAUCCUAGAUCUAAAAUCAUAAACUUGUAAAAAAGAAACUUGUUUCUUUUCACUGCUGUGUCCUUGACUUGAUGUUAAUUGUCAAUGGUUGUGUUUUUCAUGUUGUAGGAUUUUGAAUUUACAAAUGGAAAUUUUCAUGAAAUUUCCAACUUGAAAGAUGUUGAUUCACCUAUUGAGAGUUCCUUUAUGGAUAAGUUGCUUUCCCAACCCCAUGCUGAAGUUUACUUGAACCAAAACAGAAUGGUAGUUAAGUUCUAUAUAAGUUCAUUUUAAAGAUUUCAUCUUUUAUGCGAAUAUGAAUUUUAUUUUAUGAAUAGUUGAAUGGAAGAAAAGUUUCACGAUUUUGUGGAUGCUAUUGUUGUUGCAGAAGUAUUGGGUGGACAAGAAGUUAAACAAAUACUGCUUCAUGUUGUUUGCAAGAAACCUUACAAUCACUUGGUCAGAAGACCACCGUUACUGGCAUUGGUCAUACCAAAGAGAAACAAACAGGUUAGCGUUGAUUUAUUAUCCAUUCAGAAUCCUUACUUCAUAGUUCUAGCUCGAGAGCUUUCCUUAUCCAUAAACUUUUGAUUUUACAGUGAUGUGUUGAUUAAUGUUGUCGAACUUCUAGAUGUGUGUUGGCUAGAAAUGCAUGUGAAAUUCAAUGUAAAAAAGCUCUCACCAAAAACAUUGUAUGGACUUGUGUUCGUGCUUAUGUUGACAAAAGAAGCAUAUGGAUGGGAACAUCUAGUGAACUUCGGAUUCACUCUUCCAAAUGGGUACAAAGUUGAACACAAGGAAUCUUUGAAGUCCAAGCCGAGAGGAGAAUGGAUAGAAAUCAUUGUUGGAGAAUUUACAACUUCAUCUGAAAUUGUCGGAGAAUUAGAUAUUUACUGUCACGAAUAUGAUGUAUUAUUUUGGAAGAGAGGACUUAUUGUUAAAGGAGUUGCUAUUCUACCAAAGAAUUAAGUAAUAAAUUAGUAUUUUUUCACAAUAAAUCUAAAAGUAUCAUAGCUAUUUUAUUUGUUCAUAAUCCUACAGAUUCCAAAAUGACAUGAACUUGAAAGGAACAAACUCAUCCAAUUAUCACCUCAACAACUAAUUUUCUAGUCCUCAUUAUACUAUGUAAGUUCCAUGCUAAAUGCAAUGAACAAGCCCAUUGAUUUUUUUGAUAUGUUUUAUUAGAUUUUUAGACCACCAGUGACUAGUGGCUGGCUAUCAAAAUCUGAGUUUGGGGAUCAGAAUCUGCGAUAGAAGGAUUGGAUAGAGAGCGAGAGAAAGAAGGAAAGAAGGAAAAAUGAAAAAAGAAAAAAUAAAUGUCCUUUAAAUAGAAGGCUUAAAAUGACUAGUUUUGGACAAAUGAGAAAAAAAAUAGAAAAGCCAUGUGAUUAAUUUCUUUUUUAGUCUAACACAUCAACGUUAGGAUUUUUUGGCAUGUUAACGCAACAUUAGCACCAAUAACGGCUAAUUUGAGUGGAGUUAGAUAAAAAGACUUAAUGGUACAAAAUUUGAGUGUACAGAGACUAAAUUAACCAAUUUUGAAUAGAUUGACUAAAUUGACGAAAAAAAUCUUUAAUAUAGGGAUUUAUGAGGUACUUUGACAAAAAAUCUUUAAUAUAGGGAUCUAUGAGGUACUUUGACUAUUAAUAAAUUUCAAUCAACCAAAGAGAUGAUGGAUAUGAUCAUGUAAUGUGUAUGUGUAAUUUAAAUUCUUAUUUUUCCUUUUAAAAAAUUCAAUAAUGUGGUAUAAAAGAAUUCUACAAUGAGAAAAAAUAAUUGUUAGCGUCUCAGCAUUUUCUGAAACCUUUUCAGCACUUCGAAGCCUUGUCCAUUAAUUAAUCAACUUGUUUCAGGCAUGUUCUCAUAGUAACACAAGUCUUUACGUUGUGUAGACCUUUUAUUUCUUUUUGACCUCUUGCAAUCUUGAGCAAGGCUGGUUGUGUAUAUAGUGGAGCAUAGUUGUUUAUCCCCACAUAGUUGUGUAUAUAGGGAGAUGUAUGUCUAAGCUAUAGGGAUGGUUUUUGUUCACUUGCUUUUUCGUAUAUUGAUUUUGCUUAAGGUAUAAAGGUAUAGAAUUUUUAAAAAAAGAUACAAAAUUACAGUAUUAGCAUCUUGAUAGCCAUAUUUGGAAUAAAAAAGUAGCAAUUAAAAGAAGCAUUUUAUCUUUAAUGAUGAGUAAGCUUUCUUUGGCCUUUUUCUUUUUUAUAUUCUUUCAAUAAUUUCCUUCUUUAAAUAGAGAAAAAAAAAACAAUGUUGACAAGGCAUGAAGCACAUGCCAUUUUCUUGUUUUUGGUAAAAGGGCUUGAGGGAAUCUUUAUUUAGGUUUUGUAUUUAAACAGCCUCUCUCAUCAAAAGGCUAGUAGUUGAUCAUCUCUCUCUCUUCAUCUACCUAAAUUUCAUUUUUUUUGUUUGUUUGAGAAAACAAGGUAGAGACUGUUCUGCUAUUAGGAUAUUCUAUACUUGUUUUGGACAGAAAUUUAGUACCUCUUCUAAUCUUCAACUGAAAUACCCCAUACUUUGAUAUGAUGAUCAAUAAAGUUGGCCGGAUGUCAAAAUCAGUCAUGAAGAAGGAUCAUAUGGUUGAUCCAAGUAGGGGAAACGAUGUCAAGCCUAACUCUAUAAAAUACUUGUCAUGACAUACAUGUGGUGGAUAGCAUGGUUGCAUAUUAGGAGAGUCCCAAAAAAUCGAUAAAAGUCGAUAUUGUACCUAUAGGCACAACAAAGUUGAUUUAAGCCUCGAACUAGAUCAAAUAGAGAAUUUAAGAUGAAAUUAAGAAUAUUAAAGUUCCAGAAUGGUUUAAUAUGGUGAUUUGGAGUUCGAAUGUCAAUUUGGAGUCAAACCGAAAUUUUCACUAUCUAGGGGCAAAAUGGUCAUUUGCCACCUGGGGACAAAAUGAGAAUUUUUAGAAAAGAUUUUUUGGCCCCAUAUGACUUAUUGAAGUAUGAUUUGAGGUUAAGAAGUGAAAAAAAUUUAUUCUUGGUAUUUUUUGGAGCAUAGGGGUAAAAUGGUAAUUUUACCACCCUAAGGGCAAAAUAGUAAUUUUCCACUACCAGGACAUUUGUCCAGCACAUGGUCUUCCCUUAUCCUCAUUUUGACCAGUGACUAAUCAUGUGGUGGAGAUAAAAAGGUUUAAAAUUUUUAAAGUUUUAAAAAUGGACCAAUGGAAACAUGCCACGUGUCAAGCAAGAAUACUUUAUUAUUUUUCUUAAAAAUCAGCCCAUAUUUAUCCCAUUUUCUCUUCAUGUGGCCGGCCACAGUAAGAACAAGAGAGGAAAGGAAAAAAAACACAAAACCUAGGUGGAAAAAUUGAAGAAAAAGUGUGGGAUUUCAAAGGAUCAAGCAAUAAAAGGUAAAAUUUCUUGAUUUUGACUUGUGAUCUACCUUUCCCAUGCAUUUCUCCUUAUUUUUCAUGGUUAAAUUUCAUGUUUUCAUGGUGAAUUUAUGGCUGCCCAAAUGGGUACGGAGAGAGAAUGAAGUUAGAUUGAUUUGAUUUUAAGUUAUGUUAGUGUUUUUAGUUAGUUUAGCAUAUUUAGAAACAAAACAACAAGAAAAGAAUUCAUUUUCCCCCAUCACCAUCAUUGGCUGAAUUUUUUAGGGAGGAUAUUGUGGCUGAAAUUGAUGAUAUUUGGGUGAUAUUUGAUGUUUGGUGAGGCUAUAAAUUAAAUGAGAAAUUUUGGUAUGAAAAUCUGAAUUUUUACCUAAUGUAUAGACAUGUGUGAUUAUUGAUCCGGGACUGAUAAAUUGAAUCUCAUUCACAGUCACUGAGGUAAUUUAGGUAUAAUUGGAGCGUAGAAAGUGAGAAGAAUUGAUUUGGAGUUAAAUUGGAGAUUUUAGCCGAUUAGGUCGAGUAUAGUGUGACUUAGGUCGAAUAUCACAUUUAAGUGAUUAAUCAGACAUUUUGCAUCCCAUCUCAUGCGUUCAUUUAGAUUAGAGAGCCUAAAAUAGUUUAUGAUAAAUUGACACAAUUUAUUGAAAUUCAUGCCACGUAUGAUGUAUAGGUGGUGAGCCCUCUAACAAGGGUAAAGAAAUAGUGCCCGAAGACCGAGAAUAGGAAUAUAUCGAACUCCUAGUAUUGUGAGUAACCUUAUCAUCAUUUUUAUUAUCUAAAGUAUGUUUUUAAUCGGUUUUGGUGAAAUUUUAUGAAAAUGAGUUUAAAUGGUAAAUCUUGAGUUUUACAAACAAAAUGUGUCUACACAAAAAGAUUUUAUAAAUUGUUUUAAAAUUGAAUGAUGAUUUUGAAAAAAAGAGUAAUUGGAGGCCACUUGUUAUGAAUUAAAUUUAUGAUUUAAAUCUAAUGGCUUAUGACAGUAUUUGCAUGAAUGAUUGAAUUGGUAUUUGUGUUGAAAUAUAUGAAAUGUGUUUUUAACCUUGAAAGGCUGUGAAUUAUAAUAAUUGCCAUGUCAUGCUAGAAUAAAUUUUAUUGAUUUGUGGAUUAUAUAUUAAUUAAUCACUGCAGUAGGGGGUCUUUGUGGAUCAGCCUUUUAGAAAGACACGGUAAAUCCCAUUAUAUUCUUACUUCGAACGGAGAGGCGCGUAGGGUAUCUCCUGGGGUAAAGCUUAGAGUUCACUUCAAGCCGAACCACCACUUGAAGGGGAACUCAGCCAACGCCAAGGAACGGCUGUGUUUUUUCAAACUAAAAAUAUGUUUUACGUGUAUAUGAAAUUUUUAACAGCCUUGGCGGCUCGAGUGUACGCCUCUGAUCAAGGUGUUAUCGAGUAUAUUUGAUGGCAUGAGCCAAGUGCUUAUGAAAGUCAUAAGCCCUAAUGAGAAAUUAAAUAAAAUACAACCGUUUGCAUGGAUUUGGAUGAAUUUUCAAAUUGCGAAAUACUUAAAAUGAUGGGAUAUUUUAAUUGUCUCUUUUUACUCGAUUUUAGCUGAUUUAAAUGAUGUUUGUUUACUCACUAGGAAUGUAUAAUCUCACCACCCUCAUUUCCACUCAUUUCCACCCAUUUCAGGCUCAGAGUAGGCUGUAGAUAGUUGAUUCCAUUGAGGGCUUCUAUUGGAUUAGCGUCCUCCACACAGUAGGUUCACAGUUUCUUUAAUUCUAGUUAUUAUGGGCUCACUUAAUAUUGUAAAUUUAAUAGUUUAUUGUGCUACAAUAUGAUGAAUUUAUUUUAUUUUUACGUUACAAAAAGUAUUUACGCAUAACUCCAAAAUUUCUGUUUAUAAGAAAAUAAAAUAUUUUAUUGAAUAUUUUGUUUUAUCUUCUUAUUAUAUUCAAAUAAUUAUAAUUUCAUUUUAAAUAAAGGUUUUAGAUGCCUAAACUUAUUUUUAAUUGUGAAUUAUGUGAUUGGUACUUGUUUACUACAUUUUUAACUAGUUUUGAAAUUUUCAGUGGAAAAAUGAACAAAAUGCCCCUAUGAGACAAAAAUUUUUAUUUUAUCAGUUUUAAGUUGCAAAAUAACUCAAAAUCCUUUAGAGCAUAAAAUUUGGCAACGGUUACUCACCGGGGGAAAUGAGAAACUGAUAUUAAGCAUUGCGGGGUUUCGGUUGGCAUUCUGGGAGAUGAGUACCCAUCGGGGCAUCGCGGCGGUUGUCACAGGCUCAAGGGUAGUUCCGGGUCGUGACAUCAACCAUCUUGGUGCUGCAAAAAGGGGGUUGUAGCUAGAAAUUAACAGCAAAAAAGAUGCAAACAAGGCUGUUGAUGUGAAUGAUAUAGCUUGGUUUGGGUUAUACAAGGCACAACAAUCUUUUGAAUGUCAAAUACACUUUCCUAUAUUUAAGCUUAUUCUUCAUAAUGUGUAGGACUGCAGGGCAUUUUAUUCAAUUAUAUUUUGGUUAGAUUGUAGGGAAAAGAAAGCUAGAGAAAAAGACAACAGAGAGAAACAUUUUUUGACAAUGAUUCAAAAUUUAAUUUCAUUAAUAAGUUAAAGAAUUAUAGCAAAUUGUCAAAAAGGUCAAAAAAAAAUUUUUCUGCUUCUUUUAAUCUCUCUUGGCUAGAAGAAAUGUGCAUUCUUGAACUAGUGAUUUGCAAAUAAGUGGCUGCUUUUCUUGUAUACUUUUGAGUUGAAUGACCAUGUACUUAUCCAUUUUGUAUAUUUCAACAAAUUUAUGUUAAUAUUCAAGUUUCUAAUAUUUGAAUGAGUUUAUAUUUGAUGCAUUAACUAUGUAUAUAAGAUACACUGUCAGUGUAUCAAAUAUGAAUCCUAUUUAAAUAGAUUAAGAGUACAUAGUUAAAAAUUGCAGAGGGCUUAAUUUGAGAUAGUAGUUUUUUGUAUGAAAGAAGAAAAAGAAGAUUUUGCUGCUUUUUUUUAUUUGUUUUUGUUAAUUUUAUUGUGUCAGCUUGAUUUUAUGUCAAUAGCCUUAUCAAUUCAUCUUGGUUAGUAAUCAACUGCUUUAAUAACGAUGCUUCCCAACAAAAAGUUUAAAAGGGAAAAUAGGAGAUUCCAAACUUAAAACCUUGAUGUCCUUGAUGCUUUUCUUAUUUCUCUGUCUUUUUCUAUUUAUUGUUUUAGUUACAAAAUUGUAGAAGUAGCAUCUUGAUUGCCACAUUUUUAAUUAAAGAAGUACCAAUUUAAGAAAUAUUUUAUCUUUAAUGAUAAGUGAGUUUUCUUUGACCCUUUUCUUUUUCUUGAAAGAUUGAGAAUAGUCUUCCAUGAAAAAAGAGUAUAUCUUAAUUAAAUUAUUGAAGUCAAGAAACUAAGAUUAGCUUCCAUAUUUUCACAAUUAUUUCCUUAUUUUAAAAAAGUAAAAAAUAAUGUUAUUUUUUAUCACUCACUUGAUUAAUUAAUAUGAAAUUGUCGUUGUAUUAGUAAAAUGAAUUUAACAUUAAUUAAUCACAAUAUACGCAUGAUGUGUUUUCAUCGUGCAAGUAAUUGUUGUAUAACUAAAGCAAAAGGAAAGUAAUUGCUAUAUAACAUUAGUUUACUUAGAGGGCAAUAUUUAAUUAAAAAAAAAUAAUUCCAAACUUAAAACCUUUAUCCUCUUAAAAACCAAUGAAUAGAGUAAAGUUAAUUCUCCGUAAAGUGAUUUGAUUUCAAAAUGCCAAAGGCCCUUGAUGCAUUUCUUUUUUUUCUUUAAACAAAACACUCCCCUUGCUAAAACUAAAGUGAGAAUCAAUUAAGUAUGGUACAAUUUAUAGAUACAUUUAUGUCACUAGAAAUACUUUGUUUCAGAGUUAAUUUUUUUAGAAAUAAUAAAGAUGAAUUAUAUAUUAAAAAAGAGAAGGACAAGAGUAUCUCUUUACAACUUGACAAAAAGGACCCGCGGCUACAUCAAAAAACAACCAAUGGGGCUUGAAAACUUGGGUAGAUUAGUACUUACCAUAAGUCCAGCCAGAGGCGGAGGGAAGGGGGGCUAAGAAGGCCCCGCCCCCAAAAUUUCAAAAAUUUAUAUUUUUUUGUUUUAUUUUAAAAAUUGAUAAUUUUAUCUUUAUUUUUUAAAAAUUUUAUAAUUUUAUCCUUUCAAAUAUUAAAAUUUUUAUUUUCUCAUUCUCAAAUUUAAAAUAUUGACUACGCUACUGAAUCCAGUCAAAUAGUAUUAAAAAGAAAACAUUACAAAAGAUAAAAAAACCCACCCUAUACAUAGUAAAAUGACCUGUACAUAAUCGUUUCCUAAAAGGAGGAUCUAAAACGGUGUUCAGCCAUUAUCCUACAGAAAAAGAGCAGGUAAAAAAAAAACAUCAAUGGUUCUCAUGAAGGUAGCAGUGAGCACUGUGAUGCACAGCAAAAGUAAAUAAAGUAAGGGGACAGAACACCUCACACUAGGUUAAUAUUUCUUUCCAGGGUUGGCAUGGAGUCAUUGAUCCAAAGCAAAUUUGUUGAUCUUGAGACACCUUCUUUGGCCAGCGUGUUAGCUUUUAUAUUAGCAGAUCGAGAACAUCUUCCAAUCUUGCCAAGUGUAUUAAAUGUUUGAAUUAUCAGAGUCCUCAUUCUUCAUGUCUUCCUUAAUAUCAAUCACUUUUACAUAGAAUUUAAUUUUAAUUUUACAUUUGGAUUGUUGUGCUAGGGUAUGGCCGUAAAGGGGUCAACUUGGAUUUACAGCAUAAAACUCAACUAAAUUCCAACAAAGAUUAGUUCCCAACCCAUACAGUAUAUUUGUAUAAGUUACUUGACUAAUUUACAUUGAAGAAGUAAAUUUGCAUAUCAACCACAUCAUAAGCUAAUCAAUCACUGGAAAUAUGAAAUUACCACUAGUGCUUGCUAAAUUUUAUAAACAAAUCAUCUUAAUAAGCAAUAACUAUAUGUGCGAGGGCUAAUUGUUUGAGUUAACAUUCCAUGAAAUUUACCCCAAAAUUUAUGUUAAUAUUCUAGCUUGUGAUUAAGUCAAAUAUUCAAGUUUCCAACAUUUGAAUAGAUUAGGAGUACUUCAUAAAUGAAGGGGUUUAAUUUGAGGUAAUAGCUUCAAGUAUGGAAGAAGAAAAACAAGAUUAUGGUGCUUAUUUUUUUAUCUUUUUUUUUUAUUUUCUUGUCUUGUGUUGAUUUUAUGUCAACACUCUUAUUCGCUAUUUGGUAAUUUUGGACGUGUGUAUUUCUGCAGUAAUGUUUAUGAAAUGGUAUGGAUAGCAUUGAUAGCUGUGGAUCACGAGACAUAUAUACACUUUAGAUAACUAUUUAUUUGAGACGUGCUGAGAGGUGAUUUAAUUAUUUCUGUUAGCUGAGUUGUUUUUUCGGAGGUUCAGCCGACUUCUUAAAGAGUCCAACUGGAGCUAUUUAUCCCCAAAAUGGAGCUUAAUUUGGGCAUGUGGCAUGUGACAUGCGACAUUGCCACAUCUUCUCAAGAAAAGGGCACAGGCAAAACCAGAGGAAAUGCGAUAAGUAAAGGCCAAAUAAAUAAAAAGGCUAAUCAUAAUUUAACCAAAAAAAAAAAGAGAAACAGAAAGAAAGAUGGUGCACAUCUUGUCAUCAUCCAUCGAUUAGACAUCCCAUCCCUCACCAACCCAACGUCCUUGGACAACUUCUUCCACAUAUGUUGUCCAAUAAAAAUCUCUCAAGUGUCUCGCAUUGCUUGAAAUGAAAAAAAAGACUGCCACGUGCUACCUUCUUGGCAAUUGCUACCAGCGUUCUCCUCCUUCCGCUUGGUGUCGCCUGUACAGCCACAACCACCACCACCACCACCAUUUGCAAUUCUCCUGAUUCAGAAUUCUUAUCACAUUACUACUGUUGGAAAAGUGUUUGACAAGCAACCUUCAGCUGGUAAGUUAGCUUCACUUUCACCUUUAUUAUGAAAAAUUUUAUACGCAUCGCUUUUGGAUUACAAAGCAUCCUGGUCAAAUUGUUUCCGUAGUGAGGUAGAAGUUGUCAUUCAAGAAAAAUUACGAGGACGACUUAUAAAGCAUUUUAAUUCUCAUGGUUUUUGUUUUUUAAAAGAAUAAUUUUGGGUUCAACUGUAAGAAAUUAUCUUCCACUUGUUCAUUCUUAAAAAACAGGGUCGGAAGAGAAGCAGCUUCAACCUCUUCCACUUGUUCGGUCAAUCAAUAAUUAACUGCUGUUUUCGUUAAUCAAUUUACAUUUGAGUAACAACAAAAACAAUGGCAAAAGCACUUCUUUCCAUGAUCCUGGAGCAGUUGGGUGGUUCUUUCAUUCCUCAAGAGAUAAAGCACCAUAUCGGAUUGGCUGUAGGUCUUGAAGAAGAAAUCCAAAAACUCACCAGCCACUUUGAGGCCAUUCAAGCUGUGCUUGAAGAUGCGGAAAGAAAACAGGUGAAGUAGGCCAGUGUGAGACAUUGGUUAUCUAAGCUCAAAAAUGUUUCCUAUGAUGUGGAGGAUGUGUUGGAUGAGUGGAACACUGCAAAACUCAAAUCAAAACUUGAGAAAGAAGAGAGAGCAACUGAACAUGCUUCUUUGCCAAGGAAGGUAUGCUACUCUUUCUCCUUCUCUUCCUCUAAAAUCAUACUACAGCACAACAUCGCUCAGAAAAUCAAAGAAUUGAAUGGACAAUUAGACUUUAUUUCUGCUGAGAAAGAUAGGUACAAAUUCGAACUAUGGAGGGGAAUUCAUGAAGAAUCUGAACUACAAAUAACUACCUCUUUCAUAGAUGUUACUGAUGUAUAUGGCAGAGACCAAGAUAAGAAUGCUGUAUUAAACAUGUUGUUGGAAGAGAAUAGUGAAAAAGAUUCCACUCUCCAAAUCAUCACUAUAGUAGGGAUGGGAGGAGUAGGGAAAACUACUCUUGCUCGACUAGCCUACAAUGACAAUAUUGUGGAUACUCAUUUCGAGAAAAAAAUUUGGGUGUGUGUCUCAGAUCCUUUUGAUGGCAUCAAGAUUGCCAAAGCGAUUCUUGAAUCUCUUGGAGAUGCUGUGCCAAACUUUGUUGAAUUACAAACUCUACUACAACGUAUUAGGAAGUCAGUUGUAGGAAAAAGAUUUCUUCUUGUUUUAGAUGAUGUGUGGAAUGAAGAUGACUGGAAGUGGAAACCCUUCAAAGAUUCUCUCAGUUGUGGUUCUUUGGGAAGCAAAAUCUUAAUGACCACGCGUAAGGAGAAUGUUGCGGUUGCAAUGGGUUGCACUACUUUGUUCCCACUAGGGAAGUUGGCCAAAGAAGAAUGUUGGCUGUUGUUUAGUCGGGUAGCCUUUUUUGGAAGGACUAGCAGGGAAUGCCAGAUGUUGGAAGAUUUUGGUAGGAAAAUAGCAGACAAAUGCCAAGGUUUGCCACUUGCUGUGAAGACUCUUGGGGGUCUCAUGCGCUCCAAAAGAACUAUAGAACAAUGGCAAAGUGUUUUGAAUAGCGAAAUAUGGGAGUUGAAGGAGGCUGAAAGAGGUAUUUUCCCUCCCUUAUUGUUGAGUUAUUAUGAUUUGUCCCCAGCUUUAAAACAAUGCUUCUCAUUUUGUGCCAUAUUUCCGAAAGACUGUGAUAGAGAAAGAUAGGCUGAUCAAACUAUGGAUGGCGCAAGGUUUCCUUAAGGAGAAGCAAAUCAAAGAUAUGGAAAUCCUUGGUCAAGAGUAUUUUGAAGACUUAGCAAUGUGCUCUUUUUUUCAAGACUUUGAAAGAGAUGGCGAUGGCAACAUAAAUAAAUGCAAAAUGCAUGAUUUAGUACAUGAUUUGGCCCAGUUUCUGACGAAGGGUGAGUGUUUCAUGGUAGAGGUCUAUGGUGUUGAACAGCCUCAGGUAGAUACUUACAGUGAAAAAGGUCGUCAUUUAAUGUUGGCGCUUGGAGAGAAGGUCAUAUUUCCUACCUACAUUUAUAAUGUUAAGAAAUUGCGUAGCCUCCUAGUUGAACCAAUCAAUUUUUAUGCUUCAAUAAUGAGCGAAUCCUUACCCAAGUUAUGUAAACAGUUGACUUGUCUGAGAACAUUGGACUUGAGUACCAAGUAUCAUACUAUCUUUGGUAGCACAAUUACAGAAAUUCCAAAAGAGAUAGCAAAAUUGAUUCAUUUGAGAUACCUUAACAUAAGUAACAAUGAUGAUUUAGAAGAAUUGCCAGAAGCAUUGUGUGAAUUGCUUAAUUUACAAACCUUAGACCUCAGUUUUUGCAAAAAGCUAAAGAGAUUGCCAAAUGGAAUUGGAAAACUAGUAAACUUGAGGCAUCUUAAGAAUUAUGGUACUUGGAGAGUAAGGUUCAUGCCAAAAGGAAUGGAGAAAUUAACGUCUCUUCGAACACUAAGGGAGUUUCCAUUGAGUGAAGGUGGUACUAGUUGUGAAACAUCUUCGAUUGGGGAACUGGGAAGCUUGACCCACCUUGGAGACUAUCUUGAGAUUAGAGGAUUGGGAAAUGUGAGAGAUGUGAAUAAGGCCAGGAAAGCAAAUCUUCGGAGCAAGGAAUGCCUCUUUAAUCUGUUACUCAAAUUUGAUAUGGAUGAGAACAAGUCAGGAGGGGGGUUGCCAAAUGGUGAUGCACUUGUUCUUGAAGCCUUACAGCCACCUCCUUACUUGGAAUGUUUAGAGAUACAUAACUACAGAGGCUCGAGCACAUUGCCAAAGUGGAUGUUGGCAUUGACCAACUUGAGGCAUCUUGCAGUCUGCUCGUGCAGAAACUGGGAGAGAUUGCCUCCCCUGGGGAAACUUCCAUCACUUGAAUCACUUUGGAUCUAUGACAUAAGGAGAGUAAAGAAAGUGGGAGUUGAAUUUUUAGGAAUAGAAAGAGAUGAGGGGCAAGGAUCUUCAUCCUCAACUGUUAUUCCCUUCCCGAAUCUGAAAAGACUUGAAAUUCAUGACAUGAAUGAGUUGGAAGAGUGGGAAUAUGGGGAGUUUCAUUUCCUUGGCAAGAGAAAAGAGCAAAUUAGUAUAAUGCCAUGUCUCAGUUUCUUAGUGAUUGAUAGAUGCCCGAGGUUAAAGGCACUACCACACCACCUUCAAAAUUCAAGCAUUGAGACAUUGGAGAUAAGAUGGUGUUCUAUUCUGGAAACAGGGUGCAUUAUCUCUCGCAUUCCUAACAUCCGAAUAAACUAUAUGGAGGUGAAAAGAGAUAAAGUUUGAACUCUUCUUGGGUCCAGAAGAUCACAAAUGCAAGCAGAAGCUCAUCAGGUUCUUUUCUUUUUAAAUCUAUUACUACCUUGCCAAUUUGGAAUACAUAAUCUACAUUUUUGUCUGAAUCAUUGCAUGCAUACAUGGUUUAUUGAUGCAAAAUUUAGCUGAAUAUCGAACUGGUUUGCAUAAUUAGCUGAUGCAAUGAGGUUAGAAAGCCCACUAAGGUGAAAAGUGGCCAAACUACCGUAUUGGUUGGCCUAACCAAGAAUAACUAGAACCUCUCCCUCUUUUGAAAAGAGUCUAGAAAGAAUAAGCACUGCUCAUUCAAGAAUAAUAUUCUUUUUUAAUGUUAAAAUUGAGAGAAAGCUCAUACAUUCAUUAAAGUUAAUAAAAUUGAAAUGUUUGCAUGUGCUUGGUAACACUUAAUUUCGAAAGUUUUUGUUGUAUAAUCUGCGGACAAACUAUAUAUGCUUAAUAUUGCAAUUUAUUUCCUAGGAAGUGUAUAAUAUUUGUGAGGUCUACAUUUUUAGAACCUAACAAAAUCCACGCUUUUAGGAGGAAGAAGCUGAACCAGCACUAGAUGCUCUAUCCAAGCUGAGAGAUAAAGGAAUCAAACAAUAGCAGCAGAGUGAUGAAGAAAAUCCAACCAUGAAGGAAUCGACAGAGGAGCAGCAGACUGAUAGAGAAAAUCUAGCCAUGGGGGAAUCAAUAGAGGAGCAGCAGACUGAUGAAGAAAAUCCAUCCAUGGAGGAACCAACAGAGAAGUAGUAGGGGGAAAAAAAUAUUAGUUUUGGCCUUGUCUAUCUUUUUUUUUUUUGAAUAAGUAAGGAUUUUCAUUGGCCUUGCCUAUCUAGUUGAAGCAGGAUUCUCCUUGUACUUGUUGUCUAGCAUAAGCUUUGACUAUCUUUGGGUUGUAUUUCAAUAUUAAUUGCAGGCUUGCUCACAGAAUUUUCAUCACGAGAACAUUUAUAUCAUCAACGUUUCUCAAGACAUUGAUUUAUGGAUCCUCUGCCUUUUCAUGGAGUGACUUUCCUCCCUUCCUCUUCUUUUCUUCCACAGUGCACUGCUUCUUCAUCGAGCAAUCCUUAAGGGAAAAAGGAUAGUGAUGAUAAGCCAUUGCGAUCAAAGACUGUCCCUCAACUCUAUUCAAGUUCAGGCGAUUACAGGUUGAAUUUAUAGGUGUAUGAACAACCCUUAUUCUAGUAGGAUUCGGACUGGUAUUAAUCCCUCUCUAGUAGUGAAAAACAAAUAACUAUCAGGUUAUCUUAAUAAAGACAUAAAUUAUCUAGUUAUCUUAAUAAAGACAAAUAAAAUAUUUGUAUGCAUAUGUCUACAAUUUAAAGUAUUCAAAGGGUAAACAUGAUACAUGGUCACUAAAUUCAAAGGAGGCACGAGUAAUGUUACUAGCUAAGAAAAGUAUUAUAAGGUUGAUUAAAUAAAUAUUGUAUCAUCUUACUCAAAAAUACAAUAACAUCUAAAUUCUUUUUUACUUAUAUUUUAAUACUUACUUCUUUGACCUGAAACAACAUUUUAAACAAACAGAAAAUGGAACACAUGGAAUCUUAAUUAAUUAACAUAGAGCAAAUGGAAAUUAAGAUCACCCCAGAGGAUUCUGCACUGGAUGUGAACUGAAGGGUAUCCUUAGGGUGUGAAGACCUUUCCUUGACACGUUCUUGCAAAAUUAACAAAUCAAUUAAAAGUAUAAAACCUGGUCCUAUCGAGCUUGGUAGUCCUUUUAUUCCAUUCGUACCAAAAUCUUCACCUCCCGCCCAUCCCAAGAGUGGUGGUUCCACUUAGCCAUCUAAAACUCAUUACUCAGUAACAUAUAUGAUUUGAAGAAUGUAGCAGUAUAAUCUGUAUCUGAUAUUUUAACCAGCUUGUUUUUUGUAUCCUGUCCAGACAAUAACUUCAAGUUGCUUAUGUAUGCAGCUUAAAUUGUAAUAUAUUUCUUAGUUAAUAGGAUUAUAUAUUAAGAACUUAAUGUUGUGGCUUAGUAUAUAUUAAUUUAUAAUAUACUUGAAAAGAAUUAAAGAAACCUCAAUUUCACAUAUCAUACUAGUUUGUCAACUCUAUGUAUUUAUAAUAAUCAUGCUUAUAAAAUUCAUAGAUAUAUUAGCGAAUAUAUUUUAAAUAUGCAUUUAAAAUUUGGUAGCACUUCACCACAAAUUUAUUAUACAUGUUAAUUAUAAUGUAUUUCUUAGUCAAUAGGAUUAUAUAUUAAGAAUUUAAUGUUGUGGUUUAGUAUAUAUUGUUGUUGAUACAGAGAAACUAAAGCUAUGCCAAGUGAUUGGAUUAUAGAAUGGCAAGCUUCUAAAUAUUUACACACACAAAAAUAUGAGAUUUUCAAAAUAAAUCAAAAAAAUUUUGCGAGGGAGUCGACAAAUGCAUUUGUCUCUCCAUGAACAAAUUUGACAUCACCAAUGAUACUAUUCUAGCAAUCAAUUUGGUCGGGAAUCCACCAUUUGUUUCAAGACUUUGAGUUAGCAUUUCAAAUUCAAGAUAGCGUCACCUUUGAAUCGAAAUCAAUAACAUGUUUUUUGGUACCAUCAAGGUUUUAUUACAUUUCAAACUCCAAAAUAAUUGGAUUGCUUGUUUGAUUGCAAGCAAUAAUGAAAAAUGACAUAGUCAUUUCCCUGACCAAAUAUAUCAUAAAUUCUUUUAACUUUCAAAAAAAAAAAAUUAUUCAGCUCUACUAGCACUACCUUUGAGACCAAUAGAGAUUAAACAUUAAAUCUUAAUCUUUGAAAUUUCUUAAUAUGUCUUGUUAAUAUGAAUCGGGUCUAAUUUGGAAAAAAUUUCUGUGUUUGAGAUUGAAAAAUUACUUUCACAUCACAUCAGACUAAGGCUGCUUUAUCUUGCUAAUAUUCUGCAACUUGUUAUCCUCAGAAAGGCAAAGGUUAGUUAUGUCUUCAAAAUGUUUAAUCGAAAGGAGAUUGAUUCUUCAUCAUGACUUCAAGGAUAUAUAAUUGCCUAUUUAAGAAGUGGGUUUAAAUACUUGUGAGUUGUUUUGACGAUACAAGGGCAGUUGACUGAAAUCUUGCAAAGGGGACUUUUUGGGGGAAAUUAUUUAGGAAACAGCUAAGCAGUUGGAGUUCAGCUUUAAUAUGAAGAUAUUAAGGUAACUAUGCAGUAGUCAUUUGGCUUUACUAUGGAGAUAAUUAAGUGAUUCCCACUAGUUUUAUUAUAAAUAAUAUGAUAAUAGAUGCACUUAAAUAUUUGAUUCAAUGAUAGGUGCAUGUAUCCCCCACUAAAUAUCCAAAUUGAACAACCUAAACACCUUUAAAUGACAAGUGGGCAGUUAUACCUCUUUUGCAGUAAUUGCAUAAAUUCACUUGAAUUGGCUUGCAUGUGGAGAACUAGUCAGUGGACUUGUUCAGCGAGUUUCACUGAGCUAUCAUUUGUUUGCAGGAUUUGUUGGGAUAAAGAAGACCGAAGCAUCACCAGAUCUAAUUUAUACUUCAAGGACCUAUUUCGUCGGUAUGGAUUGCACUUGUAUAAAAUAAAGGUACCUUCUAUUGCAUAUUGACCACCUAAUAAGUAGUUGAUAAUGCUUUUUUAAACUGAAUAAUCUGUUAGUUUUCUUGUAAAUGCUUUUGACAACUGUUGUUUCAUGAGCCAUAAUUCUAACUAUAUUUUGACACUGAAAGAAUAUACGAUACAAAAAGCUGCGCAGGUCUGCUGUGGUAUCUUAAAUGGUGCUCAAAGUUCUUAAUCAGCCUCAACUUCCAAUUUUUUUUUUUUAAUUCUGAAAAACAAAAACCCCUCACUGGCUAAAAUAAAGUGGGAAUCAAAUCAGUUUGGUACAAUUUGUAGAUAUGAUACAUUUAUGCCACCAAUGAUACUUUGCUACAGAGUUAUCUAUAUCAUAUAUUCUUUUUGUUUUUCUUAUUAUCAAUCAUUUUUACGGAGAAAUUAUGAUCUUGAAGUCAAAACUGGAUGUUGGAAUAAUUAAAGUAAUAAUCAACCUCAAAAUUGUGUGCUGGGUUAUGGCGGUAGAGGGGGUCAACUAGAUGUAAGUGACACCAUUUGGACUUAUACCAUAAAAUGAAACCAAAUUCCAACAAAGAUUAGCUGCCAAUCCAUACGGUUGUGUUUGUUAAACAUAACUUUUGACUUGCAACAUAACAAACCUACGAUGACACAUCUAAAACUGAUAAGUUUAUAUAGAUCAUGCACUAAUAGCCUCAUAUGUUGCAGUGUCUUAAUAACUAAGUCUCUAAGCAAACAUUCAAAAAUUUAGAUCUUUGAACUUUUAAAAUAUAAUGUCUAGCUAAAAACAUUCAAAAAUUUAGAUCUUGAUAGGUGUGGGCUUUAUAGGAUGGGAGGGCUUCUCCUAUUGUGAAGCCCACAUUCCAGAAACUUUCAGAUGUGCCCCAAAAACAUAACACUAGUGAGAGGCGUUGUGUGAUCUAUAUUGUUUGGUAGGUUUUAGAUAUCAUAUCAUCUUUUGUAUCCUUAUAUACUUAUUUGAUGUUGCUGAGUUGAAUCGAUAAGGGUGUGAUUUCUAGUUGCAUGUUCAAAGUUCCCAUUAGAAAUAGGGGCAGGUUUGGUUUGCAAUCCCCCUACUUCAGUUUACGGUUUUCAGCUAUCAUAAUGUAUCCUUUUGUUAUUUAUUUGUUUAUUGUUUUGGAAACAGGACCAGAAAGGACUCCCUGAGGAAUUGUUUGCUGUAAAGAUGUAUGCUUUAACAACUGAAGUGCCAAAGAAGGUUCUUAAGACAAGAUCCAAGGCGCAAGCCAACAGACCUGGCAUCAUCAAAUGAUUUGUUGCCUAUAACUUGUUGCAUUGUUGUAGGAGUACUCAAACUUUCUGGUGUAGGAUGUGAUUGUAUCUUCCUAUGUAAUUUAUUAGCGUAUUACCUCAAACUCGUUUUACUUUACAAGCUCCUUGUGGACAAAUUUUGCUCUUUUUCGUUUGAAGCUGUAUAUUUAUCGCUGGUAUACGUUUGAGUUGAAUGACCAUAUAUUUGUUCACUGUUGAUGGAAAGAAUCUUUACAAGUUGCAAUUAUAAAGUCAUUUGUUCAUGUUAUUUCAUAGCUUGUCUAAGGAAGAAGCAAAUCCUUAUGAAUUUUCCAUUAUAAGAAGAAAGAUGGAAGACCAAAGAGGGCAUGAAUAGAAAUUACAAGAAAUGAUUGUACUUUUAUUGAACUUAUUUGGGAUAAUCAAUCAUAAACAUAUAUAUAUAUAUUAUGAACUUUGAAGCUUUGUCAAUUAAUGAGCUUGUUUGAGGCAUGUUCUCGUAGCAGCACAAGUCUUUUCACAAAUUUUUCUUUUUUGGAACGUAUAUCUUUCUUAAUGAUUAGAGCAAUUGAAACUUCUGUUGAAAAGGGAAGAAAGGGGAUUCGAAACUUGAAAUUUUGAUCUUCUUAAAAUCCAAUAAGUAGAGUAAGGCUUAGUAUCUUUAAAGUGAUUUGCUUUCAAAAUGUCCAAAGUCCUUGAUGCUCUUCUUCUGUAAACAAAACGCCCUCACUUGCUAAAUUAAAGAGGGAAUCAAUUCAGCAUGGUACAAUAAUAAAAAUCAAUGCUGCUCCUACUUGGCCUAGAUGAGGCAUAUACCUUUUUACAGAUUUAGAACAAUUGAAACUUGAGUUUAAAGGUAAAAAAGGGAUUCCAAACUUAAAACUUUUAUCCUCUUAAAAAUCAAUAAGUAGAGUAAUAAGGUUGAUUAUCUAUAAGUGAUUUGAGGUUCUUGGUGUUUUUCUUCUUUUGUAAACAAAACUAAAGUGGGAAUCAAUUAAGUAGGGUACUAUUUAUAGAAAUGGAUACAUUUAUGCCACCAAUGAUACUUUGCUUCAGAGUUAUAUCUAUCAUGUCUUCUUUUUGUUUUUCUUAAUAUCUAUCAUUUUUACAUAGACAUUAAGAGAAUAAAUGUAUACUGGUAUAAUUAAGGUCCUUUGAAAAACAAAUAAAUGGGCAAGUCUGCCAUUGGAAGUAGGCCCAAAAGUCUGCAAAGUCUUGCACAUAAAAAAAUAGUGUCUACAGCCUUUCCCAUCAAGAGGCUGUCAUCUCUCUUUCCAUCUACCAUUCUUUGUUUGAGAUGGCUAUCAAAUCCAUCUUUCAUGAACACCACUUGCUCUAUGAUGACUCCAAUGAAUAUGAAUACGCACUUUGUGAUAUAUGCAGUCAGCAAAUUUGUGGUUUGGUCUAUUCUUGUGAAAGAUGCAAGUUUGCAUUACAUGUUUCUUGCGUUCAUCAACAGCUACCUCCUCAGAUAAGUGCACAUCCUUUCCAUUCCCAACACAAUCUUACUCUCGUAAGGUCAAAUUACAUAGAUUACAUAUGUGCUAAAUGUUUCAAUCUUUCUCGAGGCCAUAGAAACCAUUGCAAAGAUUGUGAUUUUAGCCUUGAGUAUGCAUGUGCUUUUUCAACUAAUGAUGUGAAAAAUAGACUCAAUGAUGAUGGUUUCAACAAGUCCUUCACCCUCUUUAACUAUAGGAAAGUGAGAAAGUAUGAGUAUAUAUGCAGUUGGUGUGAGAACCAUUUGUCUGGAAUGUCCUAUGGUUGUCUUGACAAUGAUGUUUAUAUCUGGUUCCACGAUUCCUGCCUAAUCAACAUGCCUAGCAUAAUCGUCAAACACCCAUCUCAUCCAUCACACCCUCUUCUAUUAUGCAAUAGUCACUUUGAUAAUAGGUUGUGCAGUGCUUGCAACCUACCAAUAUGGGAGUUCAGAAAAGCCUAUUGGUGUAGAAAAUGUGAAUUCCACCUUCAUCUUCAGUGUGCUAAACUACAACCCAGUCUCAAGGUUGAGUUACAUGAGCAUGAUCUUACUUUUUUCCAAAUAAAAGCUAAUACCGCUACCCACCUAUGCAGGAUAUGUGGUAUUAAUUUUGAUUUUCAUGCUAUAGGUGGUGAAAUUGCUUUUAAUCGUUGUGUCCAGUGUAAUUUCAAUUACCAUUUCAAAUGUCUUAGAAUACCAAAUUUUACUUCACACAAGUAUCAUAGGCAUGAGCUCAUGCUUAUGGAUUCCUAUAUAGAAGAUGAUUCUAAGAAAUAUUAUUGUGAUAUAUGUGAAGAGGAAAGAAAACCCAAGCAUUGGGUUUAUUGUUGCGAGAAAUGCAAAUUUGUUGCUCACAUCAAAUGUGCACUCAAUAAGGUAAGGAGACAUUUACUCUUUCUCUAAAGAAAUUUAAUAAAUGUUUUUUUCAUUAGAUAAACUAUUAAUUAUAGCUCACAUAUAAUGUGCCCUUUCGAAAAAUUUUGAUGCUAAUAUUGUCAUUUCCCCAGGUUGUAGUAUGAAACUUGACCAAAGUUCAAACUCUAGUUUGUUGGAUAGUGAAGCUUCAACAUUGAAGGUGAUGGAAUUGGGUCUUCUAUACUGAUAUUAUUGUGAUGUUUUCACUUGCCAAUAAAUUUUUUUGAAGUUUGCAUCACUUUAGGUCUUCUAUUAUUCCUUGGAUUUAUAUAUUAUAAAGAUUUUUUAGUAAUAAACACCAAUUACGUUUUAGAAUAAAAUUCAAUGAAAAAAAACUAAAAACUGUAAAUAAUAUAGGUAAGAAACCUCUACUUAUAUAGCCGUAUUCAAAAUUAAUUGGAGACGGCGUUAGUAAAACUAUUGAAUGUUGAAUAAAAUAAAAACAAAUACGUGCAUCAUAUUAAUUUAUGAACAUAUAUAUUUGAUUGUUUAAUUAUUGCUUCUACAUUUUAGUUUUAUCUUAAAUUUUCAUUUCUUUUACUUUUUAAACAAAAAUAAAAAGUAAAUUUUACUAUUAAUAUUGAUCUAGUUGUAAUUUUUCAUUUUCAUUCAUCCAUUUUGAAUUUGUUCCAAAUCUAUCUGUAUAUUAACAUGCGAGGAAAAUAUAAAUGGAAUUUGUCUGAUAAAUUCCACAUGUUAUGUGAAUUAUGUGAAUGUAGUCACAUGGACGUAAAUGUAGUGCUUAGAUGGCAAAUUCGUUCCAUAUUUAAUAGUGUAUUGAUGGAUAGAUGAAUUUAAAAUAAAUUCAAAAAGAUAUAGAUGGAAAAAAUUGAGUUUGUUUAUUCAUAAAUGAAAAUAAAAUAUUAUGACAAUGUUACAAACUAAGGAUGCCCUUUACUUAAAAAAUAGAGGAAGAUUAAUAACUUUAUUCACUCAACUUGGUUGUGUAGGUGCAUAUUGAACAUUUUGAUCAUCAACAUCCCUUGAGCUAUAAUGAGGCUAUUGAGCAGAAUGAAAGUCUUCUUUGCAAUGGUUGCUGUCAGGAAAUUUUUGAUCAACACUAUGCUUGUGAAGAUUGUAAAUACUACUUACAUGGAACGUGCACUACAUUGUCGUAUGAGGUGUCACACCCUCUUCAUUGCCAGCAUCCUCUCAAGCUCUUCACGGAUAAAGUUGAAUUUAUAUGUCAUGGAUGUAGGGACCAUUCUAAUGGGUUUGCUUACAUGUGCCUUCCAUGUGAUUUCCAACUUGAUGUGAAAUGUGCUACCACUCCAAUCCCACCUAAAAAUGAAGGGCAAAAGCAGACAGAGAUGGAGGAAGUUUCCAAGCUGUGCCCUUUCAAUCAAAAUCAUAAGCUAGACUUCUUCAACCGUAGACCCAAUCUCAAAGAUUUGGCUUUGGAAUGCGAUGCUUGCAAGCUACCAAUCUUGGGUCCAGGUUAUACUUGUGGUGAUUGUUUCGGUAUCAAAUUUCAUGAAUCUUGUCUUGCACUUAUGCGGGAGAUGCAACUCACCAUUCAUCCAUUACACACCCUUCAUCCACAAAUCGGCGAUUGGAUAAAUCGUUCUACCUGCGGAUUUAAAAUCAUUGAAAGUAUCAAUUAUAGUUAUUGGCAGUGUGAUUUCCAGCUUCAUCUUCAUUGUGCUAAUUCCCUGAAGCUGGCCUUAAAAAUUAAGUCUCACAUGCAUAAUCUUUAUUAGUUUGAACCAUAUUAUGAGAAAUCCUACCACUUUUGUAACAAAUGCAAAAGUUACAUUGGUGAGGAACCUUUCUAUUAUUGCGUGGAGUGCAAUAUGAAUUUGCACUUAAAAUGUGUUCCCAUACCAUGUUCAGUUAAAUCCAAAUGUCACAUGCAUUGUUUGGCUCUUAAAAAUCAUUUUGUGGAAGACGAUUUUGGAGAAUACUAUUGCGACAUUUGUGAAGAAGAAAGGAACUCAAAAAUUCAUUGCUAUUAUUGUGAAGAGUGUGCUGGACAAUUUGUUGCUCACAUCGAGUGCGUGCUUCUUACAGUAAGUUUAUCACUAUAAUUUUCUCUGUAGAAUUUUUCUAUACCAUAUUAUUGAAUUUUUUAAAGGAAAAUAAGAAUCCAAAUUACAUAUCACAUGAUCAUAUCCACCACCUCUUUGAUUGAUUGGACUUUAUUAAUGGUUAAAAUACCUCAUAGGUCCAUAUACUAUAGAUUUUUCAUUAAUUUAAUCUCUUUAUCCAAAAUUGGUUAAUUUAGUCUCUAUGCUAUGAGAUUUUAUGUAAUUGAGUCAUUUUGCUUAACUCCAUCCAAAUUAACCAUUAGUGAUGCUGGCGUCGCAUUGAUAUGUCAAAUAAACAAAAAAAUUGGCCAUGUGGCAUUUUUUUCUUUCCUCAUUUUUUUUCUCUUAUUUGUUCAAAACUACAUUGUUUUAGACUACUAUUUAAUGUACAUUUAGCUUUUAUUUUUCAUUUUCCUUCUUUCCUUCUCUCUAGCUCUCUUCUCCCCCUAGAUUCUAACCCCUAAAUGCAAAUUCUGGAUGUCGAUCGCUAGUGGUAUGAAAUCUAAUAAAAAAAUAAAAAAAAUUCAUUUUUUUGUGAUAUUUCCCAUAAUUAGGGUAGCUUUUUCAAAAUCUAUCUCGAUUUUCCUAAAUCUAAAAUCAUAAACUUGCAAAAAAAAAAACUUGUUUCUUUCCACUGCUAUGUCCUCGACUUGAUAUUAAUGAUCAAGGGUUGUGUUUUCCAUGUUGUAGAAUUUUGAAUUUGCAGAUGGAAAUUUCCAUGAAUUUUCCAACUUGAAAGAUGUUGACUCACCUGUUGAGAGUUCCUCUAUGGAUAAGUUGCUUUCCCAACCCCACGCCGAAGUGUACUUGAACCAAAACAGAAUGGUAGUUAAGUCCCAUGUAAGUGAAUUUUAAAGAUCUCAUCUUUUAUGUGAAAAUUAAUUUUAUUUUAUGAAUAGUUGAAUGGAAGAAAAGUUUCAUGAUUGUAUGGUGGCCAUUGUUGUUGUAGAAGUACUGGGUGGAUAAGAAGUUAAGCAAAUACUAUUUCAUGUUGUUUGCAAGAGAUCUUACAAUCACUUGGUCAGAAGACCACCGUUACUGACAUUGGUUAUACCAAAGAGAAACAAACAGGUUAGUGUAGAUUUAUUAUCCAUUCAGAAUCCGUACUUCAUACUUCAAGCUCGAGAGCUUUCCUAAUCCAUAAACUUUUAAUUUUGCAGCGAUGUGUUGAUUAAUGUUGCCAAACUUCUAAAAGUGUGUUGGCUAGAAAUGCAUGUGAAAUUCAAUGUAAAAAAGCUCUCACUGGAAACUUUGUAUGGAGUUGUAUUCGUGUUGAAGUUGACAGAUGAAGCAUAUGGAUGGGAAUAUCCAGUGAAGUUCGGAGUCACUCUUCCAAAUGGGUACAAAGUUGAAUGUGAGGAUUAUUUGAUGACCAAGCCGAGAGGAGUAUGGAUAAAAAUCUUUGUUGGAGAAUUUACAACUUCAUCAAAAAAUAUUGGAGAACUAAAUAUUUACUGUCGCGGAUAUUAUGGUGGGAGAUGGAAGGGAGGCUUAUUGUUAAAGGAGUUGCUAUUUUGCCAAAGAAUUAAGUAAUAAAUUAGUAUUUUCUCACAACAAAUCUAAAAGCACUAUAGUUUCUUCAUUUGUUCAUAAUCUUGUAAAUUCUAAAAUGACAUGAACUUGAAAGGAACAAACUCAUCCAAUCAUCACCUUAGCAACCAAUUUUCUGGCCUUCAUUAUACUGUAUAGGUUCCAUGCUAAAUGCAACAAACAAGCCCAUUGAUUUUUUUGGUAUUUUUAUUAGAUUUUUUGACCACCAGUGACUAGUGGUUGGUUGUUGGAAUCUACGUUUGGGGAUCAGAAUCUAGAACAAAAGGAUUAGAUAGAGAGCAAGAGAGAGCAAGAGAGAGAAGGAGAGAAGGAAAAAAAAAAAACUAAAUGUCCUUCAAAUAGUAGGCAAAAAAGAAAAAUAAAAGCCACGUGAUCAAUUUCUGUUUUUAGUCUAACACAUCAAUGUUAGCAUUUUCUGACAUGUUAGCGCGACGUUAGCAACAUUGACAGUUAAUAUGGAUGAAGUUAGACAAAAAGACUCAAUGGUACAAAAUAUGGAUGUACAAAGACUAAAUUAACGAGUUUUGGGUAUAUGGAUUAAAUUGACAAAAAAAAUUUAAUAUAGGGAUCUAUAAGGUAAAAUGACGAUUAAUAAAUUUCAAUCAACCAAAAGGUGAUGGAUAUGAUCAUGUAAUUUGAACUUUUAUAAAAAUCAUGGCUUUGCACUUUUUUCUUUUUUAUACUUUCAUACUCUGUUAUGCUCUGUUUUUGAUUCCGUUGAACUUAAGUUUCAUUAUUUUUUUAAUUGAUGAAAUAUAAGGGAUCUUUUCUUGGUAACCAAUUCAACUUUCCUUUUAGUUAAGAUACUUUAAGCUCAUCUCAACUAACAAUUGGUAUCAGAGCAAAUUUUUAAGUUUUGUAGGUUUAACAACCUUUAAGAGAUUCUAAACAAAAGCUUAAAACAACAACAAUGGCAUCCUCGAGUUUCAUUUGUGAAAGACAAUCUAUGAUGCAACCUCCUCUAUUCAAAGGUGAAAACUACUCAUUUUGGAGGAUGAGGUUUGAAAAUUUUAUACAAUCUAUUGAUCUAAAUCUUUAGGAUAUUAUUAUUAACAGAUCUUAUAUUCUUGGCAAAACAUUGGUGGUGUGAAACAUGUUAAACAAGAGCUAAAUGGAAUGACAAGGAUAAAAUGCUGAUUCUAUUAAAUCACAAAGUUAUGAUAGCUAUCUUAUGUGCUCUUAGUGAGAGUAAAUUUAACAGGGUAAUUAGGUGCAUUUCAGCAAAAGAAAUUUAAGACACAUUAGAAAAUUCUAUAAAGGCACAAUUCAAGUGAAAGAGUAACAAAUUAGUAUCUUGAUUCUAGAUUAUGAACUCUUUAAGAUAAAGGAUGAGGAAUACAUUAAAGAGAUGCUUGAGAGGUUCACCAAAAUUAUAAGGGGACUUAAAUCUUUAAAAAGAGAAUUUCCUAAUGCUCAAUUAAUGAAGAAAAUCCUCCACUGCCUACCAAAGUCUUGAAGACCUAAAGUCACUACCAUAGAAGAAGCCAAAGACCUAAAUGUACUUACACUAGAUGAACUUUUAGAUUCUUUACUCACUUACGAGAUGACCAUUAGGCAUGAGAAAGAAAGAGAUGAAACAAUUAGAGAAAAGAAUCAAAGCGAAAAGACAUUGCUUUUAAAGCUGUAAAAUAGAAUGAUGGAAAGUUACUUGAGAAUUGUAAUGAUGUACCUUGUUGAUAAGAAACUUCAAUAGAUUCUUAAGAAACAAACAAGGAGAUAAGAAACCUUUUAAGAGGGAUGAAUGAAGAAAUAUAAGAAGAGACAUACCAAAGGAUGACCAUGUUAAAGACCAUAUAAUUUGCUGUGAGUGCAGGAAGCCCAAUCAUACCAAAUAUGAAUGCCUAAGUCUUAAAAAGAGUCAUCAUAAAGACUCGAAAAGAAAAGCUAUGAUGGCUGUUUGGAGAGGAAGAGCAAGUAGCCACUUUGUGUUUCAUGGGAAUUGAGGACCUUAAGGUACACUCCUCAAACAAUGGCUCUUGCUUUUAUGAAUUCAAUGAUGAUUCAUACACAUUUGAUGAACUUCAAGAUGCAUAUAAUGAUUUAGCAUUUGAAUUUGAAAAUAUGACCUUGAAAUAUAAAAAGAUUAUCUCUAAACUCAAGGCUAAAAUGAUUAUCUUGAGAAAAUCAAAGCCGAGUUUGAAGAUAAGGUCAAACAUCUAGAAAAUGAAGUAAAUCUGUUGAAAUAGAAAAAUGAACAAUUAAAUGAAUCAUUCUCUAAAUAGAGUGUGAGCUCACGAGAGACAAAUGAGAUGCUUGAAGCUUAAAAACGUUAUUUGACAAUGAAGGUCUAGGCUAUAAUUAGACACAAAAAGAGGCUAAGACAAAAACUUUCUUUGAAAAAGAAAAAAAAAAACAUGGUGCAUCACAUUUAUAUAUACGCUGUUAUAAGGUUGGUCAUUCUAUAUAUUUUUGCUUUCUUAGAAAACCAUCACUCAAAGGAAAAGUUAUCAAAUAGGUAUGGGUUCCGAAAGGAACCAAGCCUACUUUUGGCAAAUUUGUUGAGGUCAAUGAGGUUUCAAAAAGAACUAACACAGUUAGUACUAACAAAAGGAUCCAAAGAAAUUUGGAUACCAAAAAUAAAAUGAAAAAUGUAUUUUGUAGGUGAUUCAAAGCAAAGAGGAAGACAUUCAUGGAGAUCCAAUGCACCACUAGGUGAUUGCUAUACCAAAACUCUUCAGAGGGCUGCGAAUCUUGAAUGUGCUAUUUCAGAACAAAAAUUUCUUUCAAAGGCAUUAAUCUAAAGUUGGAAAAGUUGAAAUUGUUCAAGAAAUCUCUCAAGAUUUUAUCUUUGAAAUUGGUUUUGGAAAGGAUACUUUCUCUCAAACAUAAACCCAUUAUUUUUCUUAAGAAAGAGUUAGUUCAACACAUCAAAACCAACAUCUUUCUUUCAAACCCAUUUAAAAGACAUCAGAAAAGAAAGGAAGGAAAAGAAAAAGAAUCAGAAAAAGUGCAAAAAGAGAGGGAAAACAAGAAAAAAAUAUUCUUGAAAGACUUGAAAAAGAAAAAUCAUUCCUUUAUUCUAGUAGUGAGCUGAUCAUCUCUAAAGAUCACACCUUUCCUCACUACAAAAAGUUUCUAAGCUUAGAUAUUUCUAUUUUUGACCUUUAUUCUUAGAAAGCUUGCACCUUUAGUACUCCCAUUGCUCAUCAGCCUUUUUUAAAGGCAUAAAGUUUAUACUUUUAUAAUCUACUGUUAUAUUUUGUUAUACCUCCAAACAAAAGGUAGAGAGGUUGUGCUUUAACUGUAAAGAGAAAGAGACUUUGUGAAAGGUUAUGCUUUAACCUUGAAAAGGCAAUGACGUUGUGAGGUUGUGCUUGCUUCUCUUGAAAAGGCAACGAUGUUAUGAGGUUGUGCUUGGUCCUCUCCAAAGAGUAGUGUUUGUGAAGGUUAUGCCUGCUCCUUGGAAGACAGUUUAUAGUGGAUUUAAACUCAUUAUGAUAUCAAGGGAGAAGAUGUAGGCAUUGAAGGCUGAACUUUUAUAAAAAUCGUGGCUUUGCACUUUUUACUUUUUGGCACUUUCAUACUCUGUUAUGCUUUGUUUUUUAUUUCGCUGCACUGCAGUUUCAUUAUCUCUUUAAUCGAUGAAAAAGAGAGGAUCUUCUCUUGGUAACCAAUUCACCUACCCCCUUUCUUUGUUAAGAUACUUUAAGCUUAUUUCAACCAACAUAUUGCAUGAAGCAAUGAAGGCAAAUGAGUAGUCAAGAUAGGAUUCACCACUCCAACUGAUUAAGGAGACAUAUCUCGAUUGUUAAUGCACUAAGUUAGCUUAUGUAAAGACUCUGGCCAAAGCAGUAUGGUUUUUAGGAAAUGGGUUUCCUAUAAUCCAUGAUAGCUAAUCAAAGGCAUGAUUGAUAUGGAAAAGUUUUAGGAGUUGACAUUACACCAUUCUUCUAAGCUUUCUGAGAUACAUGGUGAAAGGAUUGAAUUGCACUAAAAAUUUGAUCACUAAAAGGUUGAGUCAAACCAUCUUGACUCUUCUAAAAUGUAGGUGGUCAUGAUGGAUUGUUAAAUUCCGCUCUUAGUCUGUGAUCAUAAGAUGGCUGAUAUGAUCAAUGAUAAAUUCAUAUUAGUUUGAAUUUAUCUAAUCCUUAAAUUAGUUUAUGGAUUACAUCUUAAAAUCAUUGCCAACAUGUUGGAAGCCUAAUGGGUGACACAUCUAAAAUGAGAUUUGAAAAUAAAAUGGGAUUGGUGAUUAAGUAAAACUUAAUCAAAUUAAAAGACAUAAGCUACUAAGCACUUAAUAAAAAAAGUUAAAUUAAGUGAGGGGUUAAUUCAUAAUGACAUAAAGGUUAUGUAAUUUCCUACACAUGGGCUGAAAUUAACCCUAACUAUGAAAGCUUAACUAGAGCCUCACUUUCAUGAGAGUGUGAAAAACACAAAACCCUAGCCAUUCCAUAGCCGCCAGUUGUCAGAGAAAGAAAAUUGUUUUCUUCUCUAAAGCAUUUGGCCAAAGGAAGUGUGUGCACUUGAGAAAGUUUGAUUGUUGUAAACAACCUAGCUAGCACUUUGUAGAGGCAAGAGUAAUCCCAAUCCUUGAGAAGGAUUUUUGGAGAUCAUUAGUGUGGACUUUUAUCAGAUGUUGCACAAGAUUUUUUUGGAUAGCUUUGGUUUGUAACAACCAAGCUCAGUGUGAGGUCUAUGUAACGGUUAUUCAUGUGUUAAAAUAAAGGAUCCAGCUUCCUUCAUGUUAGAAAUGUUAACUCAAUGUAUAAGUGGCAAUAAUGUCCAAAAGGAAAGUGAAUUGGACUUUAAAAAUUCUAAAAUUUGAGGAACAAAGAGCUAUAGUCAACUAUAGUAAUCCUUUAGUCAAUUCUAGACUAGAAAACUUGUUUUCAAAUCUUAAGAACAAGUUUCUAAAGGAUUUUGAUGAAUAAGCAAAUCCUAAGAAAUUUAGCUCAAUCAAGCAUAGGUAAAUGACCACUCUUGAAAUAUUUAAAACAUUUUUCAAAUAUAAAUCAAACAUGAGUAUCUCAAGAAAAAUGUUUAGGAAAAUCUUUUUGUUAAAAGAAUCAAAACUAAGAUGUGAAAAAUAUGAAUUAAAUCGCAAGAACUUUAUCACGACCCAAAUUUCAGGCCAUGAUCGGUGCAAGGGCUCAAUAGAUGUAAUCCAUUAAGCCCAAGCAAGCCUAUCUAUUUAUCCCACUCAUCAUUCCAUCAAAUAUUGCUAAAUCACAAUUUAUAACUUUAAAUCAAAAUGGUGACAGACAUUGCCAACUUGUAUUGGCAUUACUCAUUUAAAAUAUACAUACAUUGUCUACAGCAUGUAUUCCAAUAAUUUACAUUAGGUUCGUCUAUACACAACAAAAGAAUACUCGACUUCCAACGGAGGGACUCGGAUGAAUGUAUAGCUACUGAAUGCCGAGACACUUACCAAAAGAUGGAUACAAGUCUACAAGGACACCUCGUCCUAGUUACCGAUUGCCUUGUGAUAUGAAAAUAUGAAGUUGAAAACAGUGAGUAUAAACUCAGUGAGUGAACAAGGAAGGGAACAAGCAACAAUAAGGGAGAAUUUAAAAAUCAUGAUGCACUUCGUUCAAAACAAUGCAAUUUAGUUCCAUUCAUAUUAAAAACCCCUCAUCAAGUCCUUAAAUGAUUAAUCAUUUGAAAAUCAUGAACCCAUACAUAAUGAACCAUUUGAAAAAUGAAAGCUUCAAUGAUACGCAAGCAAGUCAAAUACGACAACGAAAUUGUGACCCAAAAACAGAAGGUUUCUCGCUACAGCGAAAUUUAGCUGAUGAAACAGAGAGUUUUUCGCUGCAGCGAGAUUCCUUUUCGCUGCAGCGAGAACCAGUUCUGGUGAAGGUUCUCAAACCCGAGAGUUUCUCGCUGCAGCGAGAAUGAUUCUCGCUGUAGCGAAAUAUAGGGCACCAAAUGAAAAUUUCCCUUUCUCCCAAAGAAAAACCAUCCUACUGAAAUGUUCAAACCAACAUGAAACGCAUAACAAUAGACUUUAUUUAUAUGAUUACAUUUAAUAAUUUUAUUAAUUAUCGCUAUAAUUUUUAUAAGAUAUAAGUUGUGUCAUUAAUUUCAUAUUUACAAUAAAGUAAUAUAUUAUAUAUACAUAUAUUUAAUUUAUACAAAAUUUGUAUAUUUUAUAAUUAUGAAUGAAGUUUGUAAAUUUUAAUAUUAUAAUUUGUAAAAUAAGGUGAUAAAAUUUUGGUCCAUUGGUUCAAAACCAAAUCAUUCAAACCAAUUCAAUAUUUGAUCGGUUUGAUCUUUUUUUAUGUUCAGUUAGUUUUAGUUGGUUUUCUAAAACUAUUUGGUCUAUUUGGUCUUGAGGUAUGGUGGAUCAAACUAUCCAAUCCACCAAUUUGCUCACCCUUAUCCGCAUGUAACCUCCCAUGAAAAUCAAUUAUCUUCAAUCUUGACUCCUUCACCAUUAAAUCAAGGCCAUGUAGUAACCAGUUUUCCAAUCCAACUUUUGCCACUUGAUUCGCGGCCAAUCCAUCUUUAUCACUAGAUCUAAUGUUGUUGAUUUGAGUAUCACGUCUUGUGAGUUGAUCUUGUAGUUCUUGAAUUUGGCGACGUAAUUCCUCAAUCUUGAUCUCAUGAUCAAUUCUUUGAUGAUUUCAGCAUCUUGGUGACAUUUUGUUGGCUCAAAUGAGGAACUACAAUUAUGGCAGUGAUGAUAUGGUGGUGACAUGGUAAUGACGAUAUAGCGAUGUAAAAAAAAUGAUGAUAAAACAAUAAAACAAUAAAAAAGACUAAAUGACCCGAACAAGGAAAGUUUACGUUGUGAAUACACCAAUUUUGACAUGGUUAGAAACUCCACUAAGGUGAAAAAUAGCCAAACUCUCACUUUGGUUGACCAAGCCAAAGAUGCUAGAACCUUUUACUCUUUUAAAAAGAGUCUAUAGAAAAUAAGCACCGCUUAUUUAAAGAAAAUAAUCUUUAUUAAAUAUCAACUUGAAUAUAUAAUAACUAAGUCUAAGGGUGCUAUUUAUAGUGUAAUAGUCCUAAAUCCUAAUAAAACUCUACUUCUAAUUGUCUAAAGAAUUAGAGUAAUUAACAAGAUAUUUAAAUAAAAUAAGUGUUUUACUCCUAAAUAAAACAUGACUAGCCUAAAAUCCUAGUACAAGUAAAUUAAAUAAAAAAGGAAUUCUAUUAUACCUAUAAUUUUUAAAUAAUAAUAACUUAUAAUAUACUCCUAUAUUACAUUUGUUCAUAUUAUUUCAUAGCUUUUCUAAGCAAGAAUCAAAUCCUUAGGAAUUUUCCUUUAUAAGAAGAAAGAUGGAGGACCAAAAGAAGGCAUGGAUAGAAAUUGCAAGAAAUUAUUUUACUUUUAUUGAACUUAUUUAGGAUAAUCAAUCGUAUAUAUAUAUAUAUAUAUAUAUAUAUAUAUAUAUAUAUAUAUAUAUAUAUAUAUAUAUUAUGAACUUUGAAGCUUUGCCAAGUAAUGAGCUUGUUUGAGGCAUGUUCUCAUACUAGCACAAGCCUUUUCAUAGAUUAUUCCUUUUCGGUACAUAUUCCUUUCUUAAUGAUUAGAGCAAUUGAAACUUCUGUUUAGAAGGGAAGAAAAGGGGAUUACAAACUUAAAAUUUUAAUAUUCUUAAAAUCCAGUAAGUAGAGCAAGGUUGAGUAUCUUUGUAGUGAUUUCGUUUCAAAAUGUCUGAGGUCCUUGAUGCUUUUCUUCUUUUGUAAACAAAACACCCUUACUUGCUUAACUAAAGUGGGAAUCAACUCAGCAUGGUACAACAUUGAAAAUCAAUGUUGCUCCUUCUUGGCUUAGAUAAAGCAUAUACUUUUUGACAGAUUUAGAGCAAUUGAAACUUAAGUUUAAACGUAAAAAAUGGGAUUCCAAACUUAAAACUUUUAUCCUCUUAAAAACCAAUAAGUAGAGUCAGGUUGAUUUUCUACAAAGUGAUUUAAUUCUGAAAUGCUUGAGGACCUUGAUAUUUUCCUUCUUUUGUAAACAAAACUAAAGUGCGAAUCAAUUCAGCAUUCUACAAUUUAUAGAAAUGGAUACAUUUAUGCCACCAAUGAUACUUUGCUUCAGAGUCAUAUCAAUCAUGUCUUCUUUUUGUCUUUCCUUAUCUAUCACUUUUGCAUAGAAAUUAAAAGAAUAAAUGUAUACAGGUAUAACUAAAAGAAUAAUUAACCUCAAAAUUUUAGUUUGCCACUGUUAUAUUUUGAAAUUUAGUUUUAAUAAUGAUGCUUCCCAACAAAAAGUUUAAAAGCGAGAAUAGAAGAUUCCAAACUUCAAACCUUUAUCCUUUGAAAAACCAAUAACUGGGCAAUGUUGUUUUGAAAAAAGUAAUUUGAUUCCGAAAUGCUUGGGGUCCUUGAUGCUUUUCUUGUUUUCUCUUCUUUCCUAUUUACUGUUUUAGAUACAAAUUUGUGGUACUAGCAUCUUUGAUAGCCACAUUUGGAAUAAAAAUGUAGCAAUUAAAAGAAGCAUUUUGUCUUUAAUGAUGAGUAAGUUUCCUUUUUUUUGAAUGAAAAAUAGAAUAAUUUUAAAGCAAGAAAGAUUGGCAUAAUAAAUAAAGCAGCACUUGCUUUCAUAUUUUCUCAAUAAUUUCCUUAGCAUAUGCCAUAUUCUUGUUGUUGGUUCAAAAUGCUUGAGGGAAUCUUUGUUUAGCCUUUAUAUAUAAACACCUUCUCCCAUCAAGAGGCUAGUUGUUGAUCAUAUCUCUUUCUUCAUCUACCUGAAUUUCUUUGUUUGUUGGUUUAAGAUGGAUAUCAAACCUUUCCUUCAUGAACACUACUUGCUCUUUGAUGAAUACAUAGAACAAAAGGCACGUUGUGAUAAAUGCAAUUGGAAUAUUUAUGGUUGGGCCUAUUCUUGUGAAAGAUGCAAGUUUUGGUUGCACAAGUCUUGUGCUGAAUAACAGCUACCUCGUCAGAUAAGUGCACAUCCUCUCCACUCCCAACAUAAUCUUACUCUAUUCUGCAAACCUUGGAUGAAUUACCUAUGUGCUAAAUGUUUCAAUCUUUCUACUGGCCAUGGAUAUAGUUGCGAAAAAGGUUGUGAUUUUAGGCUUGAGUGUCUAUGUGCUUUUUCAACCAAUGAUGAGACAAAUAGACCCUCAAUUAAUGGCCACAGAUCCAAAAAAAUUCAGCAUUUCAGCUUUAACGAACCGUUGACCCUUUUUAACUACAGGAAAGUGAGAAAGUAUGAUUUUUUCUGUAAUUGGUGUGAGAAACAUAUAUUUGGAAUGUGCUAUGGUUUUCGAGAUGAAAUCUUUUUCCACUAUUCUUGCUUAAACAACAUGCCUAACGUCUUGAAACACCCUUUUCAUCCAUCACACCAUCUUCACUUACGCAGCUCCUACUUGGGUAUUCGACUUUGCAAAGCUUGUAACAAAUUAAUGAAGGAGUGGGAAAAAUCCUAUUUUUGUCCAAAAUGCACAUUCCACCUUCAUGUUCUUUGUGCUAGACUCCAACCCAGUCUCAAGGUUGAGUUAGAUGAGCAUGAUCUUACUUAUUUUCAAAUAAAAUCUUAUGACACUACCUUUUUGUGCAAGAUAUGUAAUUCCAAUUGUGGUGCCGGAUAUAAGGAAAGUGUUUUUUAUCGUUGUGUUCAGUGUGAUUUCAGUUACCAUUUCAGUUGUCUUGGAAUACUAGCUUCUACUACACAUAAGUAUCAUAGGCAUGAUCUCAUGCUUAUUGAUUCAUUUAUAGAAGAUGAUUCGAAGGAAUAUUAUUGCGAUAUUUGUGAAGAAGAACGAAAGCCCAAGUGUUAUGUUUAUUGUUGCAAGGAGUGCGAAUUUGUUGCUCACAUCGAAUGUGCACUCAAUAAGGUAAGGAAAUAUUUACACUCACUCACUAAAUAAAUUUAUUAAAUUGUUUUUUUAUUAAAAAAGUAGCAUAGGUCGCAUAAAUGUUUCCCCUAGAAAAAUUUUGGUGCUAAUAUUUUCACUUUCCCAGGUUGUAGAUAUAAAACUUGACCAUGGCUUGUUGGACAACAAAGAGGAAACAGAGCAGAGAAAUGCAAAAGUUCCUACUCAUCUUAGCGUAAGUGUACAAUUAAUGGAGCGAUAGUUUAUUUUGGCUUUAUUAUUCAUUUCCAUCAAGCAAGAACAAUUAUGUUUUUGGUUUAUAUAAGCAAUAUGUUAGAGAAAUAGAAACUCAAGUAGUUGAGAAACACCAAUACUAAGAAGAACACUAGGAUUUUUUUUGGAAGUUUACAUCACUUCAGGUCUUCUAAAAUGACUUGGAUUUUUAUAUUAUAAUGAAUUUUUAGUAAUAAACACCAUUUAUGUUUUUGAAUAAAAUUCAAUAAAAAAAACUAAAAAACGUCAAUAAUAAAUGUACCAAACCCCUAUUAAUAUAGCAAGUUUCAAAAUUAAUUUGGAGACUGCUUUAGUAAGAAUAUUGAAUUUUUAAAUAAAAUAAAAACCACAUACAUGCAUCAUGUUAAUUUAUAAAUAUAUAUAAUAAUUAUUUAAUUAUUGCAUCCAUAUUCUACUUUUAUUUUAAAUUUUCAUUUCCUUCUUUUUUUUUUUGCAUUUUAAACAUGAACAAAGAAUAAAUUGUAUUAUCAAUCUUGAUCUAUUUAGAAUAUUUCAUUUUCAUUUGUGCAUUUUGAAUUUGUUCCAAAUGCAUCAAGUCUAUUAAUGUACCAAUAGAAUAUAGAUGAAAUUUUCCAUCAAGGUGCCACAUGUAUGUCCAAUUAUGUGAAUGCAGUCACAAGGACAUACAUGUAGCAAUUAGAUGGCAAAUCCCUUCCAUAUUUUAACACUUUAUUGAUGAAUAGAUGAAUCUAGAAUAAAUUCAAAAAGUCGUACAUGAAAAAAUCAAAUUUGUUUAGUUACAAAUGAAAAUAAAAUAUUAUGACAAUGUUACAAAUUAACAAUGAACUUAAAAAAAUAGAGAAAUAUUAAUGAGUUGCCUCACUCGCUCUCAUUUUACAAAUGCAGAUUGAAAAUUUUGAUCAUCCACAUCCCUUGAGCUAUUAUGAGGCUAUUGAACGGAAUGAAAAUCCUAUUCCUCUUUGUGAUGCUUGCUAUCUAGAAAUUUCUGGUCAAGCCUAUGCUUGUAAAAAUUGCAAAUACUACUUGCAUGAAACAUGCGCCACAUUGCCGUAUGAAGUGUUACAUAUUCUUCACCCCCAGCAUCCUCUCCAGCUCCUCACCUUUGCUAACACCUUUACAUGUUAUGAAUGUAAGGGCCAUUCUUAUGGGUUUUCUUACAAGUGCUAUAAAUGUGAGUUCACACUUGACGUGAAAUGUGCUACCACUCCAAUUGCACCUAAAAAUGAGGGCCAAGGGCUAAUAGAAAUGGAGAGAUUCUCCAAGUUAUGCCUUUUCAAUCAAAAUCAUAAGCUAGAGUUCUUCAAUGUUAGAUCCAAGUCGCUAGAUUUGAAAUGCGAUGCUUGCCGCAAACAAAUCGUGGGUCCAGCUUAUAGAUGUGGUAGUUUGUUUUGCAACUACCAGCUUCAUGAAUCUUGUCUUGCACUUGUGCAGGAGAUGCAACACCCAUUUCAUCCAUUGCAUCCUCUUCAUCCGCAAGUCUUUCGGUCACAAUAUUGUUCUGCUUGUAAACAACAAAUGAAUGCCAUCAGCUAUAGUUGUCAGCAGUGUGAUCUUCACCUUCACUUUGAUUGUGCUAGCUCCUUGAAGCUAGCAUUAAAAUUGAAGUUUCACCAACAUAGUCUUUAUUAUUUUGGACCACAUACUGUGCAUUCCUUCGGUUUAUGUGACAGAUGCAAAAACCAUGUUAGUGGGGCACCUCUCUAUCACUGCAUGGAGUGUGGUAUUUCUUUGCAUUUUGGAUGUGUUCAAAUACCACAUUCAAUUAAAUCCAAAUGUCACAUUCAUCCUUUGACUCUUAAAGAUAGUUUUGUGGAAGAUGAUUCAGGAGAAUACUAUUGCAACAUUUGCGAAGAAGAAAGGAACUCAGAAAAUCAUGUCUAUUGUUGUGAAGAAUGUGAUGGACAAUUUGUUGCUCACAUUGAGUGCAUGCUUCCUACAGUAAGUUUAUUAUCAUCGUUAUCUUUGUAGAAGUUUUCCAUACCACAUAUUAUUUAAUUUUUUUUGAAGGAAAAUAAGAAUCUAAAUCACACAUACACAUCACAAGAUCAUAUCCACCACCUUUAUUAAUGUUCAAAGUACAUCAUAAGUCCCAGACUAUAGAUUUUUCCUUAAUUUAGUUCCUCUACUCAAAAUUGAUUAAUUUAGUCCUAUAAUAUGAGAUUUUAUGCAAUUGAGUCCUUUUGGCUUACUCUGUCCAAAUUAACCGUUAGUGUUGCUGACAUGGCAUUGACAUGUCAGAAGAUGUUGAUGUGGCAUUAACGUAUCAGUUUAAAAAAAAAAUUUGGCCACAUGAUUUUUUUUCUUUCAUUUUUCCAAAACUAUAUUGUUUCAAGCCUACUAUUUAAAGCACAUUUUGUUGUAUUUCAUUUUUCUUUCUUUCCUUUUCUCCUUAGCUCUCUUUUUUCUCUCACCACCUUGCCUUUUUGAUCUCCCCCAAAUUCCAACCCCUAAAUGUACCAAUCACUAAUGGUCAAAAAAUUUAAUAAAAAUAGAAAAAAAAUCAUUUUUUUGGCCCCCUUUCCCUUAGUCAGGAUAGUUUUUUUCUAAAUCUAUCCUAAUUUUUCUAGAUCUAAAAUCAUAAAAUCAUAAAAUCAUAAACUUGAAAAAAAAAAAAACCUUGCUUCUUUCCAUCGUUGGGUCCUCAACUUCGUGUUGAUGGUCACGGGGUUGUGUUUUUCAUGUUGUAGGAUUUUGAAUUUGUAGAUGGAAAUUUUCAUGAAUUUGCUGACUCACCUACUAAGAGGUCCUCUAUGGAUAAGUUGCUUUCUCAACCCCAUGAAGAGGUUUACUUAAACCAAAAUAGAAUGGUAGUUAUCUCUUAUAUAUGUUCAUUUUAAAGAUCUUAUCUUUUAUGCAAAAAUGAAUUUUAUAUUACGAAUAGUUGAAUGGAAGGAAAGUUUCAUGAUUUUGUGGGUGCCAUUGUUGUUGCAGAAGUAUUGGGUGGAUAAAAAGUCAAACAAAUAUUGCUUCAUGUUGUUUGCAAGAGAUCUCUUAAUCAGUUGGGUGGAAGACCAACGUUACUGGCACUGGUCAUACCAAAAAGAAACAAACAGGUUAGUGUAGAUUUAUUAUCCAUUCAGAAUCCUUACUUCAAGUUCCAGCUCAACAAGUUUUCUAAUCUGUAAACUUUUUAUUCUAUAGUGAUGUGUUAAUUGAUGUUGCCGAACUUCUAGCUGUGUGUUGGCUAGAAAUGCGUGUGAAAUUUAAUGUAAAAAAGCUUUCACCAAAAACUUUGUAUGGAGUUGUGUUCGUGUUUAAGUUGACAAAUGAAGCAUAUGGAUGGGAUAUUCCAGUGAACUUUGGAUUCACUCUUCCAAAUGGGUACAAGGAUGAACUCAAGGAAACUUUGAUGACCAAGCCGAAAGGAGUAUGGAUAGAAAUCCCUGUCGGAGAAUUUACAACUUCAUCCGAAAUUGUUGGAGAAUUAGAUAUUUACUGUCACCAAUAUGAUGUAUUGACAUGGAAGGGAGGACUUAUUAUUAAAGGAGUUUCUAUUCUACCAAAGAACUAAGUUAUAAAUUUGUAUUUUCUCACAAUAAAUCUCAAAGUACUAUGGUUUUUUUAUUUGUUCUUAUUCUUGCAAAUUCCAAAAUGAAAUGAACUUAAAAGGAACCAACUCAUCUAAUUAUCAACUCUACACUUGAACCAAUUUUGUAGUCCUCAUUAUACAAUAUAGGUUCCAUGGUAAAUGCUGCAAACAAGCCAAAUGAUUUUUUGGUAUUUUUUAUUAGAUUUUUUGGGAUUAAAAUCUGGGAUAGAAGGAUUUAAUAAGGAGGGAGAGAGAAGAAAGGUAGAAAGAGAAGGAAGAAAAGGGAAAAUGAGAAAAAAAUACUAAAUGUGAUUUAAAUAAUAGGCUUAAAAUGAAAUAAUUUUGGACAAAUGAGAGAAAAAAGAAAAAGAAAAAGAAAAGGCACAUGACCGAUUUUUUCUUUUAAUUUGACACGUUAGGGUCAAGUCAAUGUUUUCUGACAUGUUAACACGAUGUUAGCACCAUUAAUAGUUAAUUUGGAUGGAGUUAAGUAGAGGGAUUUAAUGGUAUAAUAUCAUAAAGUACAUGACUAAAUUAAUCAGUUUGAAUAGUUGGACUAAAUUGAUAAAAAAAAUCUUUAAUAUGAUGACUUAUGAGGCACCCUUUUUUUAUAUAUAGUGAAAAAAGAAUAACCUAUUACAUCAUUCUAAGCCAAGCAACUCCUAAAACAUCAGCUAGUAAAAGAGAAAUAAUGCUAGAAGGAGGAGACUCAAAAACACUAAGUACCAAAGGUAAAUUAUCAUGAUGAGUGGCCAUCCAGUCGGCACAUUGGUUCGCUUCACAAGGUAUGUGAGAUAUUUUACAAUCCCAAUCUCGUAGGAGUAGUUCUUUUAUAUUCCUCAGCAACUUGACAUUAGGAUCUAAAAUAUUACUUUCCAUCGACAACUUCUGUAUAGCAAAGAGGGAGUCAGACUCCACUUGAACCUUCCUAAAUCCCCUUCUCCAACACAAAUUUAAACCUUGAAAUAAUGCCCAUAGCUCAGCAUUUAUCGAAAAAAUUAUACCAAUUUUAUGAAUGAAACCUAGCAUCCAUUCUCCCUUGUCAUCACGAAUAAUUCCACCUGCCGCUGCUUCACCAGGUUGGCCUCUGGCACUCCAUCAACAUUUAGUUUAACAAAUGUCUUGCUCGGUUUUUUCCAAGAAAUCAAUACUUCAUGUUUCACCUUUUGUUGAGUUUUACUUAAGAUAUCAAAAGCCUCUUUGGUUUUCGUCCAGAUUUGCUGCUACGGAUUAUGAGGCCAUGUAAAAGAGCUAUCAAAGAUGAGAAGAUUUCUCCAAUACCAAAAUAGCCAUAUGGUGUACACAAAGAUAGAACUCCACGGCAACCCAUCAAAAACAGUAUUAUCUUGAAUAUUCUUCAGUAUCCAUUGCUGUAAGUUGAGACUGAAAAAAUCAGAACAGAAUAAAUUUCCUCUCAACUACAACCAGACAUUUUUGGAAAUAUUGCAAUCCCUUAAAUCAUGCAGUAUAUCUUCAUUAGAGCUGCCACAACGGAUGUAACCAGGAGAUGAACUCAAGUUCCUUUUAGCUAACCAAAAGGAAGUUGGUAAAGAAUCAUGAAGUACUCUCCAUAGAAAAACACGAACCUUACUAGAGCUUUUGAUUUGCCAUACCUGUUUCCAAAAAUUCAUGCUAGAUUUAUUUUUCUCCAUUUGAAGAACAUAGGCUGACUUAACUGAGAAAACUCCAUUGCUUGUUUCCAACCAAAAGCCAACGUCUUCUUCCUCACUAGUUGGAUCUAUAAGAACAGCAACUAUCAUGGAGACAAUUUCUGGAGGAAGCAAAUGUGUAAGCAUAUCAAAAUCCCAAUUACCAGCCUCAUUGCAAAAACUUGCAACAGAUAAUUCUGCUUCAAGAGCUGAGAUCUCAGCACUAACAUAUUUUAUUAAAGGUCCACAGCUCAACCAAUUGUCAGUCCAGAAUUUUGUUGAGUGCCCAUUACAUACAUUUUUCCCCAAACCUCUCACCAAUACAUCACGUCCUUUUAGAAUGCUUCUCCAAACAUAGGAGUUUGAUGCCUUAGCCUUCACAUUCAAAAGAUCCUGACUUCUCAAAUAUUUCUUUUUAAGAAUAUCUAUCCACAAGCUUUUCUUAUCAGUCCAUAAACUCCAACCAAGUUUGGCUAGAAGAGCAAGAUUAAAUUUUCUAGAGUCCCUUAUUUGCAAACCACCUUCAGCUUUAUUUAAGCAAACUUUCUCCCAACUAACACUAUGAAUUUUUCUGGUUUCUCCAAUGUGCCCCCAAAUAAAGUUUCGAUUCAAUCUAUCUAUUUCUUGAAUAACAUUUUCAGGAAUGAAUAUUGUUUGCAUUAGAUGAGCCGUCAUAGAGCUUGUCAUGGAUUGCACUAAGGCAAUUCUCCCAGCCAUAGACAGAUUUCUAUUAUUCCAUCCUUCCAACUUUUGCUUCACCUUAUUAAGCAGCUCAGAAAAAAUUCCUUUAGAGAGACGACCAUGGAUUACUGGUGUUCCAAGAUAUUUUCCAAAACUUUUAAUUAAUGGAAUCUUGGCAAUUCUACUGAGGGCUCUUGCUUUUAUAUCACAUAAAUUUGAAGAAACCAACAUGCGAGAUUUUACGAGACUCACCUUUUGUCCUAAAGCUUCACAGAAAUUAUCUAAGAUUCUCAUCAUAGUUUUCACUUGAUUCGUUGUAGCAGCUCCAAAUAACAUCAAGUCAUCUGCAAAGCAAAUAUGAGACAAAUUCGGUCCCUUUCUCGUUAGUUGGAAAGGCUUCCAUUUACUAAUCUUGAUUGCAUCAUCUAGCAGGUGAGAUAAUUUUUCUAGACACAAUACAAACAAAUAGGGUGAUAGACUUAUGAGGCACUUUGACCAUUAAUAAAUUCCAAUCAACCAAAAAGAUGGUCGAUAUGAUCAUGUGAUAUGUGUAUGUGUAAUUUAAAUUCUUAUUUUUCUUCAAAAAAAUUCAACAAUGCGGUAUAAAAAAUUCUAUAUACAGAGAGAGAAAAUAAUUGUUGGCACCUUAGCAUUUUGUGAAACCUUUUCUGAAACCUUUUCAGCACUUUGAAGCUUUGUCCAUUAAUUAAUGAGCUUGUCUUGACGCUAUACAGAACCUUUUGUUUCUUUUUGACCUUCUGCAAUCUUGAGUAGGGCUAGUUGUGUAUAUAGUAAAGCCCAGUCGUGCAUACGCCACACAAAAGGCUCUAAUCGUAUAGGUAUUUCGAGGAUAAAUUCUGGGGUGAGUCAUGCUGAAUGUAAGACUCAUAAAAGCAUUCUUCCCUUCCAUAGCUUAUUGAAAGAAAUUUAUUUUUCAAAAAAAAAAAAGAGAUUAGGAGCACUUCAUAAAUGAAGGGGUUUAGUUUGAGUUAAUAGCUUCAAGUAUGGAAGAUGAAAAAGAAGAUUCCGUUGCUUAUUUUUUUCCUUUGUUUUUGUUUUCUUGUGUCAGCAUUAUUUUAUGUCGACAUCCUUAUCAAUUCAUCAUGGUUAGUCAUCAGUAGCUUCAAUAAUUAUGCUUCCCAACAAAAAGUUUAUAAGGAAAAAUAAGAGAUUCCAAAAUUAAAACUUUUAUAUCCUUUGAAAAACCAAUGUAAAUAGACAAGGUUGAUUUUUUUUUUAUUUCAAAAAAGUGAUUUGAUUCCGAAAUGCAUGAAGUGCCUGAUGCUUUUCUUGUUUUCUCUCCUUUUCUGUUUUCUUUUUGAGAUACAAAAUUGUGGUACUAGCAUCUUGAUAGCCACAUUUGAAAUAAAAGGGUAGUAAUUAAAAUAAGUAUUUUAUCUUUAAUGAUGAGUAAGUUUUCUUUGGCCUUUUCUUUUUCAUAUUCUCUCAAUAAUUUCCUUCUUUAAAUAUAUAGAGAAAAAAAACAAUGUUGAUAGGACAUAAAGCACAUGCCAUUUUCUUGUUUUUGGUACAAAGGGUUGAGGAAAUCUUUGUUUAGGUUUUAUAUUUAAACACUCUUUCUCAUCAAGAGGCUAGCAAUUGAUCAUCUCUCUCUUUUCAUCUACCCAAAUUUCUUUCUUUGUUUAUAUGAGAAAACAAGGCAGAGACUUUUCUGCCAUGGGGAUAUCCUGUACUUGCUUUUGACAGAAGUUUAGUACCUCUUCAAGUCCUCAAUCGUCUUGGCACUGCAAAGAGGGGGGUGUAGCUAGAAAUUAACAACAUAAAAAUGCAAGCAAGACUGCUGAUGCGAAUGAUUUAACAACAUAAACAAUUCUUUGAAUGCCAAAUACACUUUCAUAUAUUUAAGCUUAUUCUUCAUAAUGUGUAGGAGUACAGGGCAUUUUAUUCAAUUAUAUUUUCAUUAGAUUGUAGGGAAAAGAAAGCUAGAGAAUCUUUUCAUGACAAUGGCAAAGAGACAAAGGAGAGAAAACAUUUUUAGACAAUGAUUCAAAAUUUUUAUUAAUAAGUUAAAAAAUUACAGCAAACUAGCAUAAAGUCAAAAAACCAUUUUCUGCUCCUUUUAUUCUCUCUUGGCCAGAAGCGAUGUCCAUUCUCAAACUAGUGAAUUGGCAAAUAAGUGGCUGCCUUUCUUGUAUACUUUUGCGUUGAAUGACCAAAUACUUGUCCACUCUGUAUGAAUUUAUGUUAAUAUUGAAGUUUUUUAUAUUUAAAUGGAUUUGUAUUUGAUGUAUUGAUAAUGUAUAAAAAAUACAUUGUUAGUGCAUUAAAUAUAAAUCUUAUUUAAAUAGAUUAGGAGUACUUAAGAAUUGUAGGGGGUUUAAUUUGAGUUAGUAACUUUUUGCAUGAAAGAAGAAAAAGGAGAUUUUGCUGCUAUUUUUUUUUUGUAUUUGUAUUUGUUUUAUUGUCUCGGCUUGAUUUUAUGUCAAGAGCCUUAUCAAUUCAGCAUGGUUUUUUUUUUUUUUUUUUUUAUAAUUGGAGGAAGAAGAUUCGAACCCUACUCUUUAGGCAGGAGGAUAAUGCACUAACCAAUGAGUCAAAUGCUCAAGUGUUAUCAAUUCAUCAUGGUUAGUCAUCAAUAGCUUCAAUAACGAUGCUUCCCAAAAAAGUUUAGAAGGGAAAAUAGGGGAUUCCAAACUUAAAACCUUGAUGUCCUUGAUGCUUUUCUUGUUUUUCUGUCCUUUUCUAUUUAUUGUUUUAGUUACAAAAUUGUGGAAGUAGCAUCUUCAUAGCUACAUUUUCAAUAAAAAAAAUACCAAUUUAAAGAAGCAUUUUAUCUUAUGAGUAAGUUUUCUUUGAUCCUUUUCUUUCUCUUGAAAGACAAAGAGAAUAGUACUCCAUAAAAAAAGGUGUGUCUUAAUUAAAUUAUUUGAAGGCAAGAAAUUAAGAUUAGCAUCAGUAUUCACUUUCAAAUUCUCAUAAUUAUUUCCUUCUUUAAAUAAAGAAAAAGUUAAUGUUAUUUUUAUCACUCACUCGAUCAAUUAAUUUACAAUUAUUGUUGUAUUAUCAAAAUGAAUCGUAAUCAUAACAUACGCACGAUGUGUUUUCAUCGUGCAAGUAAUUGUUGCAUAACUAAAGCAAAAGAAAAGUAAUUGCUAUAUAACAUUGUUUACUUAGAAAGCAAUAUUUAACUAAAGAAAAAAAUGGUAAUUCCAAAGUUAAAAUCUUUAUUCUCUUAAAAACCAGUAAAUAGAGCAAAGUUGAUUCUCUAUAAAGUGAUUUGACUCCAAAAUGCUUUCCUUGAUGCUUUUCUUCUUUUGUAAACAAAACACUUCUGCUUGCUAAAGUAAAGUGGGAAUCAAUUAAGUAUGGUACAAAUUAUAGAUAUGCAUACAUUUAUGCUACCUGUGAUACUUUGCUUUAGAGUUAUUUUUUUCAUGUCUUCUUUUUGUCUUUCUUAAUACCAAUCACUUUUACAUAGAAUUUAAUUUGAAAAAUGUGAUGGACAAUUUGUUGCUCACAUUGAGUGUUUGCUUCCUAUAGUAAGUUCAUCACCAUGAUCUUUUAUGUAGAACUUUUUGACGGAAAAUAAAAAUCUAAAUUACACAUACCACAUGAUUCGUUAAUUGGAAUUUAUUAAUCUAAGCUCCUUCGAUAAAUUUUAAUAUAAUAGGCUUUAUAUUUUACAUAAAGAGCUCUCCUUUUAUCUUAUUUUCUAGUAGAAGCCAAAUUGAAUUUUUGCAUGUGCUUGGUAAAACUUAUUAUUUAAAGUUUUUUUUGUAUAAUUUGUGGACAAAUUAUACAUAGACUAUAUAUGCUAAACAUUGCAAUUUAUUUUCUUGGAAUAGUAUAAUAAUUUUGAGGUUACAUUUUUAGAACCUAACGAAAUCUAUGCUUUCAAGAGGAAGAAGUUGAACCAGCACCAGAGGCUUCUUGCAUUUUGAAUUAAUCUAUGUACUAUACAGGCUGAGAGCUAAAGGAAUCAAACAAGAGCAAAGAAAAUCCAGCCUUCGAGGAAUCAAUAGAGGAGCAGCAGAGUGAUGAAGAAAACUCUUCCUUUAUUCAUUUUCUAAAUAAGAGCUAUUGAUGCCUUUGUUUGGCAUCAGAAGAGUAAUUUAGUUAAUUACUGUUUCUACAUUGAAAAAGGUCAUGCAAGAAGUCUCUUUCUUUCUUUCAUUCUUGACUUUGUUUGCUUGCUUGUGGUGGUUAUUCUGAUGCAUAGAUUGCUACAAGGGAUACUUCGUGACCCUAAAGCUCUUAUUUGGGUUUCUUAUUUGUACUUUUAAAAAAAAAAAAUUGAGAAAAGGGAGAUUCGAACCGUGCUUAAUCAUGCACCAACUAAUAGUAUGAUUUCUUCAUAAAUUUAAAGUAAUCUAAAAUUUAAAUUAAUUACAAUUCAAUUCAAUGAUCAUCCAAACAGAUAAUGUCAUUAGUAUCAUCAAGCAACCAUAAAAACUAAAAAUUUUGUAAUUCAAAUGUACCACGAAAUAAUAGAAUAUGGAUUGAAUCGUGGAUACCGAAUGAUAGAAAGGUGAUGUAGUAUUGGUGAAGCUAUAACAUUUGGUUUUAUCCCACGUCUCAACUCAUAAUUUUCAUAUUUUCUAUGACUUACUCUUUUAUUACCUUAUUUGUUAAUUAUUUUUUUAUUAUUUUAAAUACGAGGAUCAACAUUUUCCAUAUAUUGUUUCAAAGAGCUGACAACUAACUAAAUUGUUGGUUGAUUGUGGGAAUGAGAGAUAAAUUCCACACUACUUAGUUGGAUAGAACAGCAAUGGAGAAAAUAUUGAAAAUUAAUGUUGCCCUUGCUUGGCUUAGAUGAAGCAUUAUUUUUUUUUUUUGCCUCGAACAUAUACUUUUUCAAUUAAUUGAAACUUCUAUUUAAAAGGAAAUGAAAAAAGGGAUUCCAAAUUUAAAACCAACAAGUAGAGUGAGGUUGAUUCUCUAUAAUGUGAUUUGAUUCUAAAAUGCUUGAGGCCCUUGAUGUUUUUAUUCUUUUGUAAACAAAACACCCUCACUGGCUAAACUAAAUUGGGAAUCAAUUUAGUAUGACACAAUUUAUAAAAAUGAAUACAUUUAUGCCACCAAUGAUACUUUGCUUCAGAGUUACCUCUAUACUGUCUUCUUUUUGACUUUCCUAAUAUAGAUCACUUUUACAUAGAAUUUAAUUUUAUUUGUACAGUUCGAUUGUUGUGCUGCUGGGGUACAGUGAUAGAGGGGUCAAUUUGAUGUAAGUUAAUCAACUUGGAUUUACAGCAUAAAACUCAACCAAAUUCCGACAAAGAUUUGUUCCCAAUCCAUACACAUAUGACGAAAUUGAAGCAAUUUUAUCUAAAGGAGAUGAGCUUAAUUUCAUUCCAAUAAGUUACUUGAGUGAUUUACUUUGAAGAAGUAAAUUUGCAUGUCAAUAGUGAAAAUAUUGAUCAAUAUAAUUACUUUUGGCUGAAAAAAAAAGAAAAUAUAGAAUUACCACUAGGGCUUACUAAAUUUGAUAAAUAAAUCAUCUUAAUAAGCAAUAAAUAUGUAUGCGAGGGCUAAUUAUCUGAGUUAACAUUCCGUGAAAUAUACAUCAAAAUUGAUGUUAAUAUUCUAGGUUGUGAUUAAGUCAAAUAUUCAAGUUUUUAACAUUUGAAUAGAUUAGGAGUAUUUCAUAAACGAGGGGGUUUAGUUUGAGGUAAUAGCUUCAAGUAUGGAAGAAGAAAAACAAGAUUAUGCUGCUUAUAUUUUUCGUUAUUUUAAUAUUUUCUUGUCUCAAGUUGAUUUUAUGUCAACACUUAUCAAUUCAUCAAGGUUAGUCAUCAAUAGCUUCAAUAAUUAUGAUUCCCAACAAAAAGUUUAAAAGGGAAAAUAAGGAUUCGAAACUUAAAACCUUUAUCCUCUUAAAACCAAUAAAUAGAGUGAUUUGAUAAUGUGAUUUGAUUCGGAAAUGCAUAAGGAGAUUAAUGCUUUUCUUAUUUUUUUUUCAUAUUUACUGUUUUAAAUACAAAAUUGUGGUAGUAGUCUUGAUAUCCACAUUUAGAAUAUCAAAGUAGCAAUUAAAAGAAGCAUUUUAUCUUUAAUGAUGAGUAAGCUUUCUUCGAUCCUUUUCUCUUUUUUGAAAGACAAAGCGAAUAAUAUUCUUUCCUUGCUUAAAUAGAGGCAAAAAAAAAAAAAACAAUGUUGACAGAGCAUGAAGCAUAUGCCAUAUUCUUCUAUUUGGUUCAAAGGCUUGAGGGAAUCUUUGUUUAGCUUUUAUAUUUAAACACUCUUUCACAUAAAGAGCCUAUUGGUCAUCUCUCUUUCUCGUCAUCUACCAAAAUUUCUUUCUUUGUUUAAGAUGGAUAUCAAACCCGUCCUUCUUCAUGAACAUCACUUGCUCUUUGAUGAAUACAAUGAAUCAAAGGCACUUUGUGAACUAUGCAAUAAGAAAAUUUCUGAUUUAUCCUAUUCUUGUGAAAGAUGUAACUUUUCGUUACAUAAUUCCUGCGUUCAACGACAACUACCUCCUCAGAUAAGUGCACAUCCUUUCCAUUCCCAACACAAUCUUACUCUCUCAUGCUCAAAACACAUAGAUUACAUAUGUGCUAAAUGUUUCAAUCUUUCUCGAGGCCAUAGAUACUAUUGCAAAGAUUGUGAUUUUAGCCUUGAGUAUUCAUGUGCUUUUCCAAUCAAUGAUGAGAAAAAUAGACUCAAUGAUGAGACAUCCAAAAAAAUUGGUCUUCUCAGCAAUUCGUUGACCUUAUUUAACUAUAGGAGAGUGAAAAAGUACGAGUAUAUAUGUAGUUGGUGUGAGAUGCAUCUGUCUGGAAUGUCUUAUGGUUGUCUUGAAAAUGGUGUUUAUAUCUGGUUCCACGAGUCUUGCCUAAUCAACAUCCCUAGCAUAAACCCAUUUCAUCCAUCACACCCUCUUUCAUUACUCAACAUUCGCUUUGAUAAUGGGCUUUGCAAUGCUUGCAACCUACCAAUAUGGGAGUUCGGAAAAGCCUAUUGUUGUAGAAAAUGCGAAUUCCACCUUCAUGUUCACUGUGCUAAACUACAACCCAGUCUCAAGGUUGAGUUACAUGAGCAUGAUCUUACUUUUUUUCGAAUAAAAGCUACGGCUACCCACCUGUGCAAGAUAUGUGGUUUUAAUUUUGAUUCUAUAGGGAAGGAAAGUCCUUUUUAUCGUUGUGUUCAGUGUAAUUUCAAUUACCAUUUCUAUUGUCUUAAAAUACCGUAUUCUACUUCACAUAAGUAUCAUAGGCAUGAUCUCAAGCUUAUGGAUUCAUUUGUAGAAGAUGAUUUUAAGGAAUAUUAUUGUGAUAUAUGUGAAGAAGAAAGAAAACCAAAGCAUUGUGGUUACUGUUGCAGGAAAUGCAAAUUUGUUGCUCAUAUUGAAUGUGCACUCAAUAAGGUAAGGAGACAUUUACUCUCUUUGUAAAGAAAUUUAUUAAAUGUUUUUUUCAUUUGAUAAACUAUUAAUUAUUUGAUCAUAGGUGACAUAUAAUAUGCCCCUUAGAAAAAUUUUGAUGCUAAUAUUUUCACUUCCCCAGGUUGUAGAUAUGAAACUUGACCAAAGUUCGACCUCUAAUUUGUUGGAUAGCGAAGCUUCAACAUCAAAGGUGAUGGAAUUGGGUCUUCUAUAUAAAUAUUAUUGUGAUAUUUUCAUUGUUAAUAAUUUUUUUUUGAGGUUUACAUCCCUUUUAGGUCUUCUAUAAUUCCUUGGAUAUAUAUAUAUAUAUAUAUAUAUAUAUAUAUAUAUAUAUAUAUAUAUAUUAUAUANAUAUAUAUAUAUAUAUAUAUAUAUAUAUAUAUAUAUUAUAAAGAUUUUUUUAUUAAUAAACACCAUUUAUGUUUUGAAUAAAAUUCAAUAAAAAAAUAAAAUCUGUAAAUAAUAUACGUAAGAAACCUUUACUUAUAUAGUAGUAUUAAUUCAAAAUUAAUUUGGAGGCAGCUUUAGUAAAAAUAUUGAAUGUUGAGUAAAAUAAAACCACAUACGUGCAUCAUGUUCAUUUAUAAACAUAUAUAUUUGAUUACAUUUAAUUAUUGUUUCCAUAUUUUAGUUUUAUCUUAAAUUUUCAUUUUUUUUACUUGUUAAACAAAAAUAAAGAGUAAAUUUUACUAUUAAUCUUGACUUAUUUUGUAACGUUUCGUUUUCAUUCACCCAUAUUGAAUUUGUUCCAAAUCCAUAUGUCUAUUAACAUGCCAAUAAAAUAUAGAUGGAAUUUGUCAUGUACGUGUCACAUAUAAGUCCAAUUAUGUGAAUGUAGUCAUAUGAACAUACUUAGAUGGCAAAUCUCUUCCAUAUUUUAAUAAUGUAUUAAUAGAUAGAUGAAUUUAAAAUAAAUUUAAAAAGGCGAAAAUGAAAAAAAUCAAGUUUGUUUAGUAACAAAUGAAAAUAAAAUAUUAUGACAAUGUUACAAACUAAGGAUGCACUUUACAUAAAAAAUAGAGAAAGAUUAAUAACUUUCUUCACUUGCUCUGGUUGUGCAGGUGCAAAUUGGACGUUUUGAUCACCCACAUGCCCUGAGCUAUAAUAACGCUAUUGAACAGAAUGAAAAUCUUCUUUGCAAUGCUUGUCGUCAGGGAAUUUUUUAUCAACACUAUGCUUGCAAAGAUUGUAAAUACUACUUACAUGACAUGUGCACUACAUUGUCAUAUGAGGUGUCACACCCUCUUCAUCGCCAGCAUCCUCUCAAACUCUUCACGGAUAUAGUUGAAUUUACAUGUCAUGGAUGUAGGGACCAUUCUGGUGGGUUUGCUUACAUGUGCCUUCCAUGUGAUUUCCAACUUGACGUGAAAUGUGCUACCACUCCAAUUGCACCUAAAAAUGAGGGCCAAAGGCUGAAAGAGAUGGAGAAAGUUUCUCAGUUGUGCCCUUUCAAUCAAAAUCAUAAGCUAGACUUCUUCAACCAUAAACCCAAUCUCAAAGAUUUGGCUUUGGAAUGCAAUGCUUGCAAGCUACCAAUCUUGGGUCUAGGUUAUGCAUGUCGUUAUUGUUUCAAUAUCAAAAUUCAUGAAUCUUGUCUUGCAUUUAUGCGGGAGAUGGAACACGCCUUUCAUCCAUUACACCUGCUUCAUCCACAAAUCGGGGAUUGGGAAAAUUGUUCUGCCUGUAGAUUUAAAAUCAUUGAAAGUAUCGGUUAUAGUUGUCGGCAGUGUGAUUUCCACCUUCAUUUUCAUUGUGCUAAUUCCCUGAAGCUAG
Molecule: long non-coding RNA, 130277 nt
Filed under: Theobroma cacao (cacao)
Lineage: Eukaryota; Viridiplantae; Streptophyta; Magnoliopsida; Malvales; Malvaceae
Description: long non-coding RNA (TCAC_LNC003633)
Source: RNAcentral